UUGCAUUCCAAAUUCCUGUUAAUUUACGAGGGAAAAAGAAAAGAGACGAAAUGGGAGAAAAUGGUCAAAUUUGUUAGGGGGAGAGAGCUGUUGAAGUAGUUUUUGUUCUCGUUUAUCGUCGUGACCCUCUUGUCGCUUAUCUACGACCUGGAAGUCUGGUCAUAUCGGAUGGGUAAAGUUACCGAAACGGCAUCAUUUUGGGUGAAAUAUCAUAUUUAUGUAACACUUUUGAUAAUAUUUUUAUGCAACAAAAAAAUGUUUGCAGUACCCUUUUCACAUUGUGAAGCGCAUGAUCGGAUGAGAGCAGUCUGGAUUCUGGCAUCACAAGCUAAUGCUUUUUUUUUUUUUUGAUUACAUGAGACUAUUGCUCAUAUUACAGCUCAUAUUACAUGAGAAUAUAACUGAUAUGUACAAAUCAGCUAUAACUGGGACCAACAUACAUCAAAGCUAAUGGAGCGCUGUCCAGAUUUUAACCCUCUCAAAUAUUCGAGGGAUGUCUACUCCUCGCACUGGGACAAGGAAGCAGACUGUCUUCACUCAAUUUUAUUUGAGGAAGGAAACACCCCCACAUGCAUUGUGGGGGUUCGAACUGCUGCUCUCCAACUGCUCUCCAACUUGGAGAGCAGCAGCUCUCACCACUCGGCCAAAGGCCGAGUGGCUCACAAGCUAAUGCUUUGAUUUGCUUAGUUUGUUUUUUGUUUCUGAUAUUUUCUCGGCAUCGGGUGGGAAAUUGUUUCUCUUUUGAGUUUCUCUUUUUUUUUUUUUUUUUUUGGUUAUGGAAUUUGGAGAUAGUGUAAAUGUACGCAGAUGAAAUUGUUGGGUUGGUUUUGUUAUGGAAUUUGGUUUACUUCACUAACCAUUAAUGCGCAAAACCUCCUAAUGACCCUCAAAAAUCCCGUACAUAAUUAAAGAAUUUCAAUUUUAUAUGUACAUAAAUAAAUAACUCUCAAAUAUAUUAUUUGAUAAUCCCAAAAACAACAAUUCACUCUAAUAAAUCUCGUAGUCAAUACAUGGUCUAUAUUGCAAGUGUUUUCGAGACUAAUUGAAAAAGAAAAUACGUUGAGUGAUGUAAUUGACCUUUACUAGUUAUAAAGAACUCUAAAUAAAUUCAUAUAGGCAUAGCAGCUAAUUACAGCCUUGAUACUUCAUUUGGUUUUUGUUAAUUUUCUAUAGAGUUGUGCUGUGCAUAAAAGUUUUGUUAAAUGAAAUCGGUAGGUGAGAAUUAAUUAAUCAAUUAAUUAAGAUCCAGUUAAUGUAAUUAAUUUUAUUUGAUUUUUUUAAUUCGAGUUCUAAAUUAAUCAAUGAAUUUAGAUUCAUGUGAAAUUGAAGUGAAUUAGUUUUGAUCUGUUUUUCGUCCUAUGUUUGUCUGUGUUUACUCUUACUUUGUUUUUUUGUUUAAAUUUUUGUUUUCUUAUUGUUUACUGAAUAAAUUUCUGAGCUUUAUUUGAGUAUGAUGAUUGAUUUGUGAUUUUAAUCUAAAUGUGUUGGGCUGCGAUUUAAUUGAGUGAUGUGUGAGCGCCAAAUAUUCAAUAACUGAUAAAUUAUAUUUAUAAAUAUUAAUAGCGAUGGCACAUAAACAAUUAAUUCAAGAACUUGCCCAUAGUGAUUAAUUUAAAGAGUAUAAGUAACAUUGCAAUGCAGUUAGCCCUUGCGUGUUUAAUUAGCAAUUGAAAACUAAUGUUGCUGAUGAGGUAGAACAUUAUAACACUGUUGCUGAUGAGGCAGCUGGUAAUUCUUCUGGUGAAGAUAUUAAGACUAUUAAAGCUGAAAUGUAAUUAGAGAAAUAUAAUGCAUUCCCUUAGUUUGCUUUUUGUUUUUUAUAUUUGUUUGGCUAAUGCUUUGCUUAGAUUACUUUUUGUUUUUGAGAUUUUAUUGGCUUAGUCAUGGGGUAUUGUUUUCUCUUCUAAUUUCUAUUUUUGUUGUUAUGGGAUUUGAUUGUAGUGUACAUAUACGAAAAUUAUGUAAUCAAAUGCUUUCAAUAAAUCAUGAUUGAUUUACUAUUAAUUAAUUAAAUUAAAUUUACUCAAAUUACUCAUGUACACAAUCAAAAUAAUUUUAAUUCCAUGAUAUAUAUACACGCGAGCACACAAACAAAAUGUAAUUAACUUUGAAAUAUAAAAUAUUUAAAAUAAUCACCGUACUAACAAUUCACAAAUCGGAUUUUAUAUAAAUAGACGAAAUAAUGUUAAUCUAGCGAAUCCAGUCAUAAUAAUUUGAUUUUCAUUUAUAUUAAUUAUGUCAAACCAUGCUAUUUUAAUAAAUAGCACUUGAGAAUAUAUAUAUCCAACAAGUAAAAUUUCAAAACAAUAUUUGCCAAAAUCUAAUGAAGAGAAUAUACACGCACGCACAUAUAUAACCGUACAGCAGAACGAUAAAUAAAAGAAAAUGAAGUUUCAACGGCUGAAUAAUGCAAAUUCAUUUUUUUUAACAAGCAUUUUAUUGUUUAAUUAAAAAAAUUUGAAAACCCAUUAAAUACAUGUAAGGACUCACUGAUGCCGAACCAUAUUAAUUUAAAUUAGUUUUCAAUUGAGAUUUGAAUUUUAAAAUUACACACACAAACACACCCGAUUUAAAAAUAAUAAUAAUAAUGCUAACAAUAAAAUAUUUCAGCCGUCCUAUGUGUUAAUCGCCAAAAACGGAUUUCCAAUCUAUUACAACAUGAGGUAUAUGAGUUAACAAGUCCCAAUAUUGUCCUCCAUCCUUUCUGCACUUCUCUGCUAUCAACGGACAUCCUGCGAUCUGUAAUUGCAAAAGUGAGGAAGGCAGGCCCUUCUCCGGAAAGUAUUUGAGCUUGGGACAAUUAUGGAGUCGCAAUGCAGUGAGGUUUUGAAGAUCAACAAUUGAAGAAGAUAGGCGUUCCAGAUUUGGAAAAUUGAAAAUCUCCAGAGACGUUAGAGAGGCAGGAAUAGGAAGCGCGGUCCCUAAUCUUUUGUCCUCUAGUGGAAAUGACACCAUGUCCUCAUCACAUCCACUGAUUAAAAGAUAUCGCAGAGAGGAGAAUCUGUGAAAUCCCCGUCCCCGCUCAAUCAUUGACUUCCAAAUCUCCAUAUUACCCCAAAUAUUAAGUGACUGAAGGUUGGUGGGAAGGCCAUCUUCUUCUUCAAGGCUUGGAAGCACACCUCCUUUUCCUGCUGUUAAUUCUUGAAGAGAGCUCAGAUUGUGCAUUCCCUUGGGUAAGGCCUCUAGUCUCUUACAAUUAGAUAUCGCCAGCCUCCUGAGUUUCGCACAAGGCAAUCCCCCUUCGGGAAAGGACACCAGAUUUCCACAACUAUCUAUACUGAUUGUUUCAAGAGAUGUGUUGUUGUCCAACCUUUCUGCUAUUGACUCCAGCUUUGAACAUCCCCAAACAACGAGGGACUUAAGAGACGAAGGUAGAUUGCCAACUUCAAGGGACUCAAGCGUGGCAGGUAACUCGUUUUUUGAAAAUAUACAUGUCAGAGAUGGACAACUAAUAAUUUCUACGUGCUCGAGAAGAGAUGAGGUGUACCUUCUGCUGCUGCUGCUGCUACACAGGAUACCCUCUUCCACUGUCAAAGUCCUUAUAUUAUCGCAAUCGCUGAUGCUCAGCUGCUUGAGGCUCGGUGGCAGCUGGACAGCAGCAAUAUAUGUCAACGAACGGCAACCAUGAAUACUCAAGAUCUCGAGAGACGAAUUGGUGUCGCACAUCCAUGCCUCUGGUAACGAUUUCAGUGCAUCACAAUGCCUAAUCUGAAUUUUCUUCAACUUGGAAGGCAGAGCAACCUCAGGAAAGGAAACAAGGGAACUGCACUUGCAGAUUUCUAUCUCUCUCAAGGAACUGAGGCUGAACGAUGAUUGUGGCAGCUUCACAAGGCCUUCGCAAUUACUCAAUCUUAGAUAUUCAAGUCUGCAUGACAACUCGCAGAGCUGCUGUUGUUGGUCUUUCUUUUCCUCCGCCACCAAGGAUUGAAGUUUGGGACAGCUGUCAAUCGUCAGUCUUUUGAGAGAGUAAAUGUCUUGCAGUAAUUCGUUAUGACUCUUCCAUAUAUGUGUUUCAUUUUUAAUAUUUUUUAUCUCCAAUUCUUCCAGUUUUGGUAUUCGCGGCUUCAAUGGCCCUGCGAGAAACACUUGAUUUGAUGUAUCUCUACAAACCACUGAAUUCUGUGAGCCGAGAUGAUCAGUUGCACUACUCCACACAAUCUUUUUACAUCCACCAAUUUCAAAUUUGCAAAGAGCUGGAAGACUUGCAACUGAAACUAGCAAUUCUUCACAUCCUUCAAUUACAAGCAUCUCCAAUGCAGGAAGGUGUUCUGGAAAUGUUCCUUGCAGCUUAGAACAGCUUAUAAUAUGAAGCUCUCUCAAUUUAGGAAACCCUUCAACUCCCUGACCAGAUCUAAGAGGAAUCCAGUCUUCCCAUUCUUGCAUGUCUUGAAAACGAAGAGUCUCCAAGCAUGGAAAAGGAAUCGGGGAAUCAUUCCCAUAGAACUCUGAACCCAAACUCUUUACUCUACUCAUUCCACGCACUUCAAGAUGCUUUAAAGAGGGUAGUUGCCCGACUGACGGCAGGGCAGUACACAUGCCGCAAUCUUCAAAUUUAAGUGUUACUAAAUUUGAGAAUGAGGAAUCUCCUAACCAUGUUGGAAAUUUUGUACCUCCAUAACCACAGAUACCAAAUUGUUCCAGAUUUUUAUGGGGUUUGAGCAUGUCAAGCACACCCAUUUCAGUUUCUGCCUCCCUUGAAGAUGAACCAUCGGUACUGCGUGUCCAUCGAAGCAAUAAUUCUCUAAGAUUCUCCUUUACAUCCAAUUGAGCCUCCUUCGCAUUACCAACGUCUUUUACGUUCUCCAAUUUUGAAAUUUCAAGUGCCCCACGAAGAUGCAUCAACAACUUUAGCUCUGAUAACCCCGAACCACUGUCUUUUCCCACAACAAAAUUACACAACGUCUGAAGACUAGUCAAUCUACCAAUUCCUACUGGCAUUUCCUCCAACGACUUCGUAUUUGAAUUCUUAAGAUGAUGCAAUUUGGUGAGGUUUCCCAUGUCUGCACACAACUUCUUCAGCCGAUCACAAUCUUCCAAGAAAAGACUAUGCAAAUUGUAAAGCUUGUUGACUGAUUCAGGCAGAGUUCUAAUCAUAGUUCCAGAUAGGUUGAGGUACCUUAAAUACCUCAAAUCACCAAUUGAAUCCGUUAGCUCAUACAGGCAAUAUCCACGCAAAGAGAAGACCCUCAACCGUUGGAGUUUGAACAACUUGGGGAGAAUGCUACGAGCCAAGUAUCCAUGCCACCUAUUUGACAAUGCUACUGGUAAAAAAGUUCGCAAAUGGUGGAUAUCAUGCAAGUCCUCAAACCUUUGAACGCCAUCACAAUAUCCACGAAUGUAUGACAGGUGACGAAAAUUUUUGGAAAAACUUUGUUGCUUGUUAACCUCUGAGUUAUACUCCAUUGUGAAGUAUAUCUCCCCCGCAGCCCAUUGAGCAAGGUCGUUGACAAGGUCGUGCAUCACAAAUCGUGAUUUAUUGUUGCUUGAUUGCUGGAAAAAAGAUCUUGAACGUAGCUCUUGAAAGAACUUUCGACCUAGAUCUUCAUUAGGAUUCCCACUCUCUUUGUGAUCCAAGAAACCCGAGGCACACCAUAAUAAAAUCAUCUCCUCCUCUUCAAAUUCAUAAUCCUUUGGAAACAAUGAGCAGUAUGCAAAGCAUUGUUUCAAAGGUGCCGAAAGAUAAUAGUAGCUCACUGCAAGGGCUGGUAUAAUACCACAUCUCUCUUCUGGUAAUUCCCAUAUCUUGCUACUGAGCACAUCUUCCCACUCACUUCUGUCAUGAUUCCCACGUAAAAGUCCUCCAAGCGUUUGUGCUGCCAAGGGCAAGCCAUCGCAUUUGGUCACUAUCUUCUUGCCGAUUUCCUCCAGUGACUUAUGUGAACUGAAAUCUCUCGUCCCCAAUGAAUGUUGAACGAACACAGCUAGACAAUCAUUAUCUGACAACUUCUUUAAUUGAUAAGCCGGAACAGUACCCAUAAUUUUAGCAACCUCUUGAUUGCGAGUAGUGACAAUAAUUUUACUUCCCGGUGCGCCAAGUUCAAAGGGACGUCUGAGUUGAUCCCAAUCAUGGUAAUUCCGGUUCCACACGUCAUCUAAAAGAAGUAAAAACUUCUUUCCAGAUAGUUGCUUAUUCAGUUUCUCUUGAAGUGAAUUCAAGUUGAGAUUAUCUACGUUCUGGUCAGCAACAAUGGAUGUUAAGAUUGUUUUUGUUAGCCUGAUAACGUCGAAAUCAUCAGAGACACAAGUCCAUGCCUUGAGAUCAAAAUGAUCCACCACUUGCUUAUCAUUGUAGACAAGCUGAGCAAGAGUGGUUUUGCCCAGCCCACCCAUACCUACAAUAGGUAUAACGGAGAAUCCACCAUCGUUGCUUAAAUCAUCCCUCAACAGCAGUUCAACAACAUCCUUCUUUUCGAUUUCCCUGCCAUAUACUUUGGCUUCCUUCACCAAAGAGGUUGUCUCUCGCCUUUUCCUGUCUUUUGUGGUCCUCCCACCCGAACUUACAUUCAAACCCAGCGAGUCCUUCUGUGUUACAAUAUCUUGAAAUCUGCCAUUGAUCUCUUUGAUUUUGGACAUCAUGGCGUAAUCGAACUGAAUCGAUUGUGGAGUAAAAGUGGUGCAGCAAGUAGGAAUGAGCUUCCGAAACUUACUUGUUCUUGUACGACUGCAACUGGGUUGAUCAUGAGCCGCAGCUGGAUCUCCAUUUCCAAGCAGCAACUUCCUCCGGAAAGCCUCAGUUUGAAACUCAUCCAGCAAGUCUUCAACAUCAAAAGCCAAGUUCUGAAGCUCGCCAAGCCACAACUUUACAGACUGAUCAGUCUUCUUCUCCUCAGCAUCAGCAAGCACCGCCUUGAUUAUCAUCAACAUAUUCUUCCACUUCUUUAGGUCGGCUUGGAUUUGCUCUUGGCGUGCAAACAGCCGAAUCCCCUCCGAAGCUAACUUAUUGACCAGCAAAUCAACGGACGCCGUAAGAAUUGCCUCUCCGAUGAAUGACAUUUUUUUCUUCUUUUUCUUUUUUUUUGGUUUUGCAAAGAAAGAAAGGAGCAGAAUUAUGGGUUAUGGAAAGCAGAAUGAGAAAAUGGAUAAUUAAGCAGAAUGAGUUUGUGAUUGUGAAGGGUCUGGCCCAGCAAGCUUAGUAGAAAUCACGCGUUGAUACUUUAUUGACCAAUGACUAAUAAUUUGGCAAUUCACUCAUCACCACCACUUGGUAAGCAAAAUGAAAAUGCUUAGUAAUUAAGUGUCAAGGGUCAAGCAAAAUACGACGUAAAAUGUGUCAAGGGUCUCCCCACUUGUUGUUCCUUGCAGCUUAGAAAAGAAAAACAGAGCCCACGACCCAUUAAUAUUUAGCCGCCCACCAAUCAUCACCACUUGUUACGAAACCAUCUCAUAAACCAAGUUCGUAGGUCGAGCAGUUAAUCCAGUGUCUAUGUCCUAGAACCUUCAUCUCAUAAACCAAGUUCAAUCAAAACGUUCCUCUCUAUAUAUUUUUUUUUUCAAAACUCCUAAAACGUUUCUUUUUAGAGACAUUUUACUUUAUUCAUCUCAUAUGUUAUCUAACAAAUAGACACAAUUGAAAUCACUCUAAAGUGAAGAUGAAAGGGGAAACAAAUAACCUUCCGACCACCAGUAAUUUAGCAAGCUUCACUUUAUUCCACCAAAGUGUAAAUAAAGCCAGCCCCCACCACCAUCAAUAAUUUUGCAAGCUUCACACGCUUGUUGUCUUCUCCUUGACGAACUGGACAUGAGUGCACCAAGAAUCAAUGACAGAAUUUUAAAAAUAAUAAUAAGAGAAAAACCUACACAUUUUCGACUUAGAGUAGAACCUUAAUUAAUGCUAAAAUCUACUCAGCUAACAUUUUCAAAAUAUUGUUCUUUAUGAUUUUCAAAACUGUGAUUAAGGUUCAUCUCAAAUGUUUGAAGAGAGUCUAUCAGUUCUUCAAAUGUUGAAUAAUAAAAAAAAAAGUUGAAUAUGGAGGAAAAUAGAAUGCAUCCAUCUUCGCUGCUGUAGAAGUCUUCUACUUAUAAAAGUAAGUUAGAAUAAACAAUUUUAAUCUCUCUUUUUAUUCCUACAAGUGCACUACAUUUUUUUUUUAAUCUCAAUGCAAAGUCGUAUCGAAAUGUUAUAUUCCUAUUGUAAAACAAAAUUUUAGAUAAAACAAAUUCGACUCAUUUUUUAAAGAUAUAUAUUUAGUAGGUUACCAACAUAACUAACAAAACGUGAUUAUUACACUAAAUGAAAUAAAUGACAGUACUAUCACCAAUAAUUUAGCAAGUUUCGCAUGCAUGUGUUUCUAAACACAUUAUAUGGAAUCAAACAACAGUGAUACAAAGAGAAAAGUAGAAAUCCUCUGAUUAUAUUUUUUUUUUCUUUUUCAAAAGAAAUGGUGGGGUUGGUUUGUUUGCAAAGUUAUUAGCGAGGGUCUAUUUGUUUUUGUUUUAACUUUAUUAAUCAAUAAGCAAACAUGUAAUUAUUUGUAUAUAUCACUAGCAUCACAUUAUUGUGAGGUAUUGCGCUUAAUAUUCACAAUUUUUGUAAGAUGAAUUUGUAAGACUAAUUAAUUUUGAUGAAAAUGUAUCGUUACUAAGAUAUUAUUUAAUUCAUUAAGUUAACUUGAGGUAUUAAUAUUUACUAAUUGUGGUGCUGAUUAAUUUAUUUAACUUGUCACUAUUUGCAAUUAAGAAUGAAGUUCAAUCAAUUUAUUGAGUAAAAAAAAAACAAAGAUGCAUUUUUUUCUUUAGAUUUUAAUUCUUAGGAUUUGAUUUCACGCUCUUUUGUUUUUUUACGUUGCUAAAGAGGCAGUAAAAAGUUUGCUGAAUGUCAUCAAAUACUUGUAUCUCAUCUCACAAAUUGGUAAUAUUUGUUUGGUAUUUCAUCUCAACAGACGCAGUAAGGAUUACCUCUCCAAUGACUGACAUUUUUUUUUUUUUUGGGGACAAAGAAAGAAACAGAAUUUUGAGUUUCGAAAAGCAAAAUAAGAAAAUUGAGCAGUAAGUGUGAAGGGUCAAGCAAAAUGCAUGUAGCAAGUCUUCGACUUGUUGUUUAUCCCACUAAAGUGAAAAUAAAAACAGAGCCCACGACCCCUUAAUAAUUGAGCAAUUCACCAAUCACCAGUCACCACCACUCGUUACCAUGAAUAUAAUAAAUUGCACCUUGAUAUUUGCAGGGUCCAGCAACAUUGACCUAGUGUCCGGGUAAAUGCUGAAUAAAGAGGAAAAUGGAAUGUAUCCACUCCGAACCUUCGCUUUACAACAAUUUUUAAGAAUCACAAUGGUAAUUCCUACUAUCAUGUUAUCUUAAUGUCGUGUUAAAAUAAAUUAUAAUAUAUUUUUUAUAUGAACACUCUUUUCAUUUAUAAAUUUUUAAGUUUCUAAUAUUUUUCUCACUUUUUUAAUCUUAAUAUUUAUAUUCCUCUCUUCAAAUUUUUUUAUUAUUUAAUUUUUAAAGAAAAAUAUGAAAAAAAUAAGAAAAACAUUAUACUUAGAAAAUAAUUAAUAUUUUAUGGGUCUAAUGCAAUUUUGUCUCACCUAUAAAUUUUUUUGUUUAGCAAUUAGUUUGAGAAUCUUAAAAAAUUAUUUGCAGUAGGAUAAAAUUUUAUUUAAUUUAUUUUUUUACUGUAUUGUAUCUUAAUUAAUUAAGUUGUUAUGUUUAUUACAAGAAUUUUGUUUUGGCUUAGAGGAUUGCUUCUUAAAUUCAUAUUAUUUUAAUGAUAAUAAAAGAUAUUUAUAUUGUGCAAGCAAAAUAAAAUGAAGAGAGAAAGAAAAUAUAAAUGAUUUAAUUCUAUUUAUAUUUGUCCUCAAAUGUAAUUGUAGUAUAAUAGGAGUUUUAUAAGAUUAAUGAAGGGGUGCCAAUAGUCGUACUCUUAUAGAAAAUGACUGUAAUAAUAGUGGAAAUUUAGUGUAAUAAAAAGGAUAAACCGUAAGAAAUUAAUGUUUACUUCAAGAUACGUUAUAAAUAUUGUUUUUCUUAAGAUGUUAUUUGCCUCCACCAAUCGAAUGAUGCACAUGAAUUAAGCAAAUAUGCUUCCAUGAUACAAUAAAGCGCUUAUUUAUUUGUUUACGUUGUAUGUCGACGAAGCAAACUUAAAUACUUUUGAAUGUUGUAAACCUACCAAGAAUCAAUAUAUUAUUUCUACAAAAAGAAACAAUAUAUUAGAUAUUUAAAGCAUAAAAAAUAGACGUUAAUUGAUUAAAUUUGAUUUAGCAAAGACACCUAAGAAAAGAGGGGGGUAACGCCAUUUUUUUGGUGUUUAAAUAGUCUAAAUAUGCCCCCUUUUUGUCCAUCCCCUUUUCCCCUUUUAUUGGGAUUAUUUUUUUUUUUAUAAUCUCCACCCCUUCAUGGUUAUUAGACCAACCAAUUAAAUCCCUCCUAAAGCUACUUAACUUUUUGCCCCCCAACUUAAAGGAUCCCAUAGGGAUUGCUUUUCGGAUGUUUGCCUUUUUUUUUUUCACUUUUUUAUAUUUUUUUUGGGGGUGUUGGGGGGGGGGGGGGGGGGGGGAGUUUAUGAAAAUUAAAGCAAAUAAGAAAGUCAAUUACAGCAGAAUGAGUUUGUGAUUGUGAAAGGUCGAGCAAGUCUACAAAUCAAUUAGACAAAACCCACCACGAGAGUUAAAAUGGAAAAAUAGCGCCCACCACAAAUAUAAAAUUGGAGGAGCUCAAGAUCCUGCCUUUGCUUUACAUAUUAAAUUAAAUAAAAGCCAAACCAAUAACCUUGCCUUUGCUUAACAUGAUUAAUUAAGCACUACUUCAGAAAGAAUACAAAAGUAAUGAACCUUGUAUUAAUCUUAAAUUUUAGGAAUAAAGCUACAUUUUCUCCUCUUACCAUCUUUUCAUGUUCAUUUCAAAAGUUUGAAGAGAGUUUAUCCAUUCUUCUUCUAAACUAAGAAAAUCAACAUUCUUACUUUCUUCAAAUGUUGAAUAAAGAAAAAUAAAUUAUUGAAUAAGGAGGAAAUUAGAAUGUAUUUACCUUCGCUAACCUAAAAUAAAAAAAAUUAAUCUCUCUUUUAUUACUAAAGUACACUAUUUUUUUAAUAAUUGUAUUGAUAAUGACAAUAUAUAUCAUCGAUUAUAUUCUUGUUGUGUUGAAAUAAGGUAUAAAAAUUUUUGGAUCAACAGGAAUUCGACUCAUUUGUUAAAAGUACAUAUUUAAUAUACUAAAAACAAAAAUUAACAUAAACAUGAUUAUUACACUAAAGUGAAAUGAAAGCCAGUACCCGCCGGUUCACCAACAGUAAUUUAGCAAACUUUGCAUUCUAGGAAAUGGACAUUGGUGAAUUAACCAAAGAAGACUUCCUUUGAUAAUGCGGGUAACGCCGGUCUGUCAUGGAAUGGACAUUGGUGAAUUCGACUUCCUUUGACGUUUAGUUGACUAUUUUCACAUCUAGCAGCCCUUGGCGUUUUGUUUUCGUUCGCUCUGUCGUCUUCAUCGCUCUGUCGUCUUCGAUCUUUAUGGCGACAUGGGUAUAUGUGUAUGGUAAACUGUGCGGGUGAAGAGUGUCGACAUGAUGCUGUCACCUUGCUUUAAUUAAUUGCAGUGACGUUAUAAAGUAAGCCUCAAAAAUUUAAAAUCGUGGGUCAAGCCCUGGUGUACAAAUCAGAAGUUGUAACAAAGAAGAAUUUAAAAUUUUUCUUCUUUGUUUCUUUCAUGCAUUAGGCUCGUUAACAAUUCAACAUACCAGGGAUGAGGGAUGCAAGGAAACAAUUAUUUGGUUUGAGUGUUUGGUAUUUUCUCGAUUCGUUCAGAAUUUGAUGAGUUUUUCUGUUUAAAUUGUGCGUAUAAUUUUUAUUUUUAAUUUUCUGACGUCGAUAUCUUUAGCAUAGAUUUUGUCUAUGAUACAUUAAAAAAGUUUGAAUCGCACAUGAUUCACUGUGUUGUAAGAGUAAAAUUUCUUCUUAUUAUUUAGAAUUCAUAUUUUUCAACUAAACUUUUAAUACAAUAUAUCGAGACAGAUCCUCGUGAUGCACAUACAUUUUCGCUUUUAGCCGUGCUGCCUGCUCUCAAAUGUACACUUAUAAAUUCCAAAUGAAAAGAAAUUUUGAAAUUGCGCAGCUCUGGCCAGGGAUCACCUUUUUGCCUUGCUAUUAUCUACAAUAUUUAUUUUUGCAAUCCGCAUGCAUGCUCGGUUAUGAUCACCCACGUGAUCGGCAUUAAGUUGUUUUUUAUCUUCUUAUUAACAAAUUAUUUAGUGUGCGGACUCCAUUCAUGCUCCCACGUUAAUCUUUCCAAAUUUUGUGCAAUAAAAGUUCAGCCGAUCCGCUAUUCACUUUGCCACAGUCUGCUACUUCAUUCUAUUUGUUUACUGCAUAUGAUCAUUANNNNNNNNNNNNNNNNNNNNNNNNNNNNNNNNNNNNNNNNNNNNNNNNNNNNNNNNNNNNNNNNNNNNNNNNNNNNNNNNNNNNNNNNNNNNNNNNNNNNAGAAUUUAUGAUUUUCUAUUAAGAUCUGUAAUAACCCUUUCUUAAUUUUCAAUUGUCCUUAUGAGUAUAUGUCAAUUUGGAUUAUUAUUCCACAUAUACAUAAUGUAUAAAGAAAAGAGUAAUGAUACUGCCACAAACUCUUGUACAAAUUUAUUUUGUACAAACUGACGUGUCAUUAAUUCACUGGUUGAAUGAAAAUAUAAAUUAAUAAAAACAAAUUAUGUGGGCUAAGUGAUAUUUAAUUCAACCAAUCUUAUCAUGCCUCAUCAAUUUGUACAAAAUAAGUUUAUACAAGAGUUUGUGACUGUAUCAUUACUCUAAAGAAAAUUAUUGGCAUAGAAAUUUUUUGCACAAAAAAAAAAAUCCAAGAUGUUUUUGACUGUUGGCGGCACAAUACAUAAAGGUGAAAUUAGGUUAUCGUUUGGAUUUUUUCAUGAGACACCCUAAGGUUUGUUUAGUUUAUGCUUUUGGCCAAAGUUUAUAAUUUUGUUUCAUUUAAGUCCAAUUGAAUUUGCAACGGCCAUCACAUGCUGUCUUCAAGCCGAAAUUUAGGAGCAAUUGCAUGUGAAAUUGCAGUGUAGUCCCUGGUAUUCUAUUUUAUUAAAUUAAAGAUAUGAUUAAUUGGAUUUACUAUGAUAAAGCCGCCAACUUUAUGUGCAUCAAGCCUUAUAAGUUUUGUUCUCGUAAUUUUGAAGCCUCCGCUCAUUAAUUAAUGAUCUCCAAAAUUUCUUAAUGUUCCAAUUUUAAUGUUUGAAAUUUGAAUUGAUGUUUGUGGUUUUAUUUACUUUAUUAAAGAAAUUACUUUGUUAUAAAUGUUCAAUUUGACAUUCAUAUUAUGAUAAUUUGUUAGUUACUAAAGUAGCCAAAUUAGAAAGUUUUCAUAGAUGUCAAAUUAAAUUCAAUUUCAAGUUCUCAUAAUUAUUGUGAUGCGUAUUAUUUAAUGACAUGAUGAUCUUGUUGUAUGAGUAUAUUGAAAUUCACAGAUUAUAAAAUAUUUAGGAAUUGGUCAAAGGUUGAUUAAUUAAUUUUAUAAUAUAUGAUCAUGAUUUGUGGAUAAUUAAUAUGCUUGAUUAGAUAUGUUUAGUAUAUCCAAAGAUAGCAAGCGUGUCUAGUUUAUGUAUAGUUGAUUACUAAUUAUGUGAAAUUAAAGUUAAGCAUCAAUUAUGUUUAUUGCAGUGUAUUGUUGUAUCACCAAAUAAAUUAAGCUUCUUAAUUUUAUGUCAGUAAGUAUUAAUAAAUUAAUAUAGGUAACAUUAAAUAAUUUAAAUUAGCUGUAGAAAAUUUUAAAAUAUUUUAUUCAUAAUAAAAAAUUAGCGAUAUUAUAUCAUGAAUUAAUUAAUAUGUAAAUUAUUUAUUUAUCAAAAUCAUUUUCAUUUAAUUAAAUAUUAAUUGAGGUUUAAUUAUUAGUUAUCAAUAAAAAUUAACAUGGUAUUGUCUUUUUUAUGGUCCUGGCCCCCAUCUCCAAAUUAGAAGCAAUUCUCAAACCCGCCCCAUACCUAAAAGUUCACAUUUGGGGAGCAUCCCCAAUUUUGUGUAUGUAUAUAUGAUUUGGUGAGUUACAAGAAGCAUUACCAGCAAAAGCACAGAAAUGGUUUCGUUUCAGAAGCAAAUAUGAUGCUAAGGAAAGUUUCGUCUUCAGCAUAAUAACUAUAUAAUAUCAUAAUGAAUUGGUGUGCAUUAACCAUGCUCCAGGUUGAUUUGGAAAGUCAUGAUGCUGUUUCCAUUUCAAUUUAGACUCCUUGCUUAUCAGCCAAAUGAUUUAUAAGUAAUAGCCAGUAGAAGUUUUUCUCAAAAUGGAAAUAAGUUGUCUUACUGGGAGAGUCCACAUAUGGUAUCUAAUUUGUGGUGUUAUUAUUUCAAUUGUAAGUUCCCUAAUUCUGGCCAAUGCACAGAUUCAGAAAGUUAUAUUUGGUGAGUUUUUUUUUUUUUAAAGGUUUUGGAUACAACGGCAAGAGAUAGGGAAAAACAACAAAGGGAGAGUCAAAACUCCACAUUAAGCUAACAUUUGAAUUUCCAUUUAUACUUUGCUCCACUCAUUCUAAUGUUUACUGGCUAAUUGUAGUUUAUGGUGUAGCAUCCAAAAAAGAUGACUCAUAGAAUUUAUUCUUUCGGACCACUAAGUAGCUUAAACACACACACACACACACACACACACAAACACAUGUACAUAUGAAUGUGUGUGUAUGUAUAUGUAUAUAUAUAUGUAUGUGCGUAUAUAUAAUCCUUCCCUAAUAUAGACAUCUCUUUUCUUUUUUUUUCUACAUAGACACACUAUCACUAGUAGAAAAAUAGCCUUCUAUGAUACUAUUUUGGUAUCGGCAGCUUGUUUUAUUAACACCGAGUUUAGUGUCAUUAAUCACGGUGCAAGAAAUUUACUGACACAAAUUUUUUGUGUCAACAAUUCUGUGUUACCUUAGAAUCAAAGAAAUGCUGAUUCCAUAGUAUCAAAAUAAUUGCAAUUCUAUACAAUCAUGUAGAUAGUGAUUCUAUGGUAUGAAGCAAGUUUUGAUGCUCUAAUGUCAUUUAUGUUCUGAUUCAAUAAUAUUGGUAUUUACCAAUGCUAUAUUGGUGUCAGCAGUUUUAAAAGUAUUUAAAAAAAAUAAUGAAAUGGUCAUUAUUACAAUUGUCAAUAAGCUGGAAUCAAAACUUAAUAAUCAACAGUUUUGAACAAUGAUUAUGAAACAAAUGUUGGUAUCAAAAUCCAAUAAACUCCAUUUAACAAUUGCCAAUAGGCUCCAUUCAGUAUUCAAUAUUCAACUUUCAACAUUGAAUAACCAAAUUGGUUCUAUCCAAUAUUCAGUAACCAAAUUCAUCAACCACAGUUUCAAUAGCACAACAAUGCUAAAAACCACAGCUAGUUUCUAAUCUAAAAAAACUACAACUUAUUUGUCAUUACGGCAACCUGAGUGGCAGUACUAAACAAUAAAGGCAAAUGGAAUUGGUGUGCUACCGCUAUCAUUCUCCAUGAUCUUCAAUGGCGUGAAUAAUAGUACCAACAACAAGCAACGACAAUACUCAAUUCCAACAAAAUCCACCCAACAAAGGAAAAUGGUUCAUCAAAGUUUGAAAACCACAAAUUUGUUUUACUACACCACUGAGACUAUUCUUGAAACCUGGAAGUAGUUCCUACAUAUAAAACGAAAUCAAGAGUAGGCUCCAACUAAAAAAGGCUUCAACAACAGAGAAAGAAGUUCACUAUACAUACAGAUCAAAGUUAGAACUUUAGCCAACCUGUGGCUUCCUUGCAGUAAUAGAGCAAUCAUGAUCAAAAUGAUUCAAAUGGCCUUUGACAGCUGAGCACCCAUUUAAAGGCAGCAGUGGUUUCUUACGGGAUUUUGAAAGUUUUUGAGUUGUUUCUUCCAUGGGUGUUACAUUUUCAGUGGAAUUAUCCAGUUUCUCUCCUUCAGAAUUCGUACAUGAUGAAUACAUCCGCACAAUGUUAUAUACAUAUGACCACAUGUAGAUGGCUUCAAUCUGAAAUAUCAAUAAUAAUGAAAAAUCAAAAUAUUGAAAAAGAUCCCAAAUUAGUUUGCCUGAGAUGACUAAGGAACAUUCUUAAUAUGAUCCAUCCAAAUACACCAUAAAAAUUAUCCAAAACUAUUCAUAGAAGUAAAGCAAAGAAUUGAAUUGAGUUUAUUCUUAAUCCAUUUCAUUAAAAAAUACUGCUACUUCAGCAAGCAAACCAUUGGUUAAGAUUAUAAGGCAACAAAGGAACAUUUAUAACAUUUUUGCUCACCUAUCUUCAUUUGACUCAAAUAGAAAGAAGGAGAGCGAGAGAGGGAAAAGAACCUGCAGCACAGCAUCCUAAAACAAGGCCCCACAAAUCAUAAGGAGCUUUUGUAGUUUUUAGAACUAUCCAUCCAAGUGCUGAGCCAACGAUGAAUGUAACAAGGAUAUUUAACGGCAUAAACCACCUACAUAGUUUUAUUUUAUUUAUGAAAGCUACUUUCAAUGAAUUGACGGAAGAAAACGAGAAAACAUGGUAAGAAGACCAAAAGAAUAAUUAAAAAAAUAGAAGAAACUGCACAGGUUUCGUAAAGAAUGCAAACUCACAACAUGCCCAUGCCUUCAGCUGUCAUGUGCUCUGCAAGACUGCUACCAAUAAGUGCUGGAUUGCAGAAGUAAAACACAACCUGUACAACAUUAAAAGAACCAAAUCCUUUAACAGCUUGGCAGGCUUUAGUAAAUUUUUUUUUGAAGAAAAAAUAUAACAUCAUUUGAAUUUUUUUUACAGUUAAAUUGCAGUGAAAAUUACCUUGUUCAAAUGCUGGCGUACAAGUCCCCCAAUAUAUCUAUCCGAUCUAGUGCAAGAAAUAAGCCAAGAGCAGUAAGCAGAAGUACCUUUAAAACUGGUAUAAAUGCAGCAAUAAAGAGGUCCAGAAUCUUCAUAGUGGGGUCUUUAAGUCCUCAGAUUAUCUAUAGUACUUGCUGCAGAGGAAAAGGCAUGAUAUGCUACCACAUGAGCAAUAGCUUUUAUAGAAACAAGCCUAAAAUUACUUUAAAAAUCAAUUUAACAUUGUUCGUAAUAGCAAUUUUACCCAUUAAAAACCGAUCUUCAAGCAAGUUUGUAUUUUUCACCACAAAAAUUAAAUCUAGACAAAUGACCUAAAAUAAAAUUUUUCUAAAGCACAUUUCAUAUUUCAUUAAAUUACAAAAAAGGAUUGCGUAUGACUUGAGAGGAAAUUCUGAUUGAUUCACAGUUUUAGCAUAAUAAGAAUACAGAUCACAAAUUAAAAUCCCAGACAACAUACGUGCAAAAUCUUUUUCUUUUUCUUUAUUGGGAAAUUAUCAUUCGUAUACCCUAUAUUUGCUUUGUUAUAAAAAAUACUACAACACUUUGAGGGUGUAUCAAUCCUCCACCCUUAGUUGACAAAAUGUAUUAGCUGACCACCAAACCGUUAGUUGAUGUUUAAAAGUUAACGGAAUUACAAUGAAUUGACGAUUUUACCCUUGAAAAUUAUCACUUGUAUACCCUUAAAUUCUAUAUUUAUCACUUGUAUACCCUUAAAUUAUCACUUGUAUCAUAUGAAAAGACUAAAUUACCCUUCUGACAUCAUCAUACUUAAACGGCAACUAACAGUUUGGUGGUCAGCUGAUACAUUUUGUCAACUUAGGGUGGACGAUUGAUACACCCUCAAAGUGUUGUAGUAUUUUUGAUAAUUGAGUAAACUAAGGGUAUAUAAAUGAUAAUUUCUCUUCUUUAUUAAAAAAAAUACCAGCCAAAAGGAAAGAAAAGGAAAAAAAAAAAAAACAAAUAUAGUUAGGUGGAUAGAUAACGAGGAAGGAGUAAAUAAAUUAUUGCUUGGUUAGAUAUCAUCUCAUAGUAACGAAUGAAAAGCAGAGAUAAGAACAGAUGAACCUCGUCUCUCCACCAGUGGCUUGGGGUCUUGGGGCCCAUCACGCGUGGGAGAGGAUUUCAGUUGGAGGAAGAAGGCGGAGCAUCGGGUGGCAACCUGAAAAGCUGGUGGAGGUAAAGGGAGUGAAGGAGACGGGAGCCACCGACACCGAGAGCUAGAACCACGGAUCUGAGCUCUUGGGUAGCACACCCAAAGUUAGCGAAUUGGUGGAUGCAUGUCUACUCUCAAAGGCGCUCGUCUUGAGCCGUCUUGUGCCAUAUCUUGUUGACGCAGGCUGCCCGUGCCAAGGUCCCGCCGUCCGUGUGUUUCAACUUUCAACACCUCGAACAGGAAGUUCUCAUCUAGAUUUGUAAGGCCAGUUUCUUUGGGAGGCUGAGAGUUUCUGUUUUGUUAAGACUUAAGAGGCUGAGAUAGCAAGAUAAAAACAAAUAAGAUUAUAAUUAAAUUAAACGUGAGAAAUUACUUUUCUAGCAAAAGCUUAAUCCAACGCCUCCAUUACUUCUUUUUUAUGGAUAUAUUCUUUAAUUAUUUUUCGUUAUUUUACUUCCUGUUCAUCAAGUUUGCGAUGUUUACAACAAUUAUUCAUUUGAAAAGUUAUCCAAUAAUGUUAAUACGUGAAAAUUGAGAAUAUGUAUAGCGAAAAAAAUUUCUUCAAAAAUGAAUUAUAUAAUCUUGACUUUGGAAAAUGUGGCCAGAACUGCAAAAAUGAAGAUUAAUUAACCUUGGAUGACAAUGAUUAAUACCCGUCCAUUUCUCCUAAGCUCUGUUUCUUACUUUGAUGCGCACAUGACUUGACAGCUUCAUCUUCCUCUAGCUUCCUUUCGUGAAACGUACUAACAAUUAACAGUAGUCUACUAACAAAUUAAGAUAUAAUCCAAUAUCUUUAGUACAAAUUCAAAUAGUCUCAUUUUGACUUUGAGCAAGCUUUUUAAUUCCACACUCAGAAACAAAAUUUUGUGAAUUCACAUUAUUUAGCAAAAUAAUUAACAAAUUAAUUGUGAUUAUGGUUGACGAUCAUGUUGAUAAGCAUCAUAUACACUAUCGUUGCAUAUUUAGUGAAAUGAUGCAAGGACGAAGUAUCACUUGGCUGUAAGAAUUAGUUACCCAACAAUUUGUGGAGUUUGUUUUAGAUAAAAUAAAUAAAUAAAUAAUAGAGAGCAUAAUUAAGCCGACAUGGAUAGACUAACUUAAACAAUAUAUUGAACACAAUUAUUAUUUUUAUUAACUUCCUUUUUCAAGAAGACACUGUACACAAAAGUAAAUUAAAACAAAAAUCUCUUGUACAGUUCAAGAGAUUUUAUAAGUUGAACUGAGCCAAAUAAAGACAUUCACACAAUUGAUAGAUAAUGAUUGAAAAAAUAUUAUGCUCAAAAUAUUUUCUUUGUAUGUCAAAGAACGAGAGAGUUACAAGCUUAUAUACAACUAUUAAGGUCAGCCAAAUCUCUUAGAGUAAUGGCUAGACAGGCUGUCCUAUUUAUGACUACAUACAUUAAGGAAUGAAAUCAUUUGUACAUAAGGAAUAUUAAUAUUAUCAAGUGAUACUUGCUCAAAAUAAAGAUUGUGUCUAGAAUAAGGGAUUGCCGAUGCCAAAUCUUGCCGCUAAUAAUAUUCGGUGAGCUGUAGCUACUGAUUGUAUGGUUUAUCAAUGAUAACCCAUCAUUUUAUUUAAUUAAUAUAAUACGGAAAGAGUAACUCGCACUUAAGUAGUGUAGUUGAGAUUUCUUCCGUGUUGAGGGACAAUAAAGAGAUCCAGAUUGUCGCUCAUGCUCUCAUCAUUAACAAUACUUAUAAGAGAUAUUGGAUAACCCGCAGACCACUCGACCUUCCCUAAAAAUUCACAACAACAAUUGUAUUCAUUAAUACAUAUAUUAAAAUAAAAAUUAUAAAUGACAUUCAACUGAACAUGGCCUGAGAACCUGGAUAAGGAGCUUCCAUGUUCUUCAAAUUAGAAAAGAUAUCUUCUAACUUCUGGUGAACCGUAAUCGAAAUUGAAGUUGCUUUUGUUUCUGGUUUGAUAAUAUGAUGUUGAUGUAUUUAUAUACGAGUCUUCGUAUAGUAUAGUGCUGUAUGCAAUACAGCCCCUUCAACAGUAAAAAGGAAACUUGAACAACUAGUAUUUUACCAGUUGUACAUUUAAUAAAUUUUUAAAAAUUAUUUUUAAUGCAGAAAAAAUAAAAUAAAACUGAAAAAAUUAAGGAAAUUUUGUAAAUAUUUAACACAAACAAUAUUUGAGAGAGAAAAAUAUUUUUAAUUUCAACAAAAGUUAAAAAAAUUAAAAUAAGCAUGUCUCUACUCUUUUGUUUUAAUGUCAAUAUAUUAGGUGACAUUCCAAGUUAAUUUCACAUAUACCUAAUUUUGAUUAAACUUUUUCACUAAUUGGUUUGCUUAUCUCCACUUUCGGAUCCACUAGUUUUAUGUUUAAUAUUCCUACUAAACUCGUUAAAUAUUAAUAUUUUGGGUCAAAUUCCAAUUAAAUUUAUUUCUCGUUAGACAAGUAUCAAAAUUCCGUUAAACUUUCUCCACAUUUGGUUCAUGUGUUUCAACUAUUAUUCUACUAGUUUUUCAUUUAAUAUUUCAACUCGUUUAUCAACAUUCCAAUUAUAUGGGUUAGAUAUUGAUAUUACUUUUUUUGGUUUGAUCAGUUCUAAAUUUUGGUAAUGUUUUUCCAUCCAUAGGUUCACAUGUUUCAACUUAUUGGUCCACUAAUUUUACGUUUGAUAUUUCUACUAAAUUUGUCAAGUACCAAGAUUUAUUGUUAGCUAGCUUCCAAGUAAUUAACAUUAUUCGUUGGAUAAGUUUCAAGUUUUGGUUGUUCUUUCUCUCUUAAUGGUUCACGUGUUUCCUCUAAUUUUUUCCCUAAUUUUGCGUUGAAAAUUGCCAUUAAUUGGUUGAGAUUCCAAUUACUAAGGUUAGGUACUAGGUUUGUUUUCUAUAACUUUAUUUUUUAUUUUGUAGAUCUCUAAUUUUAGUUGUGCUUUCCCCAUUUUUGGUUGACGUAUUUCAAUUGUAAUUCCACAGGUUUUGUGUUCGUUAUUCCAACUAACUUGGUAAAAUUCUAAUUAUAUGGGUUAAAUAUCAAUAUCACUUUUGCUUGGUUUGAUUAGUCUCAAGUUUUGGUUAUACUUUUUUAUCUUUUGGUUCACAUGUUUCAACUUAUUGGUCCACUGGUUUUGCGUUUCAUAUUCCUAUAAAGUUCGUUAGGUACAGUAUUAUGGGUUAGAUUCCAAGUAAAUAUCAUUUUUCGUUAAAUGAGUUUCUAAUUUUCGUCAAACUUUUUCUCUUAAUGGUUCACGUGUUUCAUCUAAUUUUUUCCCUAAUUUUGUGUUGAAUAUUCCCAUUAGCUAGUUGAGAUUCCCAUUACUGAGGUUAGGUACCAAGUUUGUUUUCUAUAACUUUAUUUUUGGUUUUGUAGUUCUCUAAUUUUGGUUGUGCUUUCUCUAUUUUUUGUUGACGUAUUUCAAUUGUAAUUCCACAAGUUUUGUGUUCGUUAUUCCAACUAACUCCACAUGUUUUGCGUUCAUUAUUAGAAUAAAAGCAACAAGUUCUAUCAAAAUUUAAGAAUGAUUACUAGCGCUUUCAUGCUCGUGGAGGUGAGAAUGGGAGACGCUUGUUGUCUUAAGUGACUAUUCUUACCCCACUAAAUUUAUAAAUUUAAUCAUUCCUUCUCUAUAUGGUGUUUCCACUCCUAACAAUAAUUUUCUUAAUAUUAAAAUUGUCAAUAAUAAUAAUUACAAUUAUUAUAACAAAUAGUAAUAAUGAUAAUAAUUGAUUGAGGAUAAAUUAAUAAUUUAUAAUAACUCAUUCUAAUUUAUGUUCACAAAGUAAACAUAUUAAUAGCAAUAUAGAAUAUUCCAAUUGUGUUUCAUUCAUCCAACAAAUAUCAUAUUUUGUUUGUUAUUCUUCAUUUUUAUUGUAGCCCAUUCUAAUUUUUUUUUAAUUUUUGUAAAUUUCAAUUAUUUAUUAGUGAGCACAUAAAAAAUUUAAUAAAAAUUAAAUUUCACAUUAGAAAGAGCAUGCAAGGUAGACUUUUGUAGGGUUUGCAAAUCAUAUUGUAGGUAUUUGGAAGUUCACAAAAAGUAAAUAAUGUUAUGUACAGAAAUAAGUUCUUGUUUAUAACGUUUUGCUGUAUUUCAGUGACACUUUGUUAUAUAAGGUGUUGGAUGCUAGGAUUAAGUAUGGGAUUGAACUAAUUUUGGAAUUAAAUAUUUAUCCAAUGUUUGUCAAGCUUAGUUGGAUUGUAUUAAGGGGGUAGUAAUUUAAAUUUAAUUCUAAAAUCAUGGGAUUAAUAAUGGUAAUUUACGCAUGGGUUUAGUUGGGAUAAGAUUAAUGAAAAAAGUUGUCCAUUUAUGAGAUUUUUAUUUAUAUCAUUUUUUAUUUGCACCUAAUAUUAAUUAAUUUUUAUUAUGAUUUACUUAAAACUUAUUUAUAUUUAUUAUCUAUGAUCUAAUUAAAUUAAUAUAUUUACUUGUAUUAACUCCGGAGAUUAAAUGUUCACCACUAGUAUAUUUAGUAAUUUAUCGAUAAAAUUAAAUGUUUAAUUAUUUAUUUCGCAAACACACCAAUAUUACAUUAUUUCCCUAUUAUUGCCAUCGGUUCCCAAACAUCCAAGAGCUGGUUGGCAACAAGAGAAAAAAUAGGGGUGACUAAUAACGACGACUAUGUAAUCGUGGCCAAUAAAUUAUUUCACAGUACCUAAUUAUAGCAACGAUUAAAUGCAACCUGAAACAUGCUGUUGAAGUCAUAGUUAUGGAAAAUUUUACAAACUUCAAAUAAGACCAAAAAAUUACAAAGAGUAAUGUUAAAUAUCCCAAUUAAAAUUGUGCCACUAUUCAAUCACAAAUGUAGGAUAGGUGACUAUAAUUUUUCUAUAAGUAAUGCUUCGGUACUUUUAACAGUGUGAUGAGUAAACGUUAAUUUUUAUAUUUUAACUCAUGAUCGUUAAGAGAAAUUAAAUUUGGAGUGUGUUUUUCAAAUAAUGUGACACUUCAAAAAUAUAUAUCUCAUCCUUCUCCCCGUUCCUCAUCAAAAACCACUUUUUCCAAUUUUCUCCCACAGGAUGCAGGAAUGAAGAAUGCAUGGAAGGAGAAAUUACCUAUCCAAACAUCCAUACUUGGAAAUCAUCAACACAAACCACAAAAUUAAGCUAUCUUAUGAAAAAUGUCCAUAAUGCAUAAUCAAAACAUAACAAGUAUUGACAAAUUUGAAAACAAAAUACAUAAUAAUCAUAAUUUCUGGGCAUAAAACCAUGGGAUAAUCACUGAGGAGGUGGCGGAGAUGAAGAUGAGGAUGGCGGCGAAAUCCCGAGAGUCCGGCAGAUGAGCUGCUGGUCAUCUAGAAUCUGCUGCUGCUGUGAAAAAAGACGUUGCUGCUCAGAAUGGAAGUGAUAGUGGAACGCUGCAAACCGUGUCUGAAGCUCGUUCUGUUGUAUAGAUAUGGAACAAAUUAAAACUGUCCAUUUAUAUGGGUAAUGAGUAACUACCUUAUCUUUUUAAUAAUUAAAAGAAAAGUAUUCCUUUAAUUAUUGGUAGAAUUUAUUUUCCAAUUCACUAUAAAAAAUAAAUACUCCUAGGGUGAAGAAUAUAAGUAUAAAUUGAAAUACAAAUUUUUUUUCACUUAAAGUGUUUUCUCAAAUUUUUUUCCAUAAGAAACUCAAAAAUGUAUUAAUGAAUAAGUUGUAAAAUAGAAAGUGGACAAGCCGUCCACUUAAAAAACAAAGCCUAGCACUAUUUGUGCUAUACGAAAGUGUACCCAAUCACCCCUAAAGUAUUUUUCCAACUUUUUCUCGUAUUUUUUUAAAGAAUACUUAAUAGAUUAGAUAUUGUAAUAUAAAAAUUGAAGACAAACAAACAUGAAUGAUGUAUCAAUAAAUUAAUGGAGAUCUAUUACUAUAUUUGGAGUAAAAUUAUGAAUAAAUUAACAUAGAUAAUGAAUUUAUACCUUUACUCUAUAAUGCAAAUGGUAUUAUGUUUUUAAUUCAAUUUAGCACCGUACAAGAAAAGAUUACCUUAUCGCUUCCAAUCCCUCCUUUAGAUCUAAGCCACUUCAUGAACUUCUUGAUCCUUGAUUUGCUCCAGAAUGUGAUAGGAAGUAUAAUCCUAUAAGGCUGAAUGUUGUCAUAUGCAACAUUAUGGAGAUAAAAGAUCUGCAUGAGCAACUUAUAAUUAAGAAGAAUAAUAUUAUUCAUGGUAAGCAUAUGCUCAGCUUUAGUUGCAGAAACUAUGUCACCUGUAGGAAGUGCUAACAAAUUCCAAUGUAUGCUGCUUGUUGUUUCCACUAUUUCAUUGUCACCAGAAUGUGAGUUUGAAUUACCCAUCCUUUUAUCUCUCUUUUUGUACCUUGCCUUUUGUUCGGGAGGAAGGUCUUUGUAGGUUUUCCCAAUAUGUUUUUGUAACUGUCAAAAUGAUAAUGAAUAUGUCUUAAAACAUAAAAAACCCACAAAAUAAUAUCUAUACAUGCUACAUUUAAUGAAUAUAUACUAACCCCAAUCGUAACGGACAAAUCUAAAUUUUCACUUCUCAAACGCUUAACUUCUUCAUUGCUGCAAAAGCAUAACAUCUAAUUACUGUUAUUUGGUAUGGGCGUGUUUCUUUCCCGAUAGGUAAAUCACAACGACUACUUACAAGUAAGAGACAAAUCCAUAAGUUGAAGACAUUGGAAUUGCAUCCUGACCAUUUGCUUUUAGAAUAGGAGCACUUUUUUCUGUAAGCCCCCUGGUAGUUGUUUACGCUUUCGUCGGUGACUGUCCAAGAAAAAUUUUAAAUAAUUAAGUGAAGGAUAAUUAUUCCAUCAAUAUGUAUUAAUUUUUUUUUAAAAGAUGAGUUCCCCCACCUGCUAUUCAAAGUCACUGUGUACUCCUUACUUUUUAAUCUAUUAAACAUUCCAUAUAUGGUGGAAUUCAAGCACAAAUUAUAAUUUUAUUUUAUUUUUUUCCUCAUUUAUACCAAUGAAGAAAAAGAUGACAAGAAUAACAAAGGAAAGAUCUUUAUUUUUGCCCAAGACUAUGACCUCUCACAAACUCACAAUAAAUGAAUGACAGAGUGAAAAAAAAUUGUAUAUAAUAAAGGGAUGGGAUCAAGAGCUCUCAUUUCUUACUACAAAAUUUACGAAAUCUAAAUAUUUCAACAACAUAAAAUUUAAUGGAUAAUGAUCUUUGCUGCAUACAUUAAAAUCAUGACUAUUACCGUGCCCUCAACUUUGCGUCAUACAAACAAAUUUCAUCAUAAAACAAAGUACAGUGCUUUUUUUUUAAUAAAAAAAUACAUUAAAGGCUGCUGGGAAUGAGUAGGGGAUGAUGGGUUGUAACCAAGAUCAAAAUUAAUGCAUUGAAACCAAUAUGACAAAAUCCAUACUAUGAAUUAUUAUAAACACCUAAUAAAGGGUUAGUAUAUCAGAGGGAUUGAUACCUGGAAUGUACUUCAGCAAAACAGGACCCCUGAAAAUAAGAAAGAAAAGUUUUGCUCAACAUUCCAAAAAAAAAAGAAGGCCUGCUCUUUUUAAAAAAUUAUAUCGUUGUAACUUACACAAAAUUCCACUUAGCACAAUCGUAAGGACCAAUCGUAAGAUUAAGAUGAAGGCCUGCUUGCUGCACCAGCUUGAUAAACUUCAGCAGAUCAGAAUUCCCCUCCAAGUAAUACUAAAACUAAUUAAAACAAAAACAAAAAACAAAAAUAGCAAAACAUUUACUGAAGAACUUAUUUAAAAUAUUACCCUAGAUUUGAGACUACAAGCAAACAGUGCCUUCUGAUAAAAACAAAUUACAUGCCAUAAAUAAAAUUAUUACGAGCCCACCAAAGAAAUUGUCAGGGUUAUAGUGAUUACAAACCUUCCCUAACUUUAUUUAUCUUCACCAAUGAAAAUAGGUCAACAUUUAACAUUCUUUUACAACCAAGUACACCAAGUCUUACAAUUAAAGGUUUAAGGUUACAAAGCAUAGUUACUUAAGACUCUUAGCUUUAUCGUAAGGCACCUUAGACAAUUCUAUUACCACACAAAGACCUGGGCCUAUUUCUUAUAAACACGGCAAGAAUCACAUCCAAGGUCAAGCAAAUUCAACAACAAGGUCAUACGGCAUAUACCCAGCACAUACCCAACUCAUUGGCCGAUUUGAGGCACAAAACAAUAGAAUAUUAUCAUAAAACCACCACAAUAUCACUGGAUUCGAAUAUAAGAAUAAUAUAAAUAUAAUUGUUCAAUUCAAUCAUUACCCCAAAUCACGAAUACUAGCGAGACUAUAUUAAUUCAUGCCACUGGCAGCAGCACAUUCUUUAAUAAAAUCCUUCAAAUAUAAAAAAUCAGCUACAUGCGAAUCUAGAAUUUAAAAGGAAAUAUACAAUAAUUUUUUGGAGAGAAGAAAUCCCUUUCCACUUAUAUUGAAGAUAAUUCAAGAAAAUGACAGGCCCCAAUUCGCAGAUCAUCAAAACAAACCCCAUUACUUGCAGUUGCUUGAUGCUCGAUAACGUUACCUCUUUUUUUUUUUCAAUUUAUAAUUUUUUCCUUUUUGUGAAUAACAGAAUCUCAAGAUAAAAUAUUGCAGUAUGACUUAAUUGUAACUCUAUCGGUUCAAAAACAAAAAAUGACAAGCCCUAUCAAUUAUCAUUCAAUUAUCAAUCCCUAGAAAUCAUCUCAAUAUUUCAAGUAAUAAUUUCUCAAUUGCAAAAUCAAAUUAUUGAAACUGAAAUUUCAAGUAAUAUUCAUAAACUAAACUGAAACGUCCUGCAUAUUUAAAUGACAUGAUAAGAUUUUUAAUCAUAUAUUAAAUUAGAGAGAGAGAGCUCACCGAAAUUAUUGGAAGACAUAAGAGAGAGAUACAGCAAGAGUGAUAGAUUGAAGCUGACGAAUUGAAGCUAUGAGUGACGAACUGAAGCUGAGAGUGAUAGAUUGAAGCUGACGAAUUGAAGCGAGAGUAACAGAUCGAGUAAGCCUGAGUAAAUGGCACUCUUUCGACUACAUCUUUGCUCUUUGCUGUGAUGGGUGGUGAAUAUUCUUGAAUACCAAUUUCAUUGAUCCAAAAUUCUAGAUGUAGGAGAAAACAAUAGCAGAGAGAAUAUGAAGGCUGUUACUUUGAGGGAGAGAGAGGCAUCACAAUCCAACGGCUGUGAUUUUUUAGAUAAGUCAAGUGAUGACAUAAUGACUGGCAUAUCUGGUCGCCAAAAUGAGUAAUCAAACAUAUUAACCAUUGGAUGUUUCUACUUCUAUAUAACGGUUGCCCUUUCUUUUAAAGUUAUUGUUACGUUCGGAAAACGUGACCACACAAUCAAAUGUUCUUCUAUUGUCAAAAACAAUAAAUACAUGAGUUUCUUUUUUUAGGUUAUGUCAAUUCAGCAGUUAAGCAGUUAGUGGUUUGUUUACUUAUGAGACCGAAUAAUUAAAAUAUAAAACAAAAAUGAUUAAUAACGUUUACUUGUUAAAAUAUAAGAGAAAUAAAAAUGAAAUAUAUAAAUUCACAUACUAUUUAAAUUAAAGAAUAAUAAUAGAGUCAUAACUUUUUUUCCAGUCAUCACUUUAUUUAAAAAAGAGUUGAACUAUAGGCACUCCUCUGAAAUUCUUAAAAAAAACCCUCUCAUGUUAUAAUUACAUUAAAGGAUAAAUUAAUCUAAUUAUACCGCUAUAUUUGUCUCGCUAAAUCUUUACAUCCACACAACUAUAUCAAAGUGUUUUACAUUUUUUUUUGUUUUCUUUUGCAUUCUAUUUUUUUAAUUUAAAAAAAUUACAUAAUAGCUAUUUGAGUCACUUCUUAAUUCAUACAUAUACAAGAAAUUUAAUAAUUCAAAAAUUUGUAUAAAAAAAAAUUUAGUUGGAGUUGUUUGGAAGAAACUAAAUUUUCUUUUGAAAUCAGAAAGAAACAGAAAAAAAAAAACAAAACAAAAAAAAGAAGACAUUUUGGGAAUUAAAGUAGGUAGAAAAGCAGCUUGAAACGUAAAUUACAAGGGUGCUAAUAGUCUUACUCUUUGAAAAAUGCGGCCUGAACUGACAAAAUGCCGACCUAACCAAUUUUUUAUGACGAUGAUUAAUACUUGUUCGUUUCUCCUUAGCUCUGUUUCUUACAUUGAUGCAUACAUGACUUAAAAGCUUCAUCUUCCUCUAGCUUCCUUUCGUGAAAUCCAAUAUCUUCUGUAGAAAUUCGAAUAAUCUCAUUUUGACUUUGAGUAAGCUUUUCAGUUCAAUUAUCUUGCUGUAGUUUAUUUUUGUAUUUGCACAAAAUAAUGCAGUCAGAACAAAAUAAUUAUGUAACCCGAAGCAAUUCCUUCCAUCUCUACGAUAUUAACAAAAGCCAAAAUUUUCAACCAUAAUUACAAUUAAUUUGCUACUUAAACAACGUGAAGUUACAAAAUUUUGGUUUCUAAAUGCGGAGCUAAAAACCUCUAGCAUCAAUAUAUUGGGAAUUGCGCCCUCAUCGUCUUAAGAUUAUUUGUUAAUAAUUAUGUAGAAAGGAAAAAAGAUGGAUGAUUUCAAUUUCCACCAAUCGAUAUGCAUGCACGAGUCUGAACUGAGACUGAGAAGACUAUUAGUACAGUGACGGAGGAAAAUAAUCUACUGAAGCACCGAGUUGCCCAUUUGGAUUUUUCGGAGAAGGUUGAUCUUUAAAGUUCAUUGUUUAUUCAACCAACCACAAAAAAAUUUAUUAUUUAUUCAACCAAUCAUAAACAAUCUUUUGUAUAUUAAAUUUUUUUUUAAAAGUUCCAGAUGAAAUGAUAUUUUGAAUAUUAUCUGCAAUAUUCACGUGAUUGGUACCACAUUUUUUAUUUUCUUAUUAACAAAAUUAUUUAUUUCGUAGGGACCGUAUUCACGCUUCCAAGUUUCUCAUACAUAUGCAAUUUAACCAUUGCGGUUGAUUAGCAUUUGAGUUUUGACAUGGGAAGCGGUAGGGAUGGGAAUAAAAUCCGGAUCCGCAUGUUAAAUAAUGCAGAUUUACAUGUAAGAAAUUAAAAUCUGCACGGAUCCGAAUCCAAAUUUAAAUAUAAGUGCAUUCAAAAAAUCAGAUAUUCUGCUAAUUUUUAUAUUAAAUUAAAAAAAUAUAUAUUAACUUUAACUUAAAAACAAAUUUAACCCAACUCUCACAUUCACACGCGCUCACAACACUUUUCCAGCAGCCACAACCCACAAACCCCUAACACCCAAAUCCCCCUAAUUCCGUAGGAUGUCGCCGUCUGCCUCACGGCCUCGCCUAAGCCUUGUGUCCAAGCCUCGAUCUAAGUCGGUCGCUGUCGUUGCGCGCUGCACGCCUCGAUCUGAGUCGGUCGCUGCCGCUGCACGCUGCACGCCUCGAUCUGAGUAAGUUGCUGCCGCUACACGCUCGAUCUGAGUCAGUUGCUGUCGAAUCCUCGCCAUCGAAGAAGCCUCUCGCUGUCGAAUCCUCGCCCUCGGAGAAGCCUCGUCUAAGCACUUUAAUUAAAAUGGUCUUGGCAAGCCUUGUUGAAUCCUUUGGCCUUUGUUGAUUCAAUUUAGUUUAAUUUUGAAUAAAUUUCUUUGCUGAUUCGUUUCAUCACUUUAAUUAAAUGCAUUAAUUUUCAAUAUAAUGUAAAUGUUUAAUAGGUUUUGGGAUUAGGUUUUAAUUUGGAAAAUUGUUGAAUUUUUAAAUUAAAAAUUUAAAUGAAAUCUUGGUGAAACCUGUUGUCAUCUGCCGGUUAACAUAGCUAGUCUCUGAAAUAAUUUCUUGAUUCACUAAUUAUGAGUUCAAAUUUGAUGCAGAAUGGGCAACCAGCCUACUGCAAACAAAUCUUCUGGAACAGUUCAGAUGAAGGGACAGCCAAUCCAGCAAAACAGUUAUAAACAACUCUAAAUAAAUUCAUAUACGCAUAGCAGCUAAUUACAGUCUUGAUACUUCAUUAGGUUUUUGUUAAUUUUCUAUACAGUUGUGCUGUGCAUUAAAGUUUUGUUAAAUGAAAUCGGUAGGUGAGGAUUAAUUAAUCAAUUAAUUAAGAUCCAGUUAAUGUAAUUAAUUUUAUUUGAUUUUUUUAAUUCGAGUUCUAAAUUAAUCAAUUAAUUUAGAUUCAUGUGAAAUUGAAGUGAAUUAGUUUCGAUCUGUUUUUCGUCCUAUGUUUGUCUGUGUUUACUCUUACUUUUUUUUUGUUUAAAUUUUCGUUUUCUUAUUGUUUACUGAAUAAAUUUCUGAGCUGUAUUUGAGUAUGAUUGAUUUGUGAUUUUAAUUUGUGACUUUUUUUUUUGGAAUUUAAAUCUGAAUGCUUUUUAAGUUGAAUCUGAUUGUGUUGGGCUGCGAUUUAAUUGAGUGAUGAGGGAGCGCCAAAUUGUGAGAGCCAAAUAUUCAAUAACCGAUAAAUUAUAUUUAUAAAUAUUAAUAGCGAUGGCACAUAAACAAUUAAUUCAAGAACUUGCCCAUAGUGAUUAAUUUAAAGAGUAUAAGUAACAUUGCAGUACAGUUAGCCCUUGCGUGUUUAAUUAGCAAUUGAAAACUAAUGUUGCUGAUGAGGUAGAACAUUAUAACACUGUUGCUGAUGAGGCAGCUGGUAAUUCUUCUGGUGAAGAUAUUAAGACUAUUAAAGCUGAAAUGUAAUUAGAGAAAUAUAAUGCAUUCCCUUAGUUUGCUUUUUGUUUUUGAUAUUUGUUUGGCUAAUGCUUUGCUUAGAUUACUUUUUGUUUUUGAGAUUUUAUUGGCUUAGUCAUGGGGUAUUGUUUUCUCUUCUAAUUUCUAUUUUUGUUGUUAUGGGAUUUUAUUGGCUUACUUUUUGUUUUUGAGAUUUAUCCAGUGCUUUCAAUAAAUCAUGGUCGAUUUACUGUUAAUUAAUCAAAUUUAAUUUACCCAAAUUACUCAUGUACACGAUCAAAAUAAUUAUAAUUCCAUGAUAUAUAUACACGCGCGCACACAAACAAAAUGUAAUUAACUUUGAAAUAUAAAAUAUUUAAAAUAAUCACCGUACUAACAAUUCACAAAUCAGAUUUUAUAUAAAUAGACGCAAUAAUGUUAAUCUAGCGAAUCCAGUCAUAAUAAUUUGAUUUUCAUUUAUAUUAAUUAUGUCAAACCAUGCUAUUUUAAUAAAUAGCACUUGAGAAUAUAUAUAUCCAACAUGUAAAAUUUCAAAACAAUAUUUGCCAAAAUCUGAUGAAGAGAAUAUACACGCACGCACAUAUAUAAUCGUACAGCAGAAGGAUAAAUAAAAGAAAAUGAAGUUUCAACAGUUGAAUAAUGCAAAUUCAUUUUUUUUUAACAAGCAUUUUAUUGUUUAAUUAAAAAAUUCGAAAACCGAUUGGUCUUAUAUACAUGAUAAAAACUCACCGACGCCGAACCAUAUUCAUUUAAAUUAGUUUUCAACUGAGAUUUGAAUUUUAAAAUUAUAUAAACAAGCACGCCCAAUUUUUUUUUUUAAAAAGUAGUAAUUAUAAAAUAUUUAUGUCGUCCUCUAAAAAACCAAUUUACAAUCUAUAAAACCAAUUUACAAUCUAUUUCAACAUAAGGUAUAUGGGUUAACAAGUCCCAAUAUUGUCCUCCAUCCUUUCUGCACUUCUCUUCUAUCAACCGACAUCUCCAGAUGUCUAAUUGCAAAAGUGAGGAAGGCAGGCCCUUCUCCGGAAAGUAUUUGAGCUUGGGACAUUCCCAGAGAUACAAUUCAGUGAGGUUUUGAAGAUCAACAAUUGAAGAAGAUAGGCGUUCCAGAUUUGGAAAUUUAUAAAUGCUCAGAGAUGUUAGAGAGGCAGGAAGAGGAAGCGCGGUCCCUAAUCUUUUGUCCUCUAGUGGAAAUGACGCCAUGUCGUCAUCGCAUCCUCUGAUUUCAAGACGUCGCAGAGAGGAGAAUCUGUGAAAUCCCCGUCCCCGCUCAAUCAUUGACUUCCAAAUCUCCAUAUUACCCCAAAUAUCAAGUGACUGAAGGUUGGUGGGGAGGCCAUCUUCUUCUUCAAGGCUUGGAAGCGCACCUCCUUUUCCUAUUGUUAAUUCUUGAAGAGAGCUCAGAUUGUGCAUUCCCUUGGGUAAGGCCUCUAGUCUCUUACAAUUAGAUAUCGCCAGCCUCCUGAGUUUCGCACAAGGCAAUCCCCCUUCGGGAAAGGACACCAGAUUUUUACAACUAUCUAUGCUGAUUGUUUCAAGAGAUGUGUUGUUGUCCAACCUUUCUGCUAUUGACUUCAACUUUGAACAACUCCAAACAACGAGGGACUUAAGAGACGAAGGUGGAUUGCCAACUUCAAGGGACUCAAGCGUGGCAGGUAACUCGUUUUUUGAAAAUAUACAUGUCAGAGAUGGACAACUAAUAAUUUCUAAGUGCUCGAGAAGAGAUGAGGUGUACCUUCUGCUGCUGCUGCUACACUGGAUGCCCUCUUCCACUGUCAAAGUCCUUAUAUUAUCACAAUCUCUGAUGCUCAACUUCUUAAGGCUCGGUGGCAGCUGGACAGCAGCAACAUAUGUCAACGAAUGGCAAUUCAGAAUAUUCAAGAUCUCGAGAGACGAAUUGGUGUCGCACAUCCAUGCCUCUGGUAACGAUUUCAGUGCACCACAAUACCUAAUCUCAAUUUCCUUCAACUUGGAAGGCAGAGCAACCUCAGGAAAGGAAACAAGGGAACUGCACUUCCAGAUUUCUAUCUCUCUCAAGGAACUGAGGCUGAACGAUGAUUGUGGCAGCUUCACAAGGCCUUCGCAAUUACUCAAUCUUAGAUAUUCAAGUCUGCAUGACAACUCGCAGAGCUGCUGUUGUUGGUCUUUCUUUUCCUCCGCCACCAAGGAUUGAAGUUUGGGACAGCUUGUAAUCGUCAGUCUUUUGAGAGAGCAAAUGUCUUGCAGUAAUUCGUUAUGACUCUUCCAUAUAUGUGUUUCAUUUUUAAUAUUUUUUAUCUCCAAUUCUUCCAGUUUUGGUAUUCGCGGCUUCAAUGGCCCUGCGAGAAACACUUGAUUUGAUGUAUCUCUACAAACCACUGCAUUCUGUGAGCCGAGAUGAUCAAUUGCACUUCUCCACACAACCUUUUUACAUCCACGAAUUACCAAUUUGCAAAGAGCUGGAAGACUCCUAAUUGAAAUUGACAAUUCUUCGCAUUGUUCAAUAACAAGCAUCUCCAAUGCAGGAAGCUGCUCUGGAAAUGUUCCUUGCAGUUUAGAACAUCUUAAAAUGUGAAGCUCUCUCAAUUUAGGAAACCCUUCAACUCCCUGACUGGAUCCAUGAGGAAACCACUCUUCCCACUCUUGCAGGUCUUCAAAAUGAAGAGUCUCCAAGCAUGUAAAUGGAAUUUGAGAGUCAUCCCCAUAGAACUCUGAACCCAAUCUCUUUACUCUACUCAUUCCACGCACUGUAAGAUGCUUCAGAGAGGGCAGUUGGCCGACUGACGGCAGGGCAGUACACAUGCCGCAAUCUUCAAAUUUAAGUGUUACUAAAUUUAAGAAUGAGGAAUCUCCUAACCAUGUUGGAAAUUUUGUACCUCCAUAGCCACAGAUGCCAAAUUGUUCCAGAUUUUUAUGGGGUUUGAGCAUGUCAAGCACACCCAUUUCAGUUUCUGCCUCCCUUGAAGAUGAACCAUCGGUGCUGCAAGUCCAAUUAAGCGAUAAUUCUCUAAGAUUCUUCUUUCCAUCCAACCGAGCCUCCUUUGCAUCACCAAUGUCUUUUACAUUCUCUAAUUUUGAAAUUUUAAGUGUCCCCUGAAGAUGUAUCAAUGACUUUAGCUCUCGUAACCCAGAACCAUUGUCUUUUCCCACAGCAAAAUUACCCAGCGUUUGAAGACAAGUCAGCUUACCAAUUCCUAGUGGCAUUUCCUCCAAGGAAUCUGUAUUUGAAUUAUUGAGAUGAUGCAAUUUGAUGAGAUUUCCCAUGUCUGCACACAACUUCUUCAGUCGUCGACAGCCCUCCAAAAGAAGGGUGUGCAAGUUGUAAAGCUUGCUGACUGAUUCAGGCAGAGUUUUAAUCUCAGUUCCAGACAGGUUAAGGUGCCUUAAAUACCUCAAAUCACCAACUGAAUCCGGCAGCUCGGCGAUGCAAUAUCCACGCAGAGAGAAGACCCUUAAGCUUUGGAGUUUGAACAACUUAGGAAGAAUGCUAUGAGCCAAGUAUCCAUGCCGACUAUUUAACAUCACUGGUAAAAAAGUUCUCAAAUGUUGGAUAUCAUACAAUUUCUCAAACCUUUGAACGCCAUCAUAAUCUCCACGAAUGUACGACAGAUAACGAAGAUUUCUAGAAAAACAUUGUUGCUUGUUAACCUCCGAGGUAUACUCCAGUGUGAAGUAUGUCUCCCCUGCAGCCCAACGGGCAAGGUCGUUGAUAAGAUCGUGCAUAACAAAUCGUGAUAUACUGUUGCUCGAUUGCUGGAAAAAAGAUCUUCCACGUAGCUCUUGAAAGAACUUUCGACCGAGAUCUUCACUAGGAUUCCCACUCUCUCCGUGAUUCAAGAAACCCACAGCACUCCAUAAUAAAAUUAUCUCCCCCUCUUCAAAUUCAUAAUCCUUUGGAAACAAUGAGCAAUACGCAAAGCAUUGUUUCAAAGGUGCCGAAAGAUAAUAGUAGCUCACUCUAAGCGCCGGCAUAAUGUCACAUCUCUCUUCUUGCAAUUCCCAUAUCUUGGUACUGAGCACUCUCUCCCAAUCACAUCUGUCAUCUUUUCCUCGCAAAAGUCCUCCAAGUGUUUGCGCUGCCAAGGGCAAGCCAUCGCAUUUGGCCACUAUCUUCUUGCCAAUUUCCUCCAAUAACUUAUCUGACCCCAAAGAGUGUUGAGCGAACACAGACAGACAAUCAUCAUUUGACAACUUUUUCAAUUGAUAAGCCCGAACAGUCCCCAUGAUGGCUGCAACCUCUUGAUUACGAGCUGUGACAAUAAUCUUACUUCCCGGUGCGCCAGCUUCAAAUGGAGGUCUGAGUCGAUCCCAAUCAUUGUAAUUCUCAUUCCAAACGUCAUCUAAAACAAGCAAAAAUUUUUUUCCAGAUAACUUCUUCUUCAGCUCCUCUUGAAGCUUAUUCAAGUUGUGAUUAUCCACGUUCUGGUCAGGAACAAUGGAUAUCAAGAUUGUUUUUGUUAGCCUGAAAACAUCGAAAUCAUCAGAGACACAAGUCCAUGCCUUGAGAUCAAAAUGAUCCUGCACUUGCUUAUCAUUGUAGACAAGCUGAGCAAGAGUGGUUUUGCCCAGCCCGCCCAUACCUAUGAUAGGAAUAACAGAGAAUUCACCAUCGUUGCUUAAAUCAUCCCUCAAAAGCAGUUCUACAACAUCCUUCUUUUCUGUUUCUCUGCCAUAUGCUUUGGCUUCCUUCACCAAAGAAGUUGUCUCUCGCCUUUGCCUGUCUUUUAUGGUCCUCCCACCUGAACUUACGUUCAAACCCAGCGAAUCCUUCUGAGUUACAAUUUCUUGAAAUCUGCCGUUGAUCUCUUUGAUUUUGGACAUUAUGGCGUAAUCGAACUGAAUCGAUUGUGGAGCAAAAGUGGUGCAGCAAGUGGGAAUGAGCUUCCGAAACUUACUUGUUCUUGUACGACUGCUACUGGGUUGAUCAAGAGCAGCAGCAGGUUCUCCAUUUCCAAGCAGCAACUUCCUCCGGAAAACCUCAGUUUGAAACUCAUCCAACAGGUCCUCAACAUCAUAAGCCAAGUUCUGAAGCUCGCCAAGCCACAACUUCACAGACUGAUCAGUCGUUUUCUUCUCCUCAGCAUCAGCAAGCACCGCCUUGAUCAUCACCAACAUAUUCUUCCACUUCUUUAGGUCGGCCUGGAUUUGCUCUUGGCGUGCAAACAACCGAAUCCCCUCUGAAGCUAACUUAUUGACCAGCAAAUCAACGGAAGCCGUAAGGAUUGCCUCUCCGAUGAUUGACAUUUUUUUUUUGUUUUUGUUUUGCAAAGAAAGAAACAGAAUUUUGAGUUUUGAAAAGCAAAAUGAGAAAAUUGAACAGUAAGUGUGGAGGGUCAAGCAAAAUGCGCGUAACAAGUCUUCCGCUUGUUGUUUAUUCCAGUAAAGCUAGAAUAAAAACAGAGCCCACCACCCAUUAAUAAUAAUUGAGCAAUUCACCAACCACCAAUCACCAGUCACCACUACUCGUUACCAUGAAUAUAAUAAAUUGCAACUUGAUAUUUGCAGGGUCCAGCAACAUUGACCCAGUGUCCGGGUAAAUGCUGAUAAAUCAAAACGUUUAUCUCUCUCUCUCUUUUCCAUAAAAUUACUUUAUUUAUUGAAUUAAUUUCCAUGCUAAAACGAAGACUUAAAAGUGCACUACAAUUUUUUAUAAUCACAAUGAUAAUUCUUACUAUCAUGUUAUCUUAAUGUCGUGUCAAAAUAAAUUAUAACAAAGUUUUUUCUAUAUGAAUACUCUUUUCAUUUAUAAAUUUUUCAGUUUUUAAUAUUUUUCUCACUCUUUUAGUCUUAAUAUUUGUAUUCCUCUCUUCAAACUUUCUUAAUUAUUUAAUUUUUAAAGAAAAAUCUAAAAAAAAGUAAGAAAAACAUUAUACUUAGAAAAUAAUGAAUAUUUUAUGGGUAUAAUACAAUUUUGUCUCACCUAUAAAUUUGUUGUUUAGCAAUUAGUUUGAGAAUUUUAAAAAAUUAUUUACAGUAGGAUAAAUUUUUAUUUAAUUUAUUUUUUCACAAUAUUGUAUCUUAAUUAAUUAAGUUGUUAUGUUUAUUACAAAAAUUUUGUUUUGGCUUAGAGGAUUACUUCUUAAAUUCAAAUUAUUUUAAUGAUAAUAAAAGAUAUUUAUAUUGUGUAAACAAAAUAAAAUUGAAGAGAGAAAGAAAAUAUAAAUGACUUAAUUCUAUUUAUAUUUGUCCUUAAAAUGUAAUUGUAAUAGAAUAAGGGUUUUAUAAGAUUAAUGAAGGGAUACCGAUAGUCCUACUCUUAUGGAAAAUGGCAGUAAAAAUGGAAUGUAUCCACUACAAACCUUCGCUUUACAAGUCUUCAAUCAAACAUGUAUUGAUUUGUAAAAGGAUCACUAGCAUCCGAUUAUUGGGAGGUAUUAUGGAGAAGUCACGCUUAGUAUUUACAAUUCAUGUAAGAUGAAUUUGUAAGACUUAUUAAUUUCGAUGAAAAUAUAGAUUUAUUAAGUUACUAAUUCAUUAAGUUAACAUGAGAUAUUAAUAUUUACUAAUUGUGGCGAUUAAUUUAUUUAACUUGUCAUGAUUUUCAAUUAAGAAGGAAGUUCAGUCAAUUUAUGGAAAGAAGGAUAAUUUUUUUUUUCAGAAUUUUAAUUUCUAGGAUUUUAUUUCACUUUGUUUCGAUUGUUGAUGUUGCUAAAGAGGCAGUGAAAGUUUGCUGAAUGCCAUCAGAUGCUUGUAUCUUAUCUCACAAAAUGUCAAUAUCGGUUUGUUUCCCUAUAGGCGCAGCCAUCAUGAAUUGAAAGUAACAACGUGAUGAGCAUAUAACAUAUACAUAUUUUACCAUUAAUUAUAUAAUUGUUAGUUAUUUUUAUUUGUUAUUUUUAAUUAAUUAAAUUAUUUUGUUGAAUAAAAAAUUAAUUAGAGAUUCUAGAUAAAAAGGGCAUGAAGAAGUUUAAUUUGGGAAGCAAAAAAAAAUAAAUUGAAAGAUAAAAAUACAGACAAGGAUUAAUGGAAUCCAAGCCGAAAAAAUCAAAGCACAAGGAUUUUCUUAAUGUCAUUAUUUAGGCAAGGGUUUUGAUGCAGCGGAAGUUUAAGAGAAUCAAAUCUGAAGAAUUUAUUAAGAGAAUCAAAUUGGAAGUUUUGAUGCAGCAAAAAAAAACUGAAGUUUGAAUUUCACUCACAUAGGUAAUAAGAGAAUUAAAUUAUUGUUAGAUUAAAUUGAUUAAAAAAAAUUAUCUGAUAUCCAAAACAGCAUAUCAACAAAAUUGAAAUAAAAGAAAAUUGAAGAGAAAAACCAUCGAGAGAACGAAAAUUAACACACGAAAAUUUCGAUAACUUCACUUAUUAAAACUUGGUUAUUUCAUUUUCAUUGAUAAUCAUUUUGACACCGGUCAAAUUUAAAAGUUUAAAUAAUGGGGGCGCUAUUUCUUUCCAGCUAUGCCCAUCGACUAAUUAAAAUACCGCCGAAACAGUUCAGGGAUAGUAUAGUAAUUUCAUUUAACAGUUUUCGUGCUUCAAAUCAUCAAAUCAAACUCACGGUUUCCGACUUGUAAUGGGUGCAACUCAUGUUUUUCAAACAUUAAGAUCUUUUGCCAUUCUGUUACUAUCCCAUGGUUAUUUAAGUUACAAGAGACAGUAAAAAACAUCAUCAUAUUUUAACGUCCUUUGAAUAUUUGAAGAGGUUAAAAUUUAGGCAGUGUUAUAUAAAAUAUAAUGUAAAUUAGUCUCAGUAAUUGUGUAGUUGUAUGUGAGAAAACAUACAAUGUAAAAGUGUGUGUGAGAAAACAAAAAAUAUGAAUCACCUUUGAUGUAGUUGUAUGGUUGUAAAGAAUUAGAUGGAGAAAUAUAGUAUAUAAUUAAAUUUAUUUUGUUCUUUAAAACGGAUAGGUUUUAUGCAAAUUUUUCAGAGGAGUGCCAAUAUUUCAACUCUAUCAUUGCUAUUAGUUUGUCUUGUAAUUCAAUCAUUGCCGACAAGUAUUAAUUGUGACUAUUAUUAUUUUAAAAAUAUUAUUAUUAUUAUCGUCGUUAUUCUUAACAGCAAUGACUAGAAUUAUAAUAAUAACAAUAACGUCAAUACAAUAAUAUAACAACAUAAUAAUAUUUUAAUUGGGGUCUUCCACCUGGGUAUGCAUGAUUCCUUGUGACAUGAUAUAGGGUGCGUUUGGGAUUGAGGUUAGGCAGCUGUAGCUUAAAAGCUACAGCACUAAAGUGUUUGAUAAACACUAACUGCUGUAGCUUUUAAGCUAUAUUGAUAUGAUUUUUCACUUGUAUAAUACAAAAUCUAUUAUAUCUUUAAAAAUUUUAUCAAAAUUAUUAUUUAAAAUUUAUAUUUACUAUAUAUUAUUAAAUUUUGUUUCAUAAUUACAGUUUUUUUUUCACAGCAGCUGUAGCUUAAAAGCUACAACACCUCAAUCCCAAACGCACCCAUAGAGCCAAUUAAAUUCUGAAAUGCGUGCAAUAAAGACUGUAAAGUGACCAGUUAUUCCGGUUGAAUUCACAAGAGCUCUUGUUUGUGUGUUUAUGUUUCAAGUUGUGUACUCUGUGUUACGAGUUCUCUAAUUAGUCUGAUAUUAUCGCAAUUAUUGCUCAAUAAUGUUACAAGUAUUAUAAUAUAUGUCACUAGUACGGUCGUUGUCUCGAGUGGUACACAUUAAGGCACAAAUUUAGAACGAAAAGCUUCCCAGUAAAAUAAGUUAUUUAAUUAAUUAAAUAAGAAUAAAAUGAAUUUGUGAAAGAAAUUUAAAUUUUAUUUUGAAUUAUUUUGACCAAAAUUUAAGUUUUUUUUUUUUAAAUUUGUUUAAGAAAAUGCAUUGUAAUUGUCUUGUUUUAAUUGGAAAAUCAAUAAAAAAAAUUAUGUAACAGAAAAAAAAAAAAAAAAAAGCAAAACGGUUUGUUUUGGAUGGAGUCCAUAGAUUCCAAUAUUUCCUUCACGAAAACUACAAAAAAUUAUCAAAGCCAUCAAUUUCUACACUCUCACCGAGCAAAUACUCUCAACCUAGAUGAAAGUGUAUAAAUCAACCCCAAUCAGUCCAUCAAUGUCGUCAACCUCAUACAGCAUAAAAAAAUCUGUGUCCAUUAAACCGCCAUCUUGCCAUCUCGUUGUAGUAUUUUACUGUUCAAAUCUAGUUAUCAAUUGGGCAAAAUGGGGACCAAUCUGCAAGUCUUUAAAAUAGAAAGAAACUUUAAUUGAGCACUAUGUUCACGGUGGUGGACCCGGCGGCAGUAAUCUUUAGGGUGGAGUUAUUUAUAUUUUAAAAAUUAUUUUAAACACUCUAAUUUUAAUAAGAAUAUGUAUUACAAAAAUAUUUAUCAUAUAAGUUACUAUUAAGAAUAAUAUAAUAUAUUAUAAGUCAACAUUAUAUAAUUAUUGUGAACACUUGUAUAGCACAAUCCUUAUUUAUUUUAUUAUUCUCAUGACUUAAAUAUAAAAAUUUUUAUUUCCAACAUCUUAAUUAAUAUGUAGAUGAAUAAUAAGGAAAUUAACUUUGAGAAAAAAUUAAAUACAAAAUAUGUGUAAUACUUUUAAAAAAUAAAAUAAAACAAAAGUAUUGCACAAGAUUUUUUUUUGGGAGGGAUUUUGCCAUUCUUCUUCUUCUUCUUCUCCUUCUCUCUCUCUCUCUCUCUCUCUCUCUCUCUCUCUCUCUCUCUCUUUUGGUAGUAUUUAUGGAACAUUUUCUCUUGUUAUGUUCUCAUUGCAAGUUAUUUUGGGUGCAAAAGUCAAUAUUAAAAAUAAAUUAAAUAAAAAAUUAGUAACUAAAAUUAUGUUAAAUUAUUUUUUUACAACUUAAUUUUUAAUUAUAUUUUGUGAGUAUAUGCUAAAUCUCUUAAAAAUAGAGUGUUGAAUAAUUUUAUUAGUUUUUUUAAAUAAAUGAAGCUAAGUAACUUAAAAAGUUUAGUAAGGAUAUUUUUGAAUUUUAAAUAAUGUACAAAGUAAAAUUUAAUUUUUUUAUAAUUAAGCUACGAGCGUGCAAAGUAAUAUUUAGAGUGCUAAUAGUCCUACCCUAAUCUUUAUCAUCACAUUAUUUUCCAUAAAAAGUUUACAAUUAUCUCUUUAUUGGAUAAUUUUGUUCCCUCUCUUACCGUUAUGUUCCCCUACAUUCUCAUAUCUGCAUCACCAUUUAAAUUGUAAUCAUAACGUUAAUCUUUAUCAUUUCACAUAUUUUGCCAAAUUUAUACGCACUGCAAAGCUCUUUCCUUUUUUUUUUUUUUCCCGUUAAGUUUGCUAUAAUGUACAUGAAGAAUAGUUAAAGAGCUCUUUCGAGUCCUUAUCCUUUCUUUCGAGUUUACUUUUGCUUUUUUUUUUUUUUAACGUUUCUCUGGAAUUCACUUCAACAUCACUGGCGCGUUUUCUUCUUUCUCACUGCAACAUCAACUGGGCCACCACCUCUUGCCUCUCCCGGUUCCCCUCAAUUUUCGUAUUCAAUGUCCACCGUUGAUUGUACAUUUAUUAAAAUUCUGUGGUUAUUAUUUUUUGCAUAUAUUUAAUUCCACACGGUCUAGAUCGUAGUUGUGUCCUUUUAAUUGAGGAUGAGAAUGAAAUUAUGAAAUUUAAGUUGGGUAAAAAUGGUGAGUAUGAGGAAAUUAAAUUACAAUUCUUUAAGAUAAAUAAUUUGUAAAUCCCACAUAUUUCAUUUUUAUUUCUCUAGUUAAAUUAUAUUUUAAUAAAUAAAUAUAAUCAAUUAUUUUAAUAUUUUAAUUAAUAAACACGACAUUAACUACGGAACUAAAAAAUCCAAAAAAAAAAAAACAGAGGCGUGUGUGUAUUGCUUGUGACAAAUGUCACCCAUGGAAAACCUUGUGAAAGGCAUUUGAAUGUGUGGCCACAUUUAAUGAACGAAACGAUAACUUUAAAAGAAAGUAUGUACUGUGUUAAUUAUUAGGCUUUAGCUUAAUGAUUUCAAUUAGUUUGUCUUUUAAUUAAAUUAUUGCCGACAAACACUAUCACGACCCACGUCCGCUACUUGUGUGAAUGUGUGUAUAAAUAUCCGCAGCAUAUUAUCAAACUUGAUGCGUGAUCAUCUUUAAGUUUUGGUUACGGUUCAUCAGACGUUAGAAGACAUCUUUUUUAAUUUGAAGAAGAUGGAAACUCCGCAGGUUCUUAUGCCAUGUUCAAUUGAAUGUCAUUUAUAAUUUUUAUUUUAAUAUUAUGUAUUUAUGAAUAUAAUUAUUAUUAUGAUUUUUUCAAAUAAAAACGGAUGGUCUAAGGGUAAUUCAAUAACUAUGUACAGUAUUAUUAAUGAUGAGAGCGUGAAUGAUAAUUUAGAUUUUAUUCUCUUCUCUCAAUACAGAAGAAAUCUCGACUGUAGUAGUUAAGUGUUAUGUAACUCUUUCGUAUUAUGUUCAAUUAAUAAUAAAAUGAUGAGUUAUUAUUACCUGUCAAUUAUGUGAGUGUCUUUGUUUGAUUUAGUUCAACUUAUAAAAUCUCUUGAGAUAUAUAAGAGAUUUUCUUUGUUUACUUUCAUGUACCGCGUCUUCUUGUAAAAAGUAAUUAAUAAAAAAAAUAUCAUUGUGUGCCAUGUAUUGACUAAGUUAGUGUAUUCAUGUUAGGUUAAUUGUGCUCUCUCUUCUUGAUUUUUUUUUAUUAAAAAAAACUCCACGUAUUCUUGGUUAGCUAAUUCUUGCAGGUAGCAAGUGAUCGAUCCUUUUCUUUCCCCUACUGCUGUACCACCAAAUCCUUACAAUUACAUAUCAAGUGGUAUUCGAGCCGUCAAAGGAUCCAUGGAAACACGCAACAAAUCAAAUGCUGAAUUUUGCGAAGAGAUUCACGAAAUCCUUGCUAUACAUGAGUCUAGUUUUGACCAAGUUCACGUCACGCAUCAGCUGCGGGUUUGAAUGGUACCUAGUGGAUAUUUUGUGAGUUCCCACUAAUAAAAUCACACUUGCACAAAACUUAAAAAUUUAAAUUACGUAAUUCAAAUUAUAAAUUUAUAAUGGUAGCCUAAAAAAUCACAUAAAAUACUUAAUUCUAGAUUUUAUCAAUGUAAAUGAGAAAUGACAGUUUUAACAUUAAAAUAAAUACACAAAAUAUAUCAAUUUAACAUAAAUUUUUAAAUUUAAUUACCAAAUACAUAAGUCUAUCGCAACUCAAAGUGCUUUCAAUUGAAAACGAAAAAAGAGAAAGAAAAAAAAAACAAAGAACUACAAAUCAAAAUAGCAGCCAUGACCCAUUUUACAGUCUCAUUCAAUACCACUAGCACCCAUCAAACACGAUUUUUCUAAACAAAGUAUAAAGUACAAAAUUACAAUAAGCAUAUCAUACUCCAUGCUUUAAGUUAAAGAUCCUUAUAUCUUUUUAUGAAUAAUUUUUUAAUGAAAUUUUAUGAUUAAAAUUAAAAAUACAAACAUUCAAAUAAGAAUGUCGGACACUUGCGCAACUAUUCACCAAAUUUUUUCUCUAUAAAAAUCGACCUGCAACUUUCAAUAGGUUUAAAUUUAUAAUAUCAAACCUGAUUGCAGCUCGCAAAAAUUAUCCGUUGCGGCCAAGACUUUGGAUUUGCGAUGAUUUUGCCACCCUAAGUGUAGUUAGUAUUGUAUAUCAUGUGGCUCUUAUAAAAAGCCUAGAAGUUGUUUGAAUAACGGGGUAGACACAUAUCUCCCAAAGAUUUUCUCUUUUUCAAAUUAUUAUUUUUUCUCUAUUAUUGUAACUUCGAAUCCUUAUAAAUUACAGAUUGGAGACAUGAACACAAUGUUUUGACAUAGUGGACUUUUGGCUUGUCCAAAGAAAUUUAGGAUAGAUUUUUACGCACUAAGGUUCUAUUUACUAUUGAAGUUUUAGAACUUUUAAGCCACACCAGAAAUUUUUAUUGUUUUGAUAGAGUUGUAGUCUUUGAUAUGUGAUUAGUAUUAAUUAAGUGUUAUGUUUACAAUAGUUAAAGGCAUAUUGAAUCAAAAUCCACUUCUAAGGGCUUGAUUGAGUGAUUGUAAAGUAGGUUUUUAGUUUGCUAGCCACUCAAGUUCAAAUAUUGGAACCACAUAGCUUUAUAGCCAAGUGAGAGAACUUGUGCCCUAAAAAUUGAGGGGUGCAUAUCGAGUUUUACCACCAAUAAAAGUUGGUGUUAAAACUUUAAUUUCCCUCCUAUUAAUGGAUAUGGGUGAUUAGGAGUUUACAUCCCCUCCUAUUAAUAGACAGGGAUUAUUAGGAAUAUUAAAAAAAAGUUCAAAUAUUGAAAAUGUAGGUAUGGGUUAUAAAAUUCAUAAUAUAAAGACACAAAAUCAAGAUAAAGAUUUAAAAAUUUAGAACCAUGAGAGCGUGACUUGUAAGUUUCAAAGAAGCAUGUGCAAAUAUAUGCAUUAUCGAUGCCCAAUUAAGGGUGGGCAUUAAGAUCGGGUUAACCCGAACCGAACCGAAUCAAACUUAAAAUUUAUUUUGGAUUUAAUUUGGUUAUAGUUGAAGCUUUCAACUGAGUUCAAAACUUAAAAAUGAUUGGGUUGUAUUUCUGUUCGAAUUUAACUCCAGAAGACUAAUCAAUCCAAUCGAGUUAAGUAAGCAAAUUAAGAAAAAAAAUCCCAAAAAAUUAAAACUAACCCUAACUAAAAUAUUCGACCGGGGCCUCCUCGUUUUCUUUUCUUCUUCCUCCUCUCGCUCACCCCUAAUGCCCAUUCAUGGAAAUCCAACAGCUCCAAACGCGUUUCAGCCGCUCGCACGUGUGAGAAAUUUUCCUUCUCAUAGGAUUAUUCGUUUCCUUCGCUUGCAUGCCAGCAGAAUAUUCAGGCCGAGGAUUUUUCCGGGCCUAGCCCAACUAUAAGCUCUCCCAAAACCCAAUCAUAAGUUCAUAACGUUUAGCGUUUGCUAUUACUAUAAUAUUUUUUAACGAAUUUUCACAUUCAUCAACAUAGGCUGACAGAUUUUGUAGAAAAUAAAAUUAAAUAAAAAUACAAGCUCACGAAAUUCCUUUUCCGAUGUGGGAAUCUAUCUACACCUUUCACGUGCUUUUUUUUUUUUGGUGGUGGGGGAUUCCCUUGCUUUUGUUUGCAUUGCCUUAUUGGAUAAAAGUUUGUACAACAUCGUCUGUUUGGUUAAAGCCGAGCAUGAGUGAAGAAAUUUUUUUUAAAAAAAAUUUCCCAUUAAUUUGCAACAAGUAUUAAUAAAGUGCAUGAGAAAAGACACCGGGAUAUGCCUUUUUUAAAAUGAAAAUAAAUGUGUUAAUUAGUCAAUUUAAAUGGUAUGACAUUUUGAAAUGAUAGAAGUGAUCUAAAGUUUAAAUCUUACACUUAAUUUAGGGGUGGGGAUUAAUUGAUGUAAUAUAUAAUAACGAAUUCGAAAGAUAAUUAAAAAUUAAAAGAAAAUAAAAAAGUGCUUUCUUUUUUAUGAUGGUAAUUUGUUUAGAUGAUGAAAACUCUUAGAGUGGUAUUAUCAAUACAUAGUAUUUAUUUUAUUAUAUUUUUAAAUUAAUAAUAAUUAUUAAUAUUCUUAACUAUGUAAAUCACAAUUAUUUUAUUAAUUUUAAUUUAAAUUAUAUAAAUAAAAAAUUAAUAACAACAACACAAAUGAAACAUUAUUAUUGAUAAUAUAGUACAAAUUAAUUUUUUUAGAAUAAAAUAUUUAUUAUUAUUAAUUACUAAUAUUAAAUAAAUAUAAUAGUAUUAUUUUUAAAUAAGUAUAAUAAUAUUAUAUUUUCAAAUAAAAAUAGAAUAUAGUAAUAUUAUUAAUUCUUUAUGAAUAUAAUAAUAUUAUUUUUAAGUAAUUUUAACUUAGAAUCAAUAUAAAUUAUUAUUUUUAACCAAAAAAUUAAUAUUAUUUUAAAUAUGUUUAAUAUUAUUAUUUUUAAUAAAUUUAAUUUAUAAAAUAAUAAAAUAUUAUUAUUUAAAUAAAUAGGAUUUUACUUAUUUUAUUAAAUUUAAUAAAAUAAAUAUGUUUAAUAUUAUUAUUUUUAAUAAAUGUAAUUUAUAAAAUAAUAUAAUAAUAUAAUUUAAAUAAAUAUGAUAUUAUUUAUUUUAUUUUAUUAAAUAUAAGGGUAAAAAAUGAAGAGAGGCGAGUGAAUUCCCACUCCCACCUUCCUCCAUGGGAGUGGGAAUCCUACUCCCCACUCCAAAAUUAGGUGGGAUCCACACAGUGGAAUUCUCACUCCUCCUUUGAAAAUUAUAAGUAAACAUUGGAGUAAAAGUAAUCCACACUCCUCACUCUCACUCCUUAAAAUAAACACUACAUUAAAGAAGCCACUGACUCAUAAGAAAACCAUGAUUAAGUACACGACGAAACAUGUGAGCUCGUUUUUCAAUUUCUUUGAUCACUCAUAAGCUUUUCUAUACCACUCACUAUAUCAUCCUUUUAAGUCAAUUUUGACUGAUCAUAAGAGAUUAUGCACCCCACCUUGAGAUGAUUGAUCACCAAUUUGGCAUUGUAACGUUGAUCACCUCUAAUUGGCCAUGCUAAAAUUGGGACCCCAUUGCCAAUUACUUCUACAGUUAAAUUUUAUCUACAGUGAGAUAAAAAUCCACCUAUUAAUUGAUAACUUAGUAUCAAUAAUUAUGGCGCCGUUCCAUCUAUUAUCAAACCCUUUUUACCGGCUCUACUAUCUAAACCACUACGAAAAUAAGCUGGUUAAAAAUAAAAAAUCCCCAGUUACUCUGCUCAAACUCGUUAAUAUUUGUUUCCACCACCAAAGCAGCCACUCGUAUCUUUUAUUAAGCAUAAUGUUUUUAAACAAAUAUGAUGAAAACUCUUAGGGCCAGUUUGGUAAUGCUGCAGCUUUUAAAAUAAUUGCUGUUAGCUGUGCUGUAGAAAUAAUCAGCUGUGAAGAGAAUCAGUUAAGUGUUUGGUAAAUUUUAUUUUCAAAAGUACUGUGAAUUUUGAAAGCAGUUAUGGGUGUUUGGUAAAUUUUAUUGUUAAACUGCUGUAAGAAAAUAAAUGACCAAAAUGUACAUAAUGUAAGAUGAAAUUUACCUAUACAUAUAAAAAUGUUGUAAGAAAAUAAAUUUACUUGCACUAGAGAAGUUUUGAUAGAACACAAAAUAUGAAGAAAUAGGGUAAACGAAAGGUGUGCGUUAAUUAUAAUAAAAAUUUAUUAAAAUAUUGAUUUUAUUUCUAAUUUAACUAAGGAUAAUUUCGGGUUUAAGUAAUAAUUGUAAGGAUAUUUAUGAAAUUAUAUUAAAGGAUAAAAUUGAUUCUCAAAAUCAGAAUCUAAAAGUUACUAUUUCCCUGCUUUUCAAAAUCAGUUGUAGGAGGAGCUGAUUCUGGCAAAAGUGAUUUUGAUUUUCUUUUACCAAACACCAAAAUUAGCUUUUAGAUUUUUAAAAUCACUUUUAACCCUCCCAAAAGCAAUCCCAAACGGGGCCUUAGAGUGGUAUUAUCCCAUGUUUACUCCAAUGAUUUGGUAUACGCACAUGUAUUUUGGUAUACGCACAUGCACGCUAUAAAUUUAGUCAAGAAAAGUGAAUGUAUCUACAUACAAAUACUUAUCCCAUAUAACUUCAUUUCUUCAACUGAAGAAUCGGUCGUCUCUCAUUUUUUAUUUAUUAUAUAAAGAUAAAUAUAUAAAUUUAAAUGGCGAGAAGAGCGGACGAGGAAUACGAUUACUUGUUCAAAGUGGUAUUAAUCGGCGAUUCGGGAGUCGGCAAAUCGAACUUACUCUCCCGAUUUACUCGUAACGAGUUCUGUUUGGAGUCCAAAUCCACUAUUGGCGUCGAAUUCACCACCCGCACUCUUCAAGUAACUAACUUUUCCUCUUUCACUUCUCUUCAUUUUUAUUAGUUAAUUAAGAUCCAGUUAAUGUAAUUAAUUUUAUUUAAUCUUUUAAAUAAAGUUCUAGAUUAGGCUAACUUAGAUUCAUGUCAAGUUGAAGUGAUUUACUUUCGAUCUCUUUUUCGUCCUAUGUUUAUUUGUACUUACUAUUACUUUUUUUUUGGGUAUUUUCGUUUUUGAAGUGUUUACUGAAUAAAUUUCUGAGCUUUAUUUGUGUAUGCUGAUUGAUUUGUGAUUUUAAUUUGUGAUUUUUUUUUUGGCAUUUAAAUUUGAAUGCUUUUUAAUUUGAAUCUGAAUGUGUUGGGCUGCGAUUUAAUUAAGUCAUGUGUGAGCACCAAAUUGUGAUAGCUAUAUAUUGGGGUGAAAAUUUGGGAUUUAAAGCUAUGUAUUUAAGAUGCAGUUAAUUGGCAAGUGAAAAUUAUGGGCCGGCAGAUUUUGUCAUUGGAAGACUGUUCUCCACAUGUUGAAGUUAGUGAUGCAAGUUGAAACCAAUCUGUUUAAGCUUGGGGUUUCAUGUCUUGAAUCAAGGCUGUGACUUGGGGUGGGUUGAAAGUAUUAUAGCUUUAGCUAUUCCUGAAGUGAUCUGUUUAGACUCACCGUGAUGAGACCGAGUGCUGUACAGUAAAAUGAAAGGAAGUUGGAAAAUAUUUACUUAGCAUUUCGCGUUACUAAUGUUGAACUAAUAAAACCUAGCCCCUAUCCUAGUGAAUUUAUGUUAAAAAGCUAUGCACGCAUUAAGUUAGUGCGAGAGUCUGCUGAAGCAUAUGUCAGCUGUGUGUUUGGAGCUGAGUAUUCUUCAUUCCACAUUUUGGGUUUUGGUUGACCUCCAGCAUGACUCAACCCACUUGAGUUAAAAGCCCUAGAGUUACAUUCUACCCAUGAUAUUUGAGUUUAUCAAGUCACCUUAUUUUAAUACUUCUCUGGAAAACAAAUAUAUAUGUUAAAUCAGGUAGGAAAAAUAAAAAGUUAAUUAUUUUAAUACUAAGGUUUUGAAACAUUAAGAUCUUUAGCCAUUAUGUUACUAUCCCGUAGUUAUUUAAGUUACAAGAGAUAGUAAAAAAUAACAUCAUAUUUUAAUUACUUACACUAAUCCUACAAGUGCUGAUGGUCUAAAGUUGCUGCUGCUUGCACUGAAUCAGUGGUCAUGGGCCAGCCAAGGUUAGGUGAGGCCAACUCAUUAGCUUGUGAAACUUAAAGAAGUCUUAGGUUUGGAAAAGAUGGGGCACAGGUUACAAAAAUUUUUUGAGUUUUGGAUUGAAGGAACAAAAUUGUUGAUGUCUAGCUCACAAUAUUUGAAGUCACUCUGUGCUUCAUCAUGUCAAAUGGAUUGAAUUGCUGUAAGAUCAGGUCAAAUUAAAAUGUUUAAACUCAUUUUUAAGAAACGAAUUCUCAAUUGGACCAGCCUUUCACAGAAGCUGAUAUCACAGAAGCUUUGAGUCAGAUGCAUCCAACCAAAGCCCUUGGCCCAGAUGGUCUCCCAGUAGUAUUUUUCCAAAAGCUUUAGAAUUCAGUAAGCGAAGGAGUUAUAGCCACUUGUCUGCAUAUCCUCAAUGAUGGAGGUAAUAUUGCUCCUUUGAAUCAUACAUACAUUGCUUUAAUCCCCAAGAUAGCAAAACCUAGGACUCUGAUGGAGUAUAGACCAAUCAGCAUAUGUAAUGUAAUUUAUAGGAUCAUUGCAAAGACUAUAGGGAAUAGGCUGAAGCUAAUCUUAGAUCAUGUUAUUUCGCCAACUCAGAGUGCUUUUAUGCCAAAUAGGUUCAUAACUGAUAAUAUAAUUAUUGGGCAUGAGUGUCUUCAUAAGUGGACAAAGCUAUGUUCCAGAGGUGAGAUAGGAAAUUCUCCCGCACGACACAGCAGAAACAAACUUUCCCUUUCAUUUUCUUUUCUCUUUCUCGCUCUCCAAACAGAGCAAAAGGACCGUCGGAAGAUUCUUCACUUCCAUCCAAAAUCAUGAGCAACGAAUAGUGAGCCUCCCUGUUUCCUUCCUUUUUUUGAUAUUAACAUUGUUAACAUAUACUCAUUUUAAUUUGACAAUACUUCAACUUUUUUUAUUUUUUUGCCUUUUCAUUUUUUUUGUUGAAGCAAUUAUCUGUUCAAGCUGUUGCUUAUCGAAGACUCGUCCUUCGGAAAGUCCUGCCUGCUGCUCCGAUUUGCUGUCUGUUGACUUUUCCUUUCCCUUCUUAUUUUCUUUUUUUAUAUUAAUUACUUUCUAUUUUAGCUUUUUGUUCUCUGAAUUUGUGUUAUUAAAAUGAUAAUUUAGAUGACAAAUAAUUGUUAUUCUUGUAAAUUUAGGUUUUCAUUACGUUAAUUGUUAGUUUUUAGGUUUAUUAAUGUAAUUUUUUUUGUUUUUUUUUUUUCAAUUUUUCAGGAUGAUUCUUAUGUCACCGCUACAUCAGUACCAUUGGAGUUGAUUUUGUGAGUCUCUCUUCUAUAUAUAUGUAUAUAUGUGUAUAAGUUAUAAUAUGAGUCUAUGUACGUGUAUGUAUGUAUGUGCAUGUAUAUGUGGAAAGAAAUGUUGGCAGACUUCAGCAUUUUACUCUUUUUUUUUUUUUUUUUUUGGGAGAAAAUAAGAACUGUGGAGUUGGAUGGGAAGACGAUCAAACUGCAGAUUGUGAGUCAAAAUUUCCUUUUAUCUUGUAUUGAGAGAAAUUCGAUUUGUCUUAUUUAGUGAAGGUUAUGUUCAAGAACCUUGUCUUAUUUUCUUUGUUUGAAGAGUGAUAUGUUGAAAUGAGUGUAUUUGUCUUAUAAACAUCAUUUAGGUAAUGUCUUAUGUGUGAUUGUUUUGCAUCUGUUGAGUGGGACACUGCUGGACAGGAGCGAUUCAGGACUAUAACUAGCAGUUAUUACCGAGGAGCCCAUGGAAUCAUAGUAAGGAGCCUUUCCGGUUCUUGGUUUAAAUCAGAAAGUUUGUGAUUUACAUGUGACAUCUUAACAGCAUUGUAUGUGUUUAUUAACUUAUUUUUCAUCUUUCGUUAAGCAGUACAUUUUCCAAUAAAUCUGUAUACAAGAUGAUGUAGUCCAAGAAUGGGAGCGAUAAUAUGAUGCAAAUUGUCUAAUAAAUUCUUAUGACAUAUGAUGUUGUCGGAAGUAAAAGUCUUGCAAUGCUGUAUUCUCUUUUAAGAAAGAAUAAGUGGUAAUCUUAUUUUUCCAAUUUUUUAAUUGAGCAACUGUGUGAGAUUAAUUAAAUGUGUUGGGAUUUCAACAGAUUGUCUAUGAUGUAACUGAGAUGGAGAGCUUCAAUAAUGUCAAGCAGUGGUUGAAUGAGAUUGACAGAUACGCAAAUGACAGUGUAUGCAAGCUUCUAGUGGGGAACAAAUGCGAUUUAGUUGAGAACAAGGUUGUGGACACACAGACAGCCAAGGUAUAUUCGUGACUUCUGUCGCCUGAACUUUGAAUAUAAUUUUAAACUCUUCUCAAGUGCAUUUGCUUGAUAAGUUUCUGCAUACCCAGGACACUCAAACUUUGGACAGUUUGUAUCUCAAGCUGGAAUCUUUUUUGUCAAUACGACUUGUUAAAAUAAGGGUUAUUAUCGUUUGAAUCCUUCAAGAAUUGCAAUAAAUCUAAAGUCCAUAAAAAAAUAUGAUUCCAUCUUUUUACUAUUAUAUCUAGACAAAACCCAUUAUUUUACUACAUUUCAUUGGCACGGAUAGUUGACCUGUUGGCUGACUGAUAAAAUAUCAAUUUUGCACUUUAUAUUAAUUCUUUUUUGGUUAAAAAAUAACACACAAAGUAUUACAAUAUUAUAAAUUCAAAAUAUAAAGUAGUUACAAAUAAUUCCUAUUAGCCUAUGAAUAUAAUAUUUGAUACCUCUAUUUGUGUAAUUUUUUUCCAAUGGUGAAAUUGUUAUUUUUUUUUGUACUAACGGAAAUGUAGUAAAAUCAUAAGUUUUGUAAAGAUAUAGUAGUAAAAUGAUAGACUAAAAUACUUCUUGUAGUUGUUUGAUAUAUUGUAAUUCUUAAAGUAGUCAAUUGAUAAUAUCCCCUAAAAUAAAUGUUCGUAAUAUGUUCUCAUUUUAAUGCAACUGAUUGUUUAAUAAAAUUGUAUUUCUUUGUUAAUCUUUUAUCAUGUGCAUGCUCAGUGAGAAUUUGACUUACUAGAACACAAGUUUGACUCUUCAUUUAAAUGUCUCUUGUAUCAUAUCCUUUAAUGUUGAGUGUGAUUCCAAUAAAAUUGAGUAGGGAGAUCCUUAAAUACCUUUUCCUUUUUUCCAAGGGCCUGCCAAAUUGCUCUAAGUGGUUCUACCCUUUAUCAAUGAAUAAUGAAAAUAAAAUUUUUAUUAAAGCAUUUUGUUCCUUAAAUGGUGACUAAUAGUACCCCUUUUUUUUGGAGAGGAAAGCCAAACAUGCCCAAAGAGAAUCAUUUACUUUCCUCUAAUGUAUUUUCUAAUUCGUUUUGAGCCUUGAAUGUCUGUUUUGGUGCGUAUUCUCAUUCCAUGUUGAAUCUUAUCCAUAUGGACAACCCCACUUACAAAAAAGUCUAAUGAAUCUAUUGAAGUUCAUAUGAGGUUUGUGCUUUAGAUUUAGACCUCUCUCUCUCUCUCUCUCUCUCCACUUACAUGUCUUUCACUUACCUGUCUUUCACUUACCUGUUUGCAUGCAUGCCCAUGCACACACUUUCACGAUAAUACUGUAGGGGAAAAAUCAUGUUUUUAAAUUUUAUAAAACCUUUUGAAGAUCGCUCUCAUAUAAUAUAUAAGAAUUCGUAUUCUAGAAAUCGUACCUUGAAAAUCCGAGUUGGCUUUUCCACUGAAGUGAUUUAGGCUCCUAGAUCACGAUCUGCCACCACCACUCCUGUUAGAUCACGAUCCGUCAUCACCACGCUUGUUAGAUCACGAACUGUCGCCAAUGAUCUUCCAGGUUAUGACUCAGGUUCGAUCUGCACUUGACGUGUGGGCGCCUUUAUCACUGCCAAAGCAACUAGCACGAGAAAAUUUUUCUCUCAAUCAUGGAGAGAAAAAUCUUAUUCUCUGAUUUGUAUAAAGUGGCUUCUUCCUUUUUCUUUUGAGAAAAUAAGCCUUAUAUAUCUCCCUUUAGUGAAAACCCUAGGCUCCAAAUAAUGCCCUAAAUAAAACUCACGUUAUUUUCUUUUUCAAUAGGGAACCCACCUUGUAAAAUAACAUAAGGCCCCUUAUACAAAAGCUAAUUAAAUGGAGCCUCCCACUAAAUGAUAUAUUUAGGCUUUUGACCCAAAUAGCUAGUUAUCUUACUUAUUAGUCCAGUGGUGGUGCAGUCAAUUAAAUGAGCUAACCCGGGGAUCAUUUGGGAACAUACAAUAGUGGCUACAAUAAUUAGGCCUGUAAUUAAACUAGCCUAAUUAUUUAAUUCCAAAUCUACUCCACUAAAAGAUUGGAACUGACUUCCAUAAUUGUAUGCUCGAAUAAUAAUUCGUCCCAAGCCACAUUGAUUUCUUUAGUGCACAAUCCUUUGUACCACAUCGUUAAUUAAAUUGAUAUCUCAACUGUCCAAUCAAUUUAAUAACAUCUUAUUCCUUGAUCCUUACUGGUUUUCUCUAAUGAUCAUUUUCAACAUACUAAAUAUGUUGACACACUCUGGCCAGAGAAUUCUAUGAUCAAGUGCCGAAAACCCAUCAAGAGAUGUGUUGUACAAAUUCUAUAUUGUUAAUCCAUAACUCCAAUACUCAUAAUUGCUCCCACCAAGAUACCGGGUAAUCUUGACCACAAGUAUGUGUUGUGUCCAUUGGUAACUCAAAUGGAAUAACAAUUACAAUCAUGAAAUCAUAAUUAACUCAAGAUUAAGAUUACAGUAAAAUCAACGCCUAUGAGAUUUAAUAAGUCUGACAGUUAUUACAAAGUUAAUUAAAUCUCACAUGUGAUCCUGUUCAAUGUAGUCGUACUACAUCAAUAAAUUCAUACAUGAUUAAGACAAAUCAUUCAAUGAAUUUAUUACAGUCUAUACCUAAAUAAAGUGCCCAACUUUAUUUAUCAACUGCGAACUAAAUUUAUUUAAUCAUAAGAUAACUUGUAUUUAUGUCUUCUGUGAAUCCACAUGGUGAUCACAUAAAUACAUAUAAUAUGAUUAAAUGGACUUUAAUACAAAUAUUAAUGCAAUUAAGAUAUUUGAAUAAAAUACCUCAUUUAUUUUAUUAAUCAGAAAAACUGUUUAUUACAAUUAAAUAAACACAUAUGCUUUUAAAGAGCAUAUUUUCCCAACAAAUACACGGUCACUCGUACUUGUGUUUUGGUUGAAUUACUGGCUGCUAACCUCUGUAAUUCAGUUUGAAACUUGCCACCCUUAGUGCUUCACUCAAAUGGUUGGUUAGGGUGAGAUCUGUAUCGUUUUCUUGGUCUCUUUCCAAGGUUAUCUAAAGGGAUUUGGCAGUCUGAUUCUUUAGGGAAUAUCAUUGCAUAAGAUAUCUAUUGUUUGUUAAUGAAUAAUUUCUAUUUAACUAGUUAUCUAUAUAAAUUGGUAAAUUUUAACUGCAUAAUUUGCAUGCAAUAAGAUUUUAUAAGAAUCUUGUUUUCAACUCAUGACUUAGACUAAUGUGAUAUGUUGAGCAUUAAGCUACAAGAUCUGCACAUCAAAGUGCUUCACAAUGUUAAGGAGAAAGCAUCUUUUUCUGCUUCUUCAUGUGAUUUAAAGUUUCCAAGGUACUUAUCCAAUAAAAUAUCUUUCAAGACUUUGGAAAUGCUUUUAUAUAUGACUGAGAGAAACUUGUUGGGUUGGUUUUUAGCAACAGACGGAGUUAUGGACUUUGUGUUGACUUGUUAUUGAUUAAGACAGUACAUCGGCUGAUCUAUUGGCAUCAAGCAGCAGAUGCAGAAAUUAUGGGUGGCAUACCAUUGUAUCCAAAUAACAUACUACAUUGAUUUUUCUGACUUUCUGUUGGUCUCCGAGUGAAAUGCAGGCAUUUGCAGAUGAACUGGGGAUUCCUUUCCCGGAGACGAGUGCCAAAGAUGCAAUCAAUGUGGAGCAGGCUUUCUUGACCAUGGCUGGCGAGAUUAAGAAAAAGUAAAAUCACUUAACUCUUUCCUUCUUGCCGACUGUUCUUAUUUAACAAUCACUAUUAUUGCUGGUUAUAUGCAUUGUGAUGAAAAUUCUGCAAUGAGUAACUUUUUACCUAAUGUUUUCUGUUGGAACAAAUUACUCUGGUAGAAAAGCCCUACAGGGUUUGAGAAAUCCCAUGAUGUGAUGAUUGUGAGCAUUUUAGACACCGUCUAUGGGUUUAUUUUGUGACUAUAAAAUGUUAAGAUUGUUUCUAGUUUUGGUUUGUAGUGCAUAAAAGGAUUCAAAAUUUGACAUCUGUCUAAAUCAGAUUAAUAACAUGAUAAUGUACAUAUGCAAGAUGUGAGGAAUUGUUUUAUCUCACCCCUAAACUUUAAGAAAUUGAAACAGUAUUAUUCAAAAUAUUUAACAUUUCCAGAAUUGAUAGUUGUCUAUUUGAGCAGUGACUGGUGGUUAUCAUGAACUGAUGUGCGGUUGUGGUUUCAAAUCUUGGUGAAACCUGUUGUCCUAUGCUGAUUAACAUAGUUAGUCUCUGAAACAAUUUGUUGAUUCACUAAUUAUGAGUUAAAAUUUGAUGCAGAAUGGGCAACCAGCCUACUGCAAACAAAUCUUCUGGAACAGUUCAGAUGAAGCGAAUGCCAAUCCAGCAAAACAGCGACUGUUGUGGUUAGCCGAGCAUCUUAUUUUACUUCUACAUGUUAGCUGACUGAUUGUAGACAGUUUUAACUAUGUUGACUGCAUUAUCUUAUGAAUCUUUUAAUCUGUCAAAUAUUUAUUUCCUGCUUUAAGUUCUUUCCCGUUUAUAACAAAUUUAAUUUCUUGCUCCAUUGGAUUCCAAAUUCCUGUCAAUUUACGAGGGAAAAAGAAAAGAGAGACGAAAUGGGAGAAAAUGGUCAAAUUUGUUAGGCGGAGAGAGCUGUUUAAGUAGUUUUUGUUCUCGUUUAUUGUCGUGACCCUCAUGUCGCUUAUCGAUUACCUGGAAGUCCGGUCGUAUCGGAUGGGUAAAGUUACCGAAUCGGCAUCAUUUUGGGUGAAAUAUCAUAUUUAUGUGACACUUUUGAUAAUAUUUUUAUGUGUUACAGAGUAUGAUAAUAUGGUACAGCUGAGAGCAUCUGAUUAAAUGGAGCUGCUGAUGCUUACGUGUGUUGUUGAGUUAGUUAUCCAGCUCAGCAGUAAAGAUAACGAACUGGACUGCAUGCAUAUUAGAUUCAACAAACUGACAAGCUACGAGAUGCCUCUGAUCUUUUACUAUAAAUAACAAGUUGUAAUCAUCAGUCAAAUAAUAAGAAUAUGAUCAUUUUCAGAUCUGAUUCUUUAUGAUUUUCUUUCAUUUUCUUGUUAGUUUCUCUUAAACCAAACACUAUAUACAAACUCUUUCAUGGUAUCAGAGCAAACAAAUGGCAAAUUCGAAUCAAAAUUCUGGAUCCUAUAGUUUUAUUACUCCGAUAAAACUAGAUCAUAAUAACUUCAUUGUUUGGCGAACUCAGAUUCUCACAUCCAUUAAAGGAAAUGGUUUAGAAGAUUUCAUCAAUGGAAAUCAAGUCUGUCCGGAAAAAUUUUUCUCUGCUACAAGCUCUGCUGCUGGUUUCUCAUCUGGAACAGAUAAUCAAGAGAUCAAUCCAGCUUACACAAUGUGGAUAAAGACGGAUCAAUUGAUUCUGAGCUGGAUGCUCUCAUCUAUUCAACCGAAUUUGCUGACAACUGUGAUCCACUGCUCAACUGCAAAGGAACUGCUGGAUACACUUACAAGUAUGUUUGUUUCCCAGUCACAAGCUAGAAUAAUGCCUCUAAAAAUGCGAAUCCAAACUCUUAAAAAAGGCUCGAUGUCCAUAACUGAUUAUUUUGCAAAAAUGAAAAGGAUAUCUGAUAGCUUAGCUUUAGCUGGAAAACCUGUUGAAGUGAAUGAUUUCGUUCAACAUGUUUUGACUGGAUUGGAUUCUUCUGAUUAUGAGUCACUAGUUACUACUGUGUUAGCUAGAGGAGAUAAUAUCAGUCUUGAUGAGUUUUAUUCAUUGUUAUUGAGUCAUGAAAAUCGUGUGGAACAAAAGAGAGGAAAAAUUGCAAGUGAUGUUACACAUAACUUGUCAGCUAAUGUUGCUCAAAAGCAGUUCAAUCCUGGUAAAAACACUAGUGGUAAUCAGAAGUUUAACACUGGAUCGUAUGGAGGAGGUUAUAAUUCUGGAGCUGGAUCUAGUGAUGGUAACUUCUCACAAAUUGUAUGCCAGAUCUGCUUCAUUCCUGGUCAUGGUGCCAAUAAAUGCAGGAAUAUGUUUAACUCAGCUUUUGUUCCUUCAAGAAAUCAAGGAAGAGGUAGUUUUAAUGGAAAUUUUAGGCCUGGUCAGAGGCAGUAUGGUAGAGGUUUUGGCUAUGCUAAUGGAAAUAGGUCUUCUAUGGCUUAUGGAAAUUUUGGUAAUUUUGGUAGAAAUCUUAAUCCUCAAUAUGGUGCUGGAAUUGGUAACUCUCAGUUUGGUAAUUUCAACAUACCAAGAGCACCUGGUUAUCAAGGUCAUUUGAUGUAUUCAGAUCCAACUGCUUUCAAUGUUUAUCAACCAUCUAACUCUCAUGGUGGUUACUCUCCUGCUCAUGUUUUUGUUCCUACUGGAGAUUACUCUGGAUCUCCUUCAGUCCCUGUUCCAACUCAUGCACCUGAGAUGAUUGAAGAUCCAGCUUGGUACAUUGACAGUGGUGCUACUAACCACAUCACAAAUGACUCAGGUAAAUUACUGGAUCUCAAGCCAUAUGUUGGCACUGACAAAUUGCUUGUUGGGAAUGGUUCUGCAUUGCAUAUUAAACAUAUUGGAUCAGUAUUGCUAGCUACUACUGCAAAUAAACCCUUGUGUUUAAACCAUGUUCUUCAUGUUCCAAAUAUUAAGAAAAAUUUACUCAGUGUUUCAAAGCUCUUAGUAGAUAACAAUGUGACACUUGAGUUUUUUGCAAAUGUCUGUGUUGUCAAGGCCAGGAACUCAGGGAUCACUUUGCUUAGAGGAAUUGCAACAGGGGGAUUGUAUCAAGUCCAAUCUGCAACUCAAGUCUCUGAAACUAGCUCAGCCUUGUCAUGUCAACUUUCUUCCAAUAAACCUCAGUCUUUGUUUGCUUUUCAUUCUCCUUUGUCUAGUGAUAUUUCUCCUGAAAUAAGUAAGAGUACUUUGUCUCAUCAUUUGCUGUGUAAAUCAGCCUUGGCUGUCAAUACUAGCUCAGUCGAUGUCAAUGUUUUCCAUAAAAGGCUAGGACAUCCUGCCUUACACACACUCAAAUCUGUAUUGAAAGCUUGUAAUAGUUUCAAUGUACUCAAUAAAACUCCAAACUUUUGCAAUGCCUGUCAACAUGGUAAAAGUCAUCUUUUACAUUUUGGAUCUGUUCCAACAAAAACAACUGCACCAUUACAACUUAUAUAUGCUGAUUUGUGGGGACCAUCACAUGUUGCAUCCACUCAAGGCUAUAUAUACUAUCUGUCCAUUUUAGAUGAUUUUAGCAGAUUCACAUGGAUUUUUCCUUUGACUGCUAAAUCAGAUGCUCUCCAAGUCUUCACAGAAUUCAAAUCCUUUAUUGAAAAACACUUACAACAACUCAUCAAAAUAGUUCAAACAGAUUGGGGAGGGGAGUUUAGAACCUUUGCAUCAUAUCUCACUCAAUUUGGAAUUCAGUUCAGGCACCCUUGUCCACAUAUCCAUCAUCAAAAUGGAAGAAUUGAGAGAAAACAUAGACACAUAGUUGACAUUGGCCUCACUCUGUUAGCUCAAGCUAAUUUACCACUUAAGUUCUGGUGGAAUGCCUUUCAUACUGCUGUAUUCCUUAUCAACAGACUACCCACACCAACUUUGAAUAACAUUUCACCUUAUCAAAAACUUUUUCAGCAAGUACCAGAUUAUGCCUCUCUUAGGGUCUUUGGUUGUGCUUGCUUUCCUUAUCUCAGACCUUAUAACAGACACAAGCUCAGUUUUAGAUCAAACAGAUGUGUUUUCAUUGGGUAUAGCUCUUCUCAUAAAGGGUAUCAGUGUCUUCAUUCAUCUGGUCGUGUGUAUGUGUCCAAUCAUGUCAUCUUUGAUGAACAAUCCUUUCCAUAUGUAUCUGGAUCAGACUUCUCUUCCAUUGCUCAGUCUUGCAGUCCCUUAGAUAUUUCUUCAGAGUCCAAAGUUACUCUUGUUCCAAUCCCACAAGUACAAUCCCCCCUGCAAGAAUCUCCAGCAAGUGAUUACCUACCUGCUGACACUCCACAGGUAUUCUCUCCAUCUUCAACCUCCUCUUCAUCAUCUACUUCAACAUCACAUACACAUCCUAUACAUCAUACACAAUCUCCUCCUCAUAUAUUACCUGCUGCACCACCUAUAGGUCAUCCCAUGAUAACCAGAUCCAAGGCUGGUAUCUUUAAGCCUAAAUCUUUUUUAGCUGCUUUACUAGCCAUACCUUCAGAACCUACUUCUGUUUCAGCUGCUUUAUCUGAUCCAAAAUGGUUUAAGGCAAUGCAAGAAGAAUUUCAAGCACUUCAGAACAAUCAUACAUGGGAUCUGGUCUUGCCAAGUGAACCAGUUAAGGUAGUUGGAAACAAAUGGAUAUUCAAGAUAAAAUAUCAUGCUGAUGGAACCAUUUCUAGAUACAAAGCCAGGUUAGUGGCUAAGGGGUUUCAUCAGACACAAGGAGUUGAUUACACAGAAACAUUCAGUCCAGUUGUUAAAGCAUCCACAGUCAGAGUUAUUUUAAGUUUAGCAGUUCUGAAUAAAUGGGAGCUCAGACAAGUGGAUGUGAAUAAUGCUUUUUUGAAUGGCAUAUUAGUUGAAGAUGUGUACAUGGGGCAGCCAGAGGGCUUCAUUGAUCCAUCUCGACCUCUUCAUGUCUGUAAGUUGAAAAAGGCUCUCUAUGGUUUAAAACAAGCCCCCAGGGCAUGGUUUGAGAGACUGAAAGAUGCUAUGGUUGUGAAAUGGGGUUUCCAAAAUUCAAGGUCAGACAACUCCCUUUUCUACAAGUGGAUAGGUGAUCAAGUAAUUUUUGUUCUUGUCUAUGUGGAUGAUAUAAUCAUAACAGGCUCAAGUGAUAAAAUGGUGCAGCAAGUGAUCACAAAUAUGCAAAAUGCUUUUGCUUUGAAGGAUCUGGGAAAAUUGAGUUAUUUUCUUGGGAUAGAAGUUACCAAAACAGCAUCUGGAAUUUAUCUAUCUCAAUCUAAAUACAUAGCUGAUAUUCUAACCAAACACAAUAUGGCUGACUGCAGUCCAGUUCCUACUCCCAUGGCCACUGGUCAUUAUCUUACAAAGGGGUCAGGAAGUGUUAUUUCAAAUAGUUCUCAAUAUAGAAGUGCAGUUGGAGCCUUACAGUAUGUGACUCUCACUAGGCCAGAAAUAGCUUUCUCUGUAAACAAACUUAGUCAGUUUUUAGCUUCACCAACAGCAGAGCACUGGGAGGCUUGUAAGAGGCUUCUUAGAUAUUUGAAAGGAACAAUUCAUUUUGGAUUACAUUUUUAUCAUUACGGCACUAUGCAGAUAAAUUGUUUUAGUGACUCAGAUUGGGCAUGUGAUAAGGAUGAUCGCAAAUCAGUGGCUGGUCAUGCUGUUUAUCUUGGUUCAAAUUUGGUUUCUUGGUCGUCUAAGAAACAGGCAGUAGUUUCCAGAUCAAGCACUGAAGCUGAAUAUAGAGCUUUGGCUCAAGCUACAGCUGAGGUUACUUGGAUUCAGUCCUUACUGAAAGAGCUACAUAUUCAUCUUGUCACAGCCCCCAUAAUGUGGUGUGAUAAUCAAAGUGCCAUAGCUUUAGCUCACAAUCCUGUUUAUCAUGCUAAAACUAAGCAUGUUGAGCUUGAUAUUCACUUCAUCAGAGACAAAGUAACAGCUAAGCAAAUUACAUUUCAGUUCAUUCCCAGUGAAGACCAAAAUGCCGAUGUUCUUACCAAGGCAUUAACUUUUAAUCAGUUUCACUAUCUAAGAAGCAAGCUGAAUGUCCAUCCAGGUCAGUUCAGCUUGAGGGAGGAUGUUACAGAGUAUGAUAAUAUGGUACAGCUGAGAGCAUCUGAUUAAAUGGAGCUGCUGAUGCUUACGUGUGUUGUUGAGUUAGUUAUCCAGCUCAGCAGCAAAGAUAACGAACUGGACUGCAUGCAUAUUAGAUUCAACAAACUGACAAGCUACGAGAUGCCUCUGAUCUUUUACUAUAAAUAACAAGUUGUAAUCAUCAGUCAAAUAAUAAGAAUAUGAUCAUUUUCAGAUCUGAUUCUUUAUGAUUUUCUUUCAUUUUCUUGUUAGUUUCUCUUAAACCAAACACUAUAUACAAACUCUUUCAUUAUGCAAUAAAAAAAUGCUCAUGGUACCCGUUUCACAUUGUGAAGCGCAUGAUCAGAUCAGAGCAGUCUGGAUUCUGGCAUCACAAGCGGAUGCUUUGACUUGCUUAGUUUGUUUUUUGUUUCUGAUAAUUUCUCGACAUUGGGUGGGAUAUUGUUUCUCUUUUGAGUUUCUCUUUUUAUUUUUUAUCUUAUGGAAUUUGGAGAUAGUGUAAAUGUAUGAAGAUGACGUAAUCAAGUUGUUUUGAUAAAUUCCCCUGGUCGGUUUACUUCACUAACCAUUAAUGCGCAAAACCUCCUAAUGACCCUCAAAAAUCCCGUACAUAAUUAAAGAAUUUCAAUUUUAUAUGUACAAAAAUAAAUAACUCUCAAAUAUAUUAUUUGAUAAUUCUCAAAACAACAAUUCGCUCUAAUAAAUCUCGUAGGAAAUACAUAGUCUAUAUUGUAAGUCUUUUCGAGACUAAUUCAAAGAGAAAAUACGAAGGAUAUAUAAUUGACCUUUAUCUGUCAUAAAGAACUCUAAAUAAAUUCAUAUACGCAUCGCAACUAAUUACAGUUUUGAUACUUCAUUUGGUUUUUGUUAAUUUUCUAUACGGUUGUGCUGUGCAUAAAAGUUUUGUUAAAUGAAAUCGGUGAGGGUUAAUUAAUCAAUUAAUUAAGAUCCAGUUAAUGUAAUUAAUUUUAUUUGAUUUUUUUAAUUCGAGUUCUAAAUUAAUCAAUUAAUUUAGAUUCAUGUGAAAUUGAAGUGAAUUAGUUUUGAUCUGUUUUUCGUCCUAUGUUUGUCUGUGUUUACUCUUACUUUUUUUUUGUUUAAAUUUUUGUUUUCUUAUUGUUUACUGAAUAAAUUUAUGAGCUUUAUUUGAGUAUGAUGAUUGAUUUGUGAUUCUAAUCUAAAUGUGUUGGGCUGCGAUUUAAUUGAGUGAUGUGUGAGCGCCAAAUAUUCAAUAACUGAUAAAUUAUAUUUAUAAAUAUUAAUAGCGAUGGCACAUAAACAAUUAAUUCAAGAACUUGCCCAUAGUGAUUAAUUUAAAGAGUAUAAGUAACAUUGCAGUACAGUUAGCCCUUACGUGUUUAAUUAGCAAUUGAAAACUACUGUUGCUGAUGAGGUAGAACAUUAUAACACUGUUGCUGAUGAGGCAGCUGGUAAUUCUUUUGGUGAAGAUAUUAAGACUAUUAAAGCUGAAAUGUAAUUAGAGAAAUAUAAUGAUUAAAGAGGUGAGCUUUGAUAACCAUCUCUUUAACUAUAUCACUUAAAUAACUAACUUUUUAAUAUUAAAGCUGAAAUUUAAUUUCCACUAUUUUUGAUAUUUGUUUGGCUAAUGCUUUGCUUAGAUUACUUUUUGUUUUUGAGAUUUUAUUGGCUUAGUCAUGGGAUAUUGUUUUCUCUUCUAAUUUCUAUCUUUAUUGUUAUGGGAUUUGAUUGUAGUGUUCAUAUACGAAAAUUAUGUAAUCAAGUGCUUUCAAUAAAUCAUGAUCGAAUUACUAUUAAUUAAUUAAAUUAAAUUUACUCAAAUUACUCAUGUACACGAUCAAAAUAAUUUUAAUUCUAUGAUAUAUAUACACGCGCGCACACACAAACAAAAUGUAAUUAAUUUUGAAAUACAAAAUAUUUAAAAUAAUCACCGUACUAACAAUUCACAAGUUAGAUUUUAUAUGAAUAGACAGAAAUAAUGUUAAUCUAGCAAAUCCAAUCAUAAUAAAUUGAUUUUUAUUUAUAUUAAUUAUGUCGAACCAUGCUAUUUUAAUAAAGAACACUCCGGUGUUUAUAUAUCCAACAGGUAAAAUUUCAAAACAAUAUUUGCCAAAGUCCGAUGAAAAGAAUAUACACGCACACACAUAUAUAAUCAUACAACAGAAGGAUAAAUAAAAAAAAAAAUGAAGUUUCAACAACUGAAUAAUGCAAACUCAUUUUUUUUAAACAAGCAUUUUAUUGUUUAAUUAAAAAAUUCGAAAACCCAUUAGCCUUAUAUACAUGAUAAAGACUCACCGACGCCGAACCAUAUUAAUUUAACUUAGUUUUCAACUGAAAUUUAAAUUUUGAAAUCACAUACACAAACACGCCCAAUUUGAAAAAAAAAAGUAGUAAUCAUAAAAUAUUUCAAUCGUCCAUUGUUCAGUCACCAAAAACCAAUUUACGAUCUAUUUCAACGCCUAAUUUGAAAAAAGAAAAUACUAAUAAUAAAAUAUUACAGUCGUCCAUCCUUUCACAAAUAAAAAAUAUCACCAUAAACAUCGGGUAUAUGGGCUAACAAGUCCCAAUAUUGUCCUCCAUCCUUUCUGCACUUCUCUUCUAUCAACGGACACUGAUUGAUACUUAAUUGCAAAAGUGAGGAAGGCAGGCCCUUCUCCGGAAAGUAUUUGAGCUUGGGACAAUUCUGGAGUCGCAAUGAAGUGAGGUUUUGAAGAUCAACAAUUGAAGAAGAUAGGCGUUCCAGAUUUGGAAAAUUGAAAAUCUCCAGAGAUGUUAGAGAGGGAGGAAGAGGAAGCGCGGUCCCUAAUCUUUUGUCCUCUAGUGGAAAUGACACCAUGUCGUCAUCGCAUCCUUCGAUACGUAGACGUCGCAGAGAGGAGAAUCUGUGAAAUCCCCGGCCCCGCUCAAUCAUUGACUUCCAAAUCUCCAUAUUACCCCGAAUAUCAAGUGAAUGAAGGUUGGUGGGAAGGCCAUCAUCUUCUUCAAGGCUUGGAAGCGCACCUCCUAUUCUUAAUUCUUGAAGAGAGGUCAGAUUGUGCAAUCCCUUGGGUAAGGCCUCUAGUCUCUUACAAUCAGUUAUCUCCAGCCUCGUGAGUUUCGCACAAGGCAAUCCCCCUUCGGGAAAGGACACCAGAUUUCCACACCUCAUUAUCCGUAUGUCUCGAAGCUGGCGGAGAUUAUGUAAACCACUCGGUAAACUUUUCAGAUUUUCACAAUCAGGAAUGUAGAUUGUUUCAAGAGAUGAGUUGUUGUCCAACAUUUCUGCUAUUGACUCCAGCUUUGAACAUCCCCGAACUAAAAGGGACUUAAGAGACGGAGGUAGAUUGCCAACUUCAAGGGACUCAAGCGUGGCAGGUAACUCGUUUUUUGAAAAUAUACAUGUCAGAGACGAACAACUCUCAAUGUGUAAGUGCUCAAGAAGAGAUGACGUGUACCUUCUGCUGCUUCUGCUGCUGCUACACUGGAUGCCCUCUUCCACUGUCAAAGUCCUUAUAUUAUGGCAACCGCAGAUCUUCAAAUUCUUAAGGCUCGAUGGUAGCCUGACAGCAGCAAUAUAUGUCAACGAACAACAAUAGUGAAUAUUCAAGAUCUCGAGAGACGAAUUGGUGUCGCACAUCCAUGCCUCUGGUAACGAUUUCAGUGCAUCACAUGCUCCAAUAUGAAUUUUCUUCAACUUGGAAGGCAGAGCAACCUCAGGAAAGGAAACAAGGGAACUGCACUUGUAGAUUGCUAUCUCUCUCAAGGAACUGAGGCUGAACGAUGAUUGUGGCAGCUUCACAAGGCUUUCGCAAUCACUCAAUUCUAGAUAUUCAAGUCUGCAUGACAAUUCGCAGAGCUGCUGUUGUUGGUCUUUCUUUUCCUCCGCCACCAAGGAUUGAAGUUUGGGACAGCUGUCAAUCGUCAGUCUUUUGAGAGAGCAAAUGUCUUGCAGUAAUUCGUUAUGACUCUUCCAUAUAUGUGUUUCAUUUUUAAUAUUUUUUAUCUCCAAUUCUUCCAGUUUUGGUAUUCGCAGCUUCAAUGGCCCUGCGAGAAACACUUGAUUUGAUGUAUCUCUACAAACCACUGAAUUCUGUGAGCCGAGAUGAUCAAUUGCACUUCUCCACACAACCUUUUUACAUCCAUCAAUCUCUAAUUUGCAAAGAGCUGGAAGACUCGUAACUGAAACUGACAAUUCUUCACAUCCUCGAAUAACAAGCAUCUCCAAUGCAGGAAGGCAUUCUGGCAAUGUUCCUUGCAGUUUAGAACAUCUUAAAAUGCUAAGCUCUCUCAAUUUAGGAAACCCUUCAACUCCCUGACCAGAUCUAAGAGGAAUCCAGUCUUCCCAUUCUCGCAGGUCUUCAAAAUGAAGAGUCUCCAAGCAUGGAAAAGGAAUCCGAGAAUCAUUCCCAUAGAACUCUGAACCCAAACUCUUUACUCUACUCAUUCCACCCACUUCAAGAUGCUUUAGAGAGGGUAGUUGCCCGACUGACGGCAGGGUAGUACACACGCCACAAUCUUCAAAUUUAAGUGUUACUAAAUUUGACAAUGAGGAAUCUCCUAACCAUGUUGGAAAUUUUGUACCUCCAUAGCCACAGACACAAAAUUGUUCCAGAUUUUCAUGGGGUUUGAGCAUGUCAAGCACGCCCAUUUCAGUUUCUGCCUCCCUUGAAGAUGAACCAUCGGUGCUGCAAGUCCAAUUAAGCGAUAAUUCUCUAAGAUUCUCCUUUACAUCCAACCGAGCCUCCUUUGCAUCACCAAUGUCUUUUACAUUCCCUAAAUUUGAAAUUUUAAGUGUCCCCUGAAGAUGUAUCAAUGACUUUAGCUCUCGUAACCCAGAACCAUUGUCUUUUCCCACAGCAAAAUUACUCAAAGUCUGAAGACAAGUCAGCUUACCAAUUCCUACUGGCAUUUCCUCCAACGAAUCUGUAUUUGAAUUAUUGAGAUGAUGCAAUUUGAUGAGGUUUCCCAUGGCUGCACACAACUUCUUCAGUCGCCGACAGUCUUCCAACAGAAGGGUGUGCAAAUUGUAAAGCUUGCUGACUGAUUCAGGCAGAGUUUUAAUCUCAGUUCCAGACAGGUUAAGGUGCCUUAAAUACCUCAAAUCACCAACUGAAUCCGGCAGCUCGGAGAUGUGAUAUCCACGCAAAGAGAAGACCCUCAACCGUUGGAGUUUGAACAACUUAGGAAGAAUGCUACGAGCCAAGUAUCCACGCGAACUCUUUGUCAACAUUACUGGUAAAAAAGUUCGCAAAUGUUGGAUAUCGUACAAGCCCUCAAACCUUUGAACGCCAUCACAAAAUCCGCGAAUGUAUGACAGGUGACGAAUAUUUUUGGAAAAACUUUGUUGCUUGUUAACCUCUGAGGUAUACUCCAUUGUGAAGUAUAUCUCCCCCGCAGCCCAUUGAGCAAGGUCGUUGACAAGGUCGUGCAUCACAAAUCGUGAUUUAUUGUUGCUUGAUUGCUGGAAAAAAGAUCUUGAACGUAGCUCUUGAAAGAACUUUCGACCUAGAUCUUCAAUAGGAUUCCCACUCUCUUUGUGAUCCAAGAAACCCGAAGCACACCAUAAUAAAAUUAUCUCCUCCUCUUCAAAUUCAUAAUCCUUUGGAAACAAUGAGCAGUAUUCAAAGCAUUGUUUCAAAGGUGCCGCAAGAUAAUAGUAGCUCACUCUAAGCGCCGGUAUAAUGUCACAUCUCUCUUCGGGUAAAUCCCAUAUCUUGCAACUGAGCACACCUUCCCAAUCACUCCGGUCAAGUUUACCACGUAAGAGACCACCAAGAGUUUUCGCAGCUAAGGGCAAGCCGUUGCAUUUGAUCACUAUCUUCUUGCCAAUUUCCUCCAAUGACUUGUUUGAACUGAAAUCUCUUGUCCCCAAAGAGUGUUGAGCGAACACAGACAGACAAUCAUCAUUUGACAGCUUUUUCAAUUGAUAAGCCGGAGCAGUCCCCAUGAUGGCUGCAACCCCUUGAUUACGAGCUGUGACAAUAAUCUUACUUCCCGGUGCGCCAGCUUCAAAUGGAGGUCUGAGUCGAUCCCAAUCAUUGUAAUUCUCAUUCCAAACGUCAUCUAAAACAAGCAAAAAUUUCUUUUGAGAUAACUUCUUCUUCAGCUCCUCUUGAAGCUUAUUCAAGUCGUGAUUAUCCACAUUCUGGUCACUAGCAAUUGAAAGUAGGAUUGAUUUUGUAAGCCUGAUAACAUCAAAAUCAUCAGAGACGCAAGUCCAUGCCUUGAGAUCAAAAUGAUCCUGCACUUGCUUAUCAUUGUAGACAAGCUGAGCGAGAGUGGUUUUGCCCAGCCCGCCCAUACCAAUGAUAGGAAUAACAGAGAAUUCACCAUCAUUUCUCAAAUCAUCCCUCAACAACAAUUCAACAAUUUCCUUCUUUUCUGUUUCCCUCCCAUAUACCUUGGCUUCAUUCACCAAAGAGGUUGUGGGUAGUCUUUGCCUAUCUUUUUUGGACCUCCCAACUGAACUUACGUUCAAACCCAGCGAGUCUUUCUGUGUUACAAUAUCUUGAAAUCUGUCGUUGAUCUCUUUGAUUUUGGACAUUAUGGCGUAAUCGAACUGAAUCGAUUGUGGAGUAAAAGUGGUGCAGCAGGUAGGAAUGAGCUUCCGAAACUUACUUGUUCUUGUACGACUGCUACUGGGUUGAUCAAGAGCAGCAGCUGGAUCUCGAUUUCCAAGCAGCAACUUCCUCCGGAAAGCCUCAGUUUGAAACUCAUCCAGCAAGUCUUCAACAUCAAAAGCCAAGUUCUGAAGCUCGCCAAGCCACAACUUCACAGACUGAUCAGUCUUCUUCUCCUCAGCAUCAGCAAGCACCGCCUUGAUCAUCACCAACAUAUUCUUCCACUUCUUUAGGUCGGCUUGGAUUUGCUCUUGGCGUGCAAACAGCCGAAUACCCUCUGAAGCUAACUUAUUGACCAGCAAAUCAACGGACGCCGUAAGGAUUGCCUCUCCGAUGAAUGACAUUUUUUUUCUUUUUCUUUUUUUUUUUGGUUUUGCAAAGAAAGAAAGGAGCAGAAUUAUGGGUUAUGGAAAGCAGAAUGAGAAAAUGGAACAGGUGAGAAAAUGGAUAAUUAAUCAGAACGAGUUUGUGAUUGUGAAGGGUCUGGCCCAGCAAGCUUAGUAGAAAUCACGCGUUUAUACUUUAUUGACCAAUGACUAAUAAUUUGGCAAUUCACUCAUCACCAUUCACCGCCACUUGGUAAGCAAAAUGAAAAUGCUUGGUAAUUAAGUGUGGUCAAGCAAAAUACGACGUAAAAUGUGUCAAGGGUCUCCCCACUUGUUGUUCCUUGCAGCUUAGAAAAGAAAAACAGAGCCCACCACCCAUUAAUAAUUUAGCAAUUCACCAAUCAUCACCACUUGUUACGAAACCAUCUCAUAAACCAAGUUCGUAGGUCGAGCGGUUAAUCCAGUGUCUAUUUCCUAGAACCUUCAUCUCAUAAACCAAGUUCAAUCAAAACGUUCCUCUCUCUAUUUUUUUUUUUUUAAAAAACUCCUAAAACGUUUCUUUUUAGAAAUAUUUUACUUUAUUCAACUAAUAUGAUAUCUAACAAAUAGACACAAUUGAAUCACUCUAAAGUGAAGAUGAAAGGGGAAAAAAAUAACCUUCCAACUACCAGUAAUUUAGCAAGCUUCACUUUAUUCCACCAAAGUGUAAAUAAAGCCAGCCCCCACCACCAUCAAUAAUUUUGCAAGCUUCACACGCUUGUUGUCUUCUCCUUGACGAACUGGACAUGAGUGGACCAAGAACCAAUGACAGAAUUUUAAAAAUAAUAAUAAGAGAAAAACCUACACAUUUUCGACUUAGAGUAGAACCAUAAUUAAUGCUAAAAUCUACUCAGCUAACAUUUUCAAAAUAUUGUUCUUUAUGAUUUUCAAAACCUUGAUUAAGGUUCAUCUCAAAUGUUUGAAGAGAGUCUAUCAAUUCUUCUAUGCUAAAAAUAUCAAAAUUCUUACUUUUUCUUCAAACAUUGAAUAAUAAAAAAAAAAGUUGAAUAUGGAGGAAAGUAGAAUGCAUCCAUCUUCGCUGUAGAAGUCUUCUACUUAUUAAAGCAAGUUAGAAUAAAAGAUUUUAAUCUCUCUUUUUAUUCCUGUAAGUGCACUACAUUUUUUUUUAAUCUCAAUGCGAAGUCGUAUCAUAAUGUUAUAUUCCUAUUGUAAAACAAAAUUUUAGAUAAAACAAAUUCGACUCAUUUUUUAAAGGUAUAUAUUUAGUAGGUUACUAACAAAACUAACAAAACGUGAUUAUUACACUAAAUGAAAUAAAAGACAGUACUAUCACCAAUAAUUUAGCAAGUUUCGCAUGCAUGUGUUUCUAAAAACAUUAUAUGGAAUCAAACAACAGUGAUACAAAGAGAAAAGUGGAAAUCCUCUGAUUGUAUUUUUCUUUUUCUUUUUCAAAAGAAAUGGUGGGGUUGGUUUGUUUGCAAAGUUAUUAGCGUGGGUCUAUUUGUUUUUGUUUUAACUUUAUUAAUCAAUAAGCAAACGUGUAAUGAUUUGUAUAUAUCACUAGCAUCACAUUAUUGGGAGGUAUUGCGCUUAGUAUUCACAAUUUUUAUAAGAUGAAUUUGUAAGACUAAUUAAUUUUGAUGAAAAUGUAUUGUUACUAAGAUAUUAUUUAAUUCAUUAAGUUAACUUGAGGUAUUAAUAUUCACUAAUUGUGGUGCUGAUUAAUUUACUUAACUUGUCACCAUUUGCAAUUAAGAAUGAAGUUCAAUCAAUUUAUUGAGAAAAAAAAAUAAAGAUACCUUUUUUUCUUUAGAUUUUAAUUCUUAGGAUUUGAUUUCACGCUCUUUUAUUUUUUUACGUUGCUAAAGAGGCAGUAAAAAACUUGCUGAAUGUCAUCAAAUACUUUUAUCUCAUCUCACAAAUUGGUAAUAUUUGUUUGGUAUUUCAUCUCAACAGACGCAGUAAGGAUUACCUCUCCAAUGACUGACAUUUUUUUUUUUUUUUGGGGCAAAGAAAGAAACAGAAUUUUGAGUUUCGAAAAGCAAACUAAGAAAAUUGAGCAGCAAGUGUGAAGGGCAAGCAAAAUGCAUGUAGCAAGUCUUCCACUUGUUGUUUAUUCCAGUAAAGUGAAAAUAAAAACAGAGCCCACCACCCAUUAAUAAUUGAGCAAUUCACCAAUCACCAGUCACCACCACCCGUUACCGUAGGAUAAAAUUUUAUUUAAUUUAUUUUUUCACUGUAUUUUAUCUUAAAAAAUUAUUUACAGUAUGAUAAAAUUUUAUUUAAUUUAUUUUUUCAUUGUAUUGUAUCUUAAUUAAUUAAGUUGUUAUAUUUAUUGCAAAAAAUUUAUUUUGGCUUAGAGGAUUACUUCUUAAAUUCAGAUUAUUUUAAUGAUAAUAAAAGAUAUUUAUUUUGUGGAAGCAAAAUAAAUUGAAGAGAGAAAGAAAAUAUAAAUGACUUAACUCUAUUUAUAUUUGUCCUUAAAUAUAAUUGUAGUAUAAUAGGGGUUUUAUAAGAUUAAUGAAGGGGUGCCAAUAGUCCUACUCUUAUAGAAAAUGGCAAUAAAAAUAGUGGAAAUUUAGUGUAAUAAAAAGGAUAAACCAUAAGAAAUUAAUGUUUACAUCAAGAUACGUUAUAAAUAUUGUUUUUCUUAAGAUGUUAUUUGCCUCCACCAAUCGAAUAAUACACAUGAAUUAAACAAAUAUGACUCCAUGAUACAAUAAAGCGCUUAUUUAUUUGUUUAAGUUAUAUGUCGACGAAGCAAAUUUGAAUACUUUUGAAUGUUGUAAGCAUGUCAAGAAUCAAUAUAUUAUUUCUACAAAAAGAAACAAUAUAUUAGAUAUUUAAAGCAUAAAAAAUAGAUGUUAAUUGAUUAAAUUUGAUUUAGGAAAGAAGGCUACGAAAAGAGUGGUGUAAGGUCAUUUUAUUCAUGUCUACAUAGCCCUAUUAUUUGGGUUGUCAUUUUUUUAUAAUACUCCUUCAUGGCCAUUAGAUCAAACACUCAAAUCCCUACUAUAGCUAAUUAGCUUAUUGACCAGUAACUUACAGGAUGCCAUAAGGAUUACAUCUAUGAUGAUUGACCUUUUUUUUUUUUGGGUGGGGGUAGGGGGGAAGAAACCGAAUUAUGAGUUUAUGGAAAUUAGAGCAAAUAAGAAAGUGAAUUACAACAGAAUGAGUUUGUGAUUGUGAUAGGUCGAACAAGUCUAGAAAUCAAUUAGGCAAAAACCACCACGAAAGUUAAAAAGGAAAAAUAGCGCCCACCACAAAUAUAAAAUUGGAGGAGCUUAGGAUCAUGCCUUUGCUUUACAAAUUAAAUUAAAUAAAAGCCAAACCAAGAACCUUGCUUUUGCUUAACAUGAUUAAUUAGGCACUAUUUCAGAAAGAACACAAAAAUAAUAAACCCUUUUAUUGAUCUUAAAUGUCAAGAAUAAAGUAACAUUUUCUCCUCUUACCGUUUCUUCAGGUUCAUUUCAAAAGUUUGAAGAGAGUUUAUCCAUUCUUCUAAACUAAGAAAAAGAAAAUCAACAUUAUUGCUUUCUUCUAUUCUUGCUUUCUUCAGAUGUUGAAUAAAAAAAAAUAUAUUGUUAAAUAUGUAGGAAAAAAACAAACAAAGUGAGUUAAACAAAUAAAACCUAGGUAAAUUAACUGACGCAACACUGGAAAUCACAACUGAAAAUAUAGGAGGGAAAAGAAAAAUCGAAACAGAAAAUGAAACCCGAGGCCUGCACAGGACAAUUUCCUUAAAACAAAUUUACCACCUACUGAAGUGCUUUAGGUCUGCUGGUAACUGUUUCUCAGGAUACAACGAGCACGAAUUUUCGGUCAAUCACAUACAGGUAAUGUCGGCGAACUACAACAGUGGCAAACUCAAUAAGAAAAAACAAAUGAAAGAAGGAGGAAAGGAAAAUUUUCAAGUGCUCUGUGUGCUGGUUUCAGUGUGUAUAAAAAACAGAAGAGGAUGUGCUUUUUUAUACUCAUGUGAGGAUAUAACAGCAGCAUUGUAUUGAAUUUCGGAAUUCAAUAUAUGCCAUUAAAUAGUUAUAACAGCCAAUUCAAUUCCAUCAACUGAUUUCAAAAUUGAAUUCAAAACCAGUUAAAAAAUAAUUGUUGUGAAGUUGUUACAACAAAAAAUUCAAAGGAAAUUAAAAAUGUGCUAUGCAAGCUUGGAUGAUUUUGGACUGACAUUCGCGUACGCAGGACGCACACGAGUUUAACCAAAUCGGUCUUGGAUUUGCACCCCCUACGCACGCGCGUGUAGAGAGAGUCUCUAUCCUUAUAAUUAUUACUCAUGCAUGGUUAAAUGUUUAUAUAUAAACACUAAUCCUUGGGCUUCUUUUUCUCAUGUGGGAAAAGUUUCAUUUGCUUUCAAAUUUCCAACUUCAAUAGUGAACUUUGAGAGACAAUUUCUCAUUCACCCAAGCACUAUUUUGAGAAAAUAAAAUUAUAUUUUUGAAGUAUUAACAUAAUAGAAUCCAAACCUCACAAGAUUUCUCACUUUCGCUAAGUGAGACCCACUCAAAAUGUGCCCUCAAAAUAUCAUAUAGACAUGCUAUUUUUUCAACAAAAUAAGGAGGAAAUUAGAAUGUAUCUACCUUUGCUAACCUAAAAUAAAAGAAAUUAAUCUCUCUUUUAUUACUAAAGUACACUAUUUUUUUAAUAAUUGUAUUGACAAUGACAACAUGUAUCAUCGAUUAUAUUCUUGUUGUGUUGAAAUAAGAUAUAAAAAAUCUUGGAUCAAGAGGAAUUCGACUCAUUUGUUAAAGGUACAUAUUUUAUAUACUAAAAACAAAAAUUAACAUAACACGAUUAUUACACUAAAGUGAAAUGAAAGCCAGUACCCACCAGUUCACCAACAGUAAUUUAGCAAACUUUGCAUUCUCGUGUUUGAGGAAAUGGACAUUGGUGAAUUAACCAAAGGACCAAUGAAAGAAUUGUAAAUAACAAAAUGGAGAUUACACUUUUUUUCCAUAUAAUUGUUCAGGCAAUGAAACUAAUUUUGAGACAUUUUCAAAUAAACUUAUUUUCAAAAGCAAUACAAAAUGAUUUCGUUUUAUUUUGAAACAUUUCAUGGAAUCAAGUAGUAGUAAAAUAAAUAGAAAAGUGGUAAUUCCCUCAUUUUAUUAUUUUCUUUUUUAAAAGGAGAUGAUGGGGUUGGGUUGUUCACAAAAUUAUUGGUGCGGGGUCUGUUUGUUUUUGUUUUAACUUUAUUAAUUAAUUAGCGAAGCAAACAUGUAAUGAUUUGUAAAAGGAUUACUAGCAUCAGAUUAUUGGGAGGCAUUAUGGAGAAGUCACGCUUAGUAUUUACAAUUCAUGUAAGAUAAAUUUGUAGAUUUAUUAAGUUACUUGAGAUAUAUUUAUUAAUUGUGGAGAUUAAUUUAUUUAACUUGUCAUGAUUUUCAAUUAAGAAUGAAGUUCAGUCAAUUUAUGGAAAGAAGGAUAAUUUUGUUUUCAGAUUUUUAAUUCUUAGGAUUUGAUUUCACUUUGUUUCGAUUGUCGAUGUUGCUGAAGAGGCAGUGAAAGUUUGCUGAAUGCCAUCAAAUGCUUGCAUCUUAUCUCACAAAAUGUCAAUAUCAGUCUGUUUCCCUAUAGGCGCAACCAUCACGAAUUUAAAGUAACAACAUGAUGAGCAUAUAACAUAUACAUAUUUUACCAUUAAUUAUAUAAUUGUUAGUUAUUUUUAUUUAUUAUUUUUAAUUAAUUAAAUUAUUUUAUUAAAUAAGAAAUUAAUUGGAGAUUAUGGAUAAAAAGGACAUGAAAAAGUUUAAUUUGGGAAGCAAUAAAAAUUAAAUUGAAAGACAAAAAUACAGACAAGGAUUAAUAGAAUCCGUGCCGAAAAAAUCAAAGCACAAUGUUUUUCUUAAUGUCAUUAUUUAGGCAAGUGUUUUGAUGCACUGGAAGUUUAAGAGAAUAAAAUCUGAAGAAUUUAUUAAGAGAAUCAAAUAGAAAGUUUUGAUGCAGCGAAAAAAAUCUGAAGUUUGAAUUUUGCUCAUAUAGAUAGUAAGAGAAUCAAAUUAUUGUUAAAUUAAAUUAAUGAAAAAAAUUAUCUGAUAUCUAAAACAGCAUAUCAACAAAAUUGAAUUAAAAGAAAAUUGAAGAGAAAAACCAUUGAGAAAUUUCGAUAACUUCACUUAUUAAAACUUGGUUAUUUCAUUUUCAUUGAUAAUCAUUUUGACACCGGUCAAAUUUAAAAGUUUAAAUAAUGGGGGCGAUAUUUCUUUCCAGCUAUGCCCAUCGACUAAUUAAAAUACUGCCGAAACAAUUCAGGGAUAGUAUAGUAAUUUCAUUUAACAGUUUUCGUGCUUCAAAUCAUCAAAUCAAACUCACGGUUUCCGACUUGUAAUGGGUGCAACUCAUGUUUUUCAAACAUUAAUGUGUUUCAAACAUUAAGAUCUUUAGCCAUUCUGUUACUAUCCCGUGGUUAUUUAAGUUACAAGAGACAGUAAAAAAUAUCAUCAUAUUUUAACGUCCCUCGAAUAUUUGAAGAAGUUAAAAUUUAGGCGGUUUUAUAUAAGAUGUAAUAUAAAUUGAUAUCAGUAAUUAUAUGAUUGUAAAUAUCAUGAUCAAUAGUCUCUUAUAAAAAAAAAAAAAGAACAAGUGUCAUGAGCCCAUUUAGAUUAACUUAUAUUUGAGGGGGAAAUCUUUGUACACCAUGGUAUAUAUUAUAUAUAUAGACAUUGAUGAAUUCGCACAGUACAACUAAGUAUUUUUUUUUUUUGAAUACUGGUUACACACCAGAUUACUGGCAAUUGCUAUUAUAGCAGACAUUACACUGAUAUUUACAAUCAAAUAUACAUAAUUGAGACUUAUAUUAUUACAUUAAAUUCUAUGAAGUACAUUUCCAAACAAAUAACCCUUAUAGAGCAGAGAUGUCCUUGCUCCACUCGCAUUUCGCAGGGAGAAGAACUUAUAAAAAUUUAGCCCCCACAAUACUUUUGUGGAGGGUUGAACCGCUGCUCUCACGCUUGUGAGGGCAGCAGUCCAACCCGCAGACCAAGGGCCCAAUGGCGUACAACUAAGUAAUUGCAUGCGCCAUUUGUGCCAAUGUGUAUAUAAAUAUAUAUAUAUAUAUAUACACCCUGCUUGCAUUGCAUUAACUACGUCCCUAGUCACCCACGUCCGCUACUUGUAUGAAUGUGCAUAUAAAUAUACAUAUCCGCAGUGUUAGGAAUUUAGAUCUAUUAGAAAUAGAUAUAGGUAAUUAAAAAACCAAAAAUUAAGAACUUCAUUUUUUUUGGAAGUACUAUUCACGGUUACUGUUCACGACUACUGUUCAUCAUCAUAAAAAAUAUUAAUUUUCAAAAACAUAAUAAAAUGCAGAAAAUAAAUGACACAGAGAUUUUUACGUGGUUCGAAUUAACCAAUCAUACAUCCAUGAGGCCACGCCCAGAUGAAAAGCAAUUCAUUAAGUUGAGAUGUUACAACCUAUGGAUUUACCAAACUUAAGACUCUCAUUUACAGUUUAUCACCAUACAGUUUACUCAACCUUAGAAUGAAUCUGCUUCUCUUGAAUAAUCACUACCCCUCUUGAUCCGCGAUCUUCAAGGCACUUCGCAAAGUGAUCAAUAGCAAUUCUUCAAUUCUUCAAUGUCUAGUGAUACAAGAUACACAUAGACUCUCCAUAGAGAUUAACAGAAGAUGAGAAAAAAAAUCAACACAACAUGAUGCGCCAGAUCCGGAUUCUUUGGGGAGGAGGCCGAAUCUUACUUCUCUGCUUUAUGCUCUGCGUUAUAUGAUCUUCAAUUGUGAAAUACCUCUCUUUAUAUAGGCACUAGAGUUUUACCAAAAUAGCAAGUCUUAAAAGACUUGGAUUCUUUCCAAAUAAGAGUUGCAUUCCUCUUAUAAUUCCCAUGAAUCUGAAUAGGAAUAAAUCUAACCUUCUUACCUUGCUUGUCUCCUAAGAAAUAUUUAGAGCAUUUAAUGAACUCUCUGUUUGAACCAACUUCUUGCUCUAAAUAGAUCUCAUGCGCUAAAUAUAAAAUCUCACCAUUAAUUAACUUGCUAAAUUAAACAUCUAAUUAAAUUAAGAAACAAAUAUUCCUAAUACUAAAUUAGUGAAUUAAUAAAUUAAUCCAUAUUACAAUAUAUGCAAUAAAUAAAUUUUCAAUUUAACUAGACUUGCCAUAAAAUAUCAACUUUAUAAAUAUUGGACUUAACACGCAGCAUAUUAUCAAACCAGAAUCAGAAGCAACUUAAGUUUUGAUUACGGUUCACCGGAAGUCACAGCUAGCAAGUGAUCCUUGCAUCAUUUUACUAAAUAUACAAUGAAAUUAACCCCCGCAAUUUCGGCCUUUGCCAUAGUCGUUUUGUUUAUUAGGUUUAUGUUUAUCAACAUGAUUGUCAACCAUAAUCACAAUCAAGUUGUUAAUUAUUUUUAAAUAAUGUGAAGGAACAAGAUUUUGGUCUUUGAAUGUGGAGUUAGAAAUAUCUCACCUCAAUAUACGGUAUUGUGCUCUCAUCAUCUUAACAUUAUUUGUUAAAAAUUAUGUCAAAGAGGAAAGCAGAUUCAAACAUUACUUCAAUUUUCUUUAAGAGCAUCAAAAAAUCGUUAAUAGGCUACUGUUAUUUGAUAGUACGAUUUCACAAAAGGAAGCUGGAGGAAGAUGAAGCUUUCAAGUCAUGUGUGCAUCAAAGUAAGAAACAGAGCUAACGAGAGAUGGACAAGUAUUAACCACUGUUAUCAGAAAUUAAAUAUAUCAGCAUUUUGUUAUAUCAGCAGAGACGCGUGUACGUAUUGCUUGUGACAAAUCUCACCCAUGGAGAACUUUGUGGACGGCAUUUGAAUGUGUGGCCUCAUUUAAUGAACGAAACGAUAACUUUAAAAGAAAGUAUGUACUGUGUUAAUUAUUAGGCUUUAGCUUAAUGAUUGCAAUUAGUUUGUCUUGUAAUUAAAUUAUUGCCGACAAACACUAUCACGACCGACGUCCACUACUUGCGUGAAUGUGUGUAUAAAUAUCCACAGCAUAUUAUCAAACCUGAAGCGUGAUCAUCUUUAAGUUUUGGUUACGGUUUAUCAGACGUUAGAAAAUAUCUUUUCUAAUUUGAAGAAGAUGGAAACUCCUUAUCCAGGUUCUUAGGUCAUGUUCAGUUGAAUGUUAUUUAUAAUUUUUAUUUUAACAUUAUGUAUUUAUAAAUAUAAUUAUUAUUAUGAUUUUUUCAGGUAAGAAUGGAUGGUCUGAAAGUAACCCAAUAAUUAUGUACAAUAUUAUUAAUGAUGCGAGCGUGAAUAAAAAUUUGGAUUUUAUUCUCGUCCCUCAAUACGGAAGAAAUCUUGACCAUAGAGGCUAAGUGUUAUGUAACUCUUUCGUAUGUAUUAUGUUUAAUUAAUAAUAAAAUGAUGGGUUAUUAUUAUGUCAAUUAUGUGAGUGUCUUUGUUUGGUUUAGUUCAACUUAUAAAAUCUCUUGAGAUAUUUUCUUUAUUUAAUUUUGUGUACCGUGUCUUCUUGUAAAAAGAAAUUAAUAAAAAAAAUAUCAUUGUGUAUAAUGUAUUAACUAAGUUAGUGUAUUCAUGUUAGGUUAAUUGUGCUCUCUCUUCUUCAUAUUUUUUUUUUUUAAAAAAAAACUCCACAUAUUGUUGGUUAGCUAAUUCUUGCAGCUAGCAAGUGAUCAUUUUCUUUCCCCUACUGCCGUAGCAUCAAAUCCUUGCAAUUACAUAUCAAGUGGUAUUCGAGCCGUCAAAUGAUCCAUGGAAACAAGCAACAAAUCAAAUGGUGAAUUUUGCGAAGAGAUUCACGAAAUCCUUGCUAUACAUGAGUCUAGUUUUGACCCAGUUCACAUCACCCAUCAGCUGCGGGUUUGAAUGGUACCUAGUGGAUAUUUUGUGAGUCCCCACGUAUAAAAUCACACUUGCAACAAAACCUAAAAACUUAAAUUACGUAAUUCAAAUUAUAAAUUUAUAAUCAUAGCCUAAAAAACCACACAAAAUACUUAAUUCUAGAUUUUAUCAAUGUAAAUGAAAAAUGAAAGUUUUAAUAUUAAAAUAAACUCACAAAAUAUAUCAAUUUAACACAAAUUUUCAAAGUUAAUUACUAAAUACAUAAGUCUAUCGCAACUCAAAGUGCUUUCAAUUGAAAACGAAAAAAGAGAAAGAGAAUAAAAAAUAAAGAACUACAAAUCAAAGUAGCAGCCAUGUCUCAUUUUGCAGUCUCAUUCAAUACCACUAGCACCCAUCCAACACGAUUUUUCUAAACAAAGUAUCAAGUACAAAAUUACAAUAAGCAUAUCAUACUCCAUGCUUUAAGUUAAAGAUCCUUAUAUAUUUUUAUGAAUAAUUUUUUAAUGAAAUUUUAUGAUUAAAAUUAAAAAUACAAACAUUCAAAUAAGAAUGUCGGACACUUGCACAACUAUUUACCAAAUUUUUUCUCUAUAAAAAUCGACCUGCAACUUUCAAUAGGUUUAAAUUUUAUAAUACCAAACCUGAUUGCAGCUCGCAAAAAUUAUCCGUUGCGGCCAAGACUUUGGAUUUGCGAUGAUUUUGCCACCCUAAGUGUAGUUAGUAUUGUAUAUCAUGUGGCUCUUAUAAAAAGCUUAGAAGUUGUUUGAAUAACGGGGGAGACACAUAUCUCCCAAAGAUUUUCUCUUUUUCAAAUUAUUAUUUUUUCUCUAUUAUUGUAACUUCGAAUCCUUAUAAAUUACAGAUUGGAAACAUGAACACAAUGUUUUGACAUAGUAGACUUUUGGCUUGUCCAGAGAAAUUUAGGAUAGAUUUUUACGCACUAAGGUGGCGUUUGUUUUUUUGUCUGAAAUCUGAAUAGACUUGAAUUAGUCUGAAUUCUGAACAGGUCUGAAUGUUUGAAUCUGAAUAAUAUGUUUGUUUUUUCAUCUGAAUCUUGAAAAAUAAGUAUUAAGUUGUUUGUUUUUUUCAACUUAAAAAGCUAAAAAUAUGUACUUUUACAUUUGUAUCCUUAUUAAAUUUAAAUGUCAAAUAAAUAAUAUAUUAAAUACCACAAUAUUUUAACAUUUAUAAGUAAAACUAUAUUCAAGUGAAUACAUAAUUAUUUUAAAAUUUUAAUAUAUAAAAUACCAUAAAUUUCAAAUUUUAUCGUAUAUAAUAUAAGAAAGAAAAAACAGGGAUAUUUUUAUGUGGGGUAAAUAUCUAUGGGUGAGUUUUGGGAUAGACAUGAAAAAUAAAUUAUAAAACAGGGAUAUUUUUGACAUUAGCAAGUAAUUGACUUAAUUCAGAUUUCUCCAUUAAGUAAAAAGCUAAAAAAAAUUAGCUUAUUUUAUUAAGUCAAAAUUAUCUAAAAAGUCUCAUUAAGUUAUAAAAACAAACACCUCUAAUUAACUUAAUUAAUUAAGUUAAGUCACUUUAAGUCAUUAAGUUAAAAAACAAACGCCACCUAAGACUCUAUUUACUUUUGAGGUUUUAGAACUUUUAAGCAACACUAGAAAUUUGUAUUGUUUUGAUAGAGUUGUAGUCUUUGAUAUGUGAUUGGUAUUAAUCAAGUGUUAUGUUUACAAUAGUUAAAACACAUAUUGAAUCAAAAUCCACUUCUAAGGGCUUGAUUGAGUGAUUGUAAAGUAGGUUUUUAGUUUGCUAGCCACUCAAGUUCAAAUAUUGGAACCACAUCGCUUUAUAGCCAAGUGAGAGAACUUGUGCCCUAAAAAUUGAGGGGUGCAUAUCGAGUUUUACCACCAAUAAAAGUUGGUGUUAAAACUUUAAUUUCUCUCCUAUUGUGGAUAGGGGUAAUUAGGAGUUUACAUCCCCUCCUAUUAAUAGAUAGGGGUUAUUAGGAAUAUUAAAAAAAAGUUCAAAUAUUGAAAAUAUAGGUAUGUGUUAUAAAAUUCAUAAUAUAAAGACACAAAAUCAAGAUAAAUAUUUAAAAAUUUAGAACCAUAAGAGCGUGACUUGUAAGUUUCAAAAAAGUAUGUGCAAAUAUAUGCAUUAUUGAUACCCCAAUUAAGGGUGGGCAUUAAGAAAAAAAAUCCCAAAAAAUUAAAACUAACCCUAACUAAAAUAUUCGACGGCGGCCUCCUCGUUUUCUUUUCUUCUUCUUCCUCCUCUUGCUCACCCUCAAUGCCCAUUCAUGGAAAUCCAACAGCUCCAAACGCGUUUCAGCCGCUCGCACGUGUGAGAAAUUUUCCUUCUCAUAGGAUUAUUCGUUUCCUUCGCUUGCAUGCCAGCAGAAUAUUCAGGCCGAGGAUUUUUCCGGGCCUAGCCCAACUAUAAGCUCUCCCAAAACCCAAUCAUAAAGUUCAUAACGUUUAGCGUUUGCUUUUACUAUAAUUUUUUUUAACCAAUUUUCACAUUCAUCAACAUAGGCAGACAGAUUUUGUAGAAAAUAAAAUUAAAUAAAAAUACAAGAUCACGAAAAUUCCUUUUCCGAUGUGGGAAUCUAUCUACACCUUUCACGUACCUUUUUUUUUUUUUUUUGUGGUGGGGGAUUCACUUGCUUUUGUUUGCAUUGCCUUAUUGGAUAAAAGUUUGUAGAACAUCGUCUGUUUGGUUAAAGCCGAGCAUGAGUGAAGAAAAAUUAAAAAUAAACAAUUUUCCAUUAAUUUGCAACAAGUAUUAAUAAAGUGCAUGAGAAAAGACACCAGGAUAUGUCUUUUUUCAAAUGAAAAUAAAUGUGUUAAUUAGUCAAUUUAAAUGGUAUGACAUUUUGAAAUGACAGAAGUGAUCUAAAGUUUAAAUCUUACUCACAAUUACUUUAGGGUUGGGGAUUAAUUGACCUAAUAUAUAAUAACGAAUUCGAAAGACAAUUAAAAAUUAAAAGAAAAUAAAAAAGUACUUUCUUUUUUAUGAUGGUAAUUUGUUUAGAUGAUGAAAACUCUUAGAGUGGUAUUAUCAUUACAUAGUUUCGAGCGUUGCCAACGUGAAUAAUAUUUAAUUUCGUUUAUAUAGUUAUAUCUCAACUAACAUUUAAACAGAAGUAAGCUGUAAAAAAAAAAUGAACCAUUGAGAUUUGAGAGAACGAAAAACUAAAAAAAAAAGUUAAAAAAUUAGAUCUCAAUAAAUUUACUUGAGAACUACUUUACUUAUUAGUGACGAGAAAACACAAAGAAUAAUGAUGUAUCUCAAUUAAUAAGACAGUUUUUGUAUUUUUCAUUUAUUCAAGAAUCACGAAACUUCAUUGAAAUUUGUUAUUUCAUUGAUAAUAUAUUAAUAUUGAACAAUUAAUGUAGGAGACAUUCCUUUUCAAUUAUACCCAUAUAUUAAUUAAAGACUACCAAAAAGUUCAGGGAUACUAUAGUAAUUUAAGUUAACAAUUUCUGUGCUUGAAAUCAGCCGAUCAAACUCACUUUAAAAUAAACUGAGAAAUCAAAAUCACAUUCUCCGAUUCUACGAUUUCAAUUCAUCUUAUUUCUUCAACUGAAAAAUUGGUUAUAUUUCGUUUUAUUUUAUUUUUAUUUUUAUAUAAAGAUAAAUAUAAAAUAUUUUUUUGAUUACAUGAGACUAUUGCUCAAAUUACAACUCAUAUUACAUGAGAAUAUAACUGAUAUGUACAAAUCAGACUAUAAUUAGGACCAACAUACAUCAAAUCUAAUGGAGCGUUGCCCAAAUUUUAACCCUCUCAAAUAUUCGAGGGAUGUCUACUUCUCGCACUGAGACAAAAAAAUAGACUGCCUUCACUCAAUUUUAUUUAAGAAAAGAAAUACUCCCACAUACAUUGUGGGGGCUCGAACUGUUGCUCUCCAACUUGGAGAGCAGCAGCUCUCACCACUCGGCCAAAGGCCGAGUGGCUGAUUUAUAUUUUGGCCGAGUGGCUGAUAAAUAUAAAAUAUAAAUGAAGAGGAAACUGUUAAAGUAAAAUCAAAAGAAGGACACGAGUUUUAUUGAAAAUGACUCUUUUCAUCAUUUUACCGGAUUGAAUGUAUCUACAUAUAAACUAAAGAAGCACAUUUGUUUCCGACUCUACGCUUUAAAUUUAGCUUCAUUUCUUCAACUGAAGAAUCGGUCGUCUCUCAUUUUUUAUUUAUUAUAUAAAGAUAAAUAUCUAAAUUUAAAUGGCGAGAAGAGCGGACGAGGAAUACGAUUACUUGUUCAAAGUGGUAUCAAUCGGCGAUUCGGGAGUCGGCAAAUCGAACUUACUCUCCCGAUUUACUCGUAACGAGUUCUGUUUGGAGUCGAAAUCCACUAUUGGCGUCGAAUUCGCCACCCGCACUCUUCAAGUAACUAACUUUUCCUCUUUCACUUCUCUUCAUUUUUAUUAGUUAAUUAAGAUCCAGCUAAUGUAAUUAAUUUUAUUUAAUCUUUUAAAUAAAGUUCUAGAUUAGGCUAACUUAGAUUCAUGUGAAGUUGAAGUGAUUUACUUUCGAUCUCUUUUUCGUCCUAUGUUUAUUUGUACUUACUAUUACUUUUUUUUGGGUUUAAAUUUUCGUUUUUGAAGUGUUUACUGAAUAAAUUUCUGAGCUUUAUUUGUGUAUGCUGAUUGAUUUGUGAUUUUAAUUUUGUGACUUUUUUUUUGGAAUUUAAAUUUGAAUGCUUUUUAAGUUGAAUCUGAUUGUGUUGGGCUGCGAUUUAAUUAAGUCAUCUGUGAGCGCCAAGUUGUGAUAGCUAUAUAUUGGGGUGAAAAUUUGGGAUUUAAAGUUAUGUAUUUAAGAUGCAGUUAAUUCGCAAGUGAAAAUUAUGGGCCGGCAGAUUUUGUCAUUGGAAGACUGUUCUCCACAUGUUGAAGUUAGUGAUGCAAGUUGAAACCAAUCUGUUUAAGCUUGGGGUUUCAUGUCUUGAAUCAAGGCUGUGACUUGGGGUGGGUUGAAAGUAUUAUAGCUUUAGCUAUUCCUGAAGUGAUCUGUUUAGACUCACCGUGAUGAGACCGAGUGCUGUACAGUAAAAUGAAAGGAAGUUGGAAAAUAUUUACUUAGCAUUUCGCGUUACUAAUGUUGAACUAAUAAAACCUAGCCCCUAUCCUAGUGAAUUUAUGUUAAAAAGCUAUGCACGCAUUAAGUUAGUGCGAGAGUCUGCUGAAGCAUAUGCCAGCUGUGUGUUUGGAGCUGAGUAUUCUUCAUUCCACAUUUUGGGUUUUGGUUGACCUCCAGCAUGACUCAACCCACUUGAGUUAAAAGCCCUAGAGUUACAUUCUACCCAUGAUAUUUGAGUUUAUCAAGUCACCUUAUUUUAAUACUUCUCUGGAAAACAAAUAUAUAUGUUAAAUCAGGUAGGAAAAAUAAAAAGUUAAUUAUUGAGUUGUAAUGGUGCAACUAAGGUUUUGAAACAUUAAGAUCUUUAGCCAUUAUGUUACUAUCCCGUAGUUAUUUAAGUUACAAGAGAUAGUAAAAAAUAACAUCAUAUUUUAAUUACUUACACUAAUCCUACAAGUGCUGAUGGUCUAAAGUUGCUGCUGCUUGCACUGAAUCAGUGGUCAUGGGCCAGCCAAGGUUAGGUGAGGCCAACUCAUUAGCUUGUGAAACUUAAAGAAGUCUUAGGUUUGGAAAAGAUGGGGCACAGGUUACAAAAUUUUUUUUGAGUUUUGGAUUGAAGGAACAAAAUUGUUGAUGUCUAGUUCACAAUAUUUGAAGUCACUCUGUGCUUCAUCAUGUAAAAUGGAUUGAAUUGCUGUAUGAUCAGGUCAAAUUAAAAUGUUUAAACUCAUUUUUAAGAAACGAAUUCUCAAUUGGACCAGCCUUUCACAGAAGCUGAUAUCACAGAAGCUUUGAGUCAGAUGCAUCCAACCAAAGCCCCUGGCCCAGAUGGUCUCCCAGCAGUAUUUUUCCAAAAGCUUUAGAAUUCAGUAAGCGAAGGAGUUAUAGCCACUUGUCUGCAUAUCCUCAAUGAUGGAGGUAAUAUUGCUCCUUUGAAUCAUACAUACAUUGCUUUAAUCCCCAAGAUAGCAAAACCUAGGACUCUGAUGGAGUAUAGACCAAUCAGCAUAUGUAAUGUAAUUUAUAGGAUCAUUGCAAAGACUAUAGCGAAUAGGCUGAGGCUAAUCUUAGAUCAUGUUAUUUCGCCAACUCAGAGUGCUUUUAUGCCAAAUAGGCUCAUAACUGAUAAUAUAAUUAUUGGGCAUGAGUGUCUUCAUAAGUGGACAAAGCUAAGUUCCAGAGGUGAGAUAGGAAAUUCUCCCGCACGACACAGCAGAAACAAACUUUCCCUUUCAUUUUCUUUUCUCUUUCUCGCUCUCCAAACAGAGCAAAAGGACUGUCGCAAGAUUCUUCACUUCCAUCCAAAAUCAUGAGCAACGAAUGGUGAGCCUCCCUGUUUCCUUCCUUUUUUUGAUAUUAACCUUGUUAACAUAUACUCAUUUUAAUUUGACAAUACUUCAACUUUUUUUAAUUUUUUGCCUUUUCAUUUUUUUUGUUGAAGCAAUUAUCUGUUCAAGCUGUUGCUUAUCGGAGACUCGUCCGUCGGAAAGUCCUGCCUGCUGCUCCGAUUUGCUGUCUGUUGACUUUUCCUUUCCCUUCUUAUUUUCUUUUUUUAUAUUAAUUACUUUCUAUUUUAGCUUUUUGUUCUCUUAAUUUGUGUUAUUAAAAUGAUAAUUUAGAUAAUAAAUAAUUGUUAUUCUUGUAAAUUUCUGUUUUCAUUACGUUAAUUGUUAGCUUUUAGGUUUAUUAAUGUAAUUUUUUUUUUUCAAUUUUUCAGGAUGAUUCUUAUGUCACAGCUACAUCAGUACCAUUGGAGUUGAUUUUGUGAGUCUCUCUUCUAUAUAUAUGUAUAUAUGUGUAUAAGUUAUAAUAUGAGUCUAUGUACGUGUAUGUAUGUAUGUGUAUGCAUAUGUGGAAAGAAAUGUUGGCAGACUUCAGCAUUUUACUCUUUUCUUUUUUUGGCAGAAAAUAAGAACUGUGGAGCUGGAUGGGAAGACGAUCAAACUGCAGAUUGUGAGUCAAAAUUUCCUUUUAUCUUGUAUUGAGAGAAAUUCGAUUUGUCUUAUUUUCUUUGUUUGAAGAGUGAUAUGUUGAAAUGAGUGUAUUUGUCUUAUAAACAUCAUUUAGGUAAUGUCUUCUGUUUGAUUGUUUUUCAUCUGUUUAGUGGGACACUGCUGGACAGGAGCGAUUCAGGACUAUAACUAGCAGUUAUUACCAAGGAGCCCAUGGAAUCAUAGUAAGGAGCCUUCCCGGUUCUUGGUUUAAAUCAGAAAGUUUGUGAUUUACAUGUGACAUCUUAACAGCAUUGUAUGUGUUUAUUAACUUAUUUUUCAUCUUUCAUUAAGCAGUACACUUUCUAUUAAAUCUGUAUACAAGAUGAUGUAGUCCAAGAAUGGGAGCCAUAAUAUGAUGCAAAUUGUCUAAUAAAUUCUUAUGACAUAUGAUGUUGUCGGAAGUAAAAGUCUUGCAAUGCUGUAUUCUCUUUUAAGAAAGAAUAAGUGGUAAUUUUGUUUUUCCAAUUUUUUAAUUGAGCAACUGUAUGAGAUUAAUUAAAUGUGUUGGGAUUUCAACAGAUUGUUUAUGAUGUAACUGGGAUGGAGAGCUUCAAUAAUGUCAAGCAGUGGUUGAAUGAGAUUGACAGAUACGCAAAUGACAGUGUAUGCAAGCUUCUAGUUGGGAACAAAUGCGAUUUAGUUGUGAACAAGGUUGUGGACACACAGACAGCCAUGGUAUAUUCAUGACUUUUGUCGCCUGAACUUUGAAUAUAAUUUUAAACUCUUCUCAAGUGCAUUUGCUUGGUAAGUUUCUGCAUACCCAGGACACUCAAACUUUGGACAGUCUGUAUCUCGAGUUGGAAUCUUUUCUGUCAAUACGACUUGUUAAAAUAAGGGUUGUUAUCGUUUGAAUCAUUCAAGAAUUGCCAUAAAUCUAAAGUCCAUAAAAAAUAUGAUUCCAUCAUUUUACUAUUAUAUCUAGACAAAACCCAUUAUUUUACUACAUUUCAUUGGCACCGAUAGUUGACCUGUUGGCUGACUGAUAAAAUAUCAAUUUUGCACUUUAUAUUAAUUCUUUUUUGGUUAAAAAAUAACACACAAAGUAUUACAAUAUUAUAAAUUCAAAAUAUAAAGUAGUUACAAAUAAUUCCUAUUAGCCUAUGAAUAUAAUAUUUGAUACCUCUAUUUGUGUAAUUUUUUUCCAAUGGUGAAAUUGUUAUUUUUUUUGUACUAACGGAAAUAUAGUAAAAUCAUAAGUUUUGUAAAGAUAUAGUAGUAAAAUGAUAGACUAAAAUACUUCUUGUAGUUGUUUGAUAUAUUGUAAUUCUUAAAGUAGUCAAUUGAUAAUAUCCCCUAAAAUAAAUGUUCGUAAUAUGUUCUCAUUUUAAUGCAACUGAUUGUUUAAUAAAAUUGUAUUUCUUUGUUAAUCUUUUAUCAUGUGCAUGCUCAGUGAGAAUUUGACUUGCUAGAACACAAGUUUGACUCUUCAUUUAAAUGUCUCUUGUAUCAUAUCCUUCAAUGUUGAGUGUGAUUCCAAUAAAAUUGAGUAGGGAGAUCCUUAAAUACCUUUUCCUUUUUUCCAAGGGCCUGCCAAAUUGCUCUAAGUGGUUCUACCCUUUAUCAAUGAAUAAUGAAAAUAAAAUUUUUAUUAAAGCAUUCUGUUCCUUAAAUGGUGACUAAUAGUACCCCCUUUUUUUUUGGAGAGGAAAGCCAAACGCCCAAAGAGGAUCAUUUACUUUCCUCUAAUGUAUUUUCUAAUUCGUUUUGAGCCUUGAAUGUCUGUUUUGGUGCGUAUUCUCAUUCCAUGUCGAAUCUUAUCCAUAUGGACAACCCCACUUACAAAAAAGUCUAAUGAAUCUAUUGAAGUUCAUAUGAGGUUUGUGCUUUAGAUUUAGACCUCUCUCUCUCUCUCUCUCCACUUACAUGUCUUUCACUUACCUGUUUGCAUGCAUGCCCAUGCACACACUUUCAAGAUAAUACACGGUCACUCGUACUUGUGUUUUGGUUGAAUUACUGGCUGCUAACCUCUGUAAUUCAGUUUGAAACUUGCCACCCUUAGUGCUUCACUCAAAUGGUUGGUUAGGGUGAGAUCUGUAUCGUUUUCCUGGUCUCUUUCCAAGGUUAUCUAAAGGGAUUUGGCAGUCUGAUUCUUUAGGGAAUAUCAUUGCAUAAGAUAUCUAUUGUUUGUUAAUGAAUAAUUUCUAUUUAACUAGUUAUCUAUAUAAAUUGGUAAAUUUUAACUGCAUAAUUUGCAUGCAAUAAGAUUUUAUAAGAAUCUUGUUUUCAACUCAUGACUUAGACUAAUGUGAUACGUUGAGCAUUAAGCUACAAGAUCUGCACAUCAAAGUGCUUCACCAUGUUAAGGAGAAAGCAUCGUUUUCUGCUUCUUCAUGUGAUUUAAAGUUUCCAAGGUACUUAUCCAAUAAAAUGUCUUUCAAGACUUUGGAAAUGCUUUUAUGUAUGACUGAGAGAAACUUGUUGGGUUGGUUUUUAGCAACAGACGGAGUUAUGGACUUUGUGUUGACUUGUUAUUGAUUAAGACAGUACAUCGGCUGAUCUAUUGGCAUCAAGCAGCAGAUGCAGAAAUUAUGGGUGGCAUACCAUUGUAUCCAAAUAACAUACUACAUUGAUUUUUCUGACUUUCUGUUGGUCUCCGAGUGAAAUGCAGGCAUUUGCAGAUGAACUGGGGAUUCCUUUCCUGGAGACGAGUGCCAAAGAUGCAAUCAAUGUGGAGCAGGCUUUCUUGACCAUGGCCGGCGAGAUUAAGAAAAAGUAAAAUCACUUAACUCUUUCCUUCUUUCCGACUGUUCUUAUUCAACAAUCACCAUUAUUGCUGGUUAUGUGCAUUGUGAUGAAAAUUCUGCAAUGAAUAACUUUUUACCUAAUGUUUUCUGUUGGAACAAAUUACUCUGGUAGAAAAGCCCUACAGGGUUUGAGAAAUCCCAUGAUGUGAUGAUUGUGAGCAUUUUAGACACCGUGUAUGGGUUUAUUUUGUGACUAUAAAAUGUUAAGAUAUUUCUAGUUUUGGUUUGUAGUGCAUAAAAGGAUUCAAAAUUUGACAUCUGUCUAAAUCAGAUUACUAACAUGACAAUGUACAUAUGCAAGAUGUGAGGAAUUGUUUUAUCUCACCCCUAAACUUUAAGAAAUUGAAACAUUAUUAUUCAAAAUAUUUAACAUUUCCAGAAUUGAUAGUUGUCUAUUUGAGCAGUGACUGGUGGUUAUCAUGAACUGAUGUGUGGUUGUGGUUUCAAAUCUUGGUGAAACCUGUUGUCAUAUGCUGAUUAACAUAGCUAGUCUCUGAAACAAUUUGUUGAUUCACUAAUUAUGAGUUCAAAUUUGAUGCAGAAUGGGCAACCAGCCUACUGCAAACAAAUCUUCUGGAACAGUUCAGAUGAAGGGAUAGCCAAUCCAGCAAAACAGCAACCGCUGUGGUUAGCCGAGCAUCUUAUUUUACUUCUACAUGUUAGCUGACUGAUUGUAGACAGUUUUAACUAUGUUGACUGCAUUAUCUUAUGAAUCUUUUAAUCUGUCAAAUAUUUAUUUCCUGCUUUAAGUUCUUUCCCGUUUAUAACAAAUUUGAUUUCUUGCUCUAUAGCAUUCCAAAUUCCUGUUAAUUUACGAGGGAAAAAGAAAAGAGACGAAAUGGGAGAAAAUGGUCAAAUUUGUUAGGGGGGGAGAGCUGUUGAAGUAGUUUUUGUUCUCGUUUAUCAUCGUGACCCUCUUGUCGCUUAUCUACGACCUGGAAGUCCGGUCAUAUCGGAUGGGUAAAGUUACCGAAACGGCAUCAUUUUGGGUGAAAUAUCAUGUUUAUGUAACACUUUUGAUAAUAUUUUUAUGCAACAAAAAAAUGUUUGCAGUACCCUUCUCACAUUGUGAAGCGCAUGAUCGGAUGAGAGCAGUCUGGAUUCUGGCAUCACAAGCUAAUGCUUUGAUUUGCUUAGUUUGUUUUUUGUUUCUGAUAUUUUCUCGGCAUAGUGUAAAUGUAUGAAGAUGAAAUUGCUGGGUUGGUUUUGUUAUGGAAUUUGGUUUAGUUCACUAACCAUUAAUGCGCAAAACCUCCUAAGACCCUAAAAAAUCCCGUACAUAAUUAAAGAAUUUCAAUUUUAUAUGUACAUAAAUAAAUAACUCUCAAAUAUAUUAUUUGAUAAUCCCAAAAACAACAACUCACUCUAAUAAAUCUCGUAGUCAAUACAUGGUCUAUAUUGCAAGUGUUUUCGAGACUAAUUCAAAAAGAAAAUACGAAGGAUAUAUAAUUGACUUUUACUUGUUAUAAAGAACUCUAAAUAAAUUUAUAUACGCAUCACAGCUAAUUACAGUCUUGGUACUUCAUUAGGUUUUUGUUAAUUUUCUAUACAGUUGUGUUGUGCAUUAAAGCUUUGUUAAAUGAAAUCGGUAGUGAGAAUUAAUUAAUUAAUUAAUUAAUUAAGAUCCAGUUAAUGUAAUUAAUUUUAUUUGAUUUUUUUAAUUCGAGUUCUAAAUUAAUCAAUUAAUUUAGAUUCAUGUGAAAUUGAAGUGAAUUAGUUUCGAACUGUUUUUCAUUCUAUGUUUGUCUGUGUUUACUCUUACUGUUUUUUUUGUUUAAACUUUUGUUUUCUUAUUGUUUACUGAAUAAAUUUCUGAGCUUUGUUUGAGUAUGAUGAUUGAUUUGUGAUUUUAAUCUAAUGUGUUGGGCUGCGAUUUAAUUGAGUGAUGUGUGAGCGCCAAAUUGUGAGCGCCAAGUAGUAAUUAUAAAAUAUUUCAGUCGUCCACUGUUCAGUCACCAAAAACCAAUUUCUAAUCUAUUUCAAAACAAUUUUUGCCAAAGUCCUCCUGGGCUAAUUAAUUCAUACAUUAAUACAGUCCUCCUCUGCUGAAUAAUGCAAACCCGUUACGUUAUUCUACCAUUUCUUAAAUUUAAAGCAUUCCACCAUUUAAUAAAAAAAUUCGAAAACCCAUUAUAUACAAUACAAAAAGCCCACCGACACCAAACCAUAUUAAUUUAAAAUAGUUUUCAAUUGAGAUUUGAAUUUUAAAAUUACAUACACAAACACACCCGAUUUUAAAAAAUAAUAAUAAUCCUAACAAUAAAAUAUUUCAGCCGUCCUCUGUUCAGUCACCGAAAACGGAUUUCCAAUCUAUUAGAACAACCGGUAUAUGGGUUUCCAACCAAUAUUGUCCUCCAUCCUUUCUGCACUUCUCUUCUAUCAACGGACAGCCCACGAUGUAUAAUCGCAAAAGUGAGGAAGGCAGGCCCUUCUCCGGAAAGUAUUUGAGCUUGGGACAAUCCGCGAGAUACAAUUCAGUGAGGUUUUGAAGAUCAACAAUUGAAGAAGAUAGGCGUUCCAGAUUUGGAAAAUUAGAAAUCCCCAGAGAUGUUAGAGAGGCAGGAAGAGGAAGCGUGGUCCCUAAUCUUUUGUCCUCUAGUGGAAAUGACACCAUGUCGUCAUCGCAUCUGCUGAUUGUAAGACGUCGCAGAGAGGAGAAUCUGUGAAAUCCCCGUCCCCGCUCAAUCAUUGACUUCCAAAUCUCCAUAUUACCCCAAAUAUUAAGUGACUGAAGGUUGGUGGGAAGGUCAUCUUCUUCUUCAAGGCUUGGAAGCGCACCUCCUAUUCCUAUUGUUAAUUGUUGAAGAGAGGUCAGAUUGUGCAAUCCCUUGGGUAAGGCCUCUAGUCUCUUACAAUUAGAUAUCGCCAGCGUCCUGAGUUUCGCACAAGGCAAUCCCCCUUCGGGAAAGGACACCAGAUUUUUACAACUAUCUAUACUGAUUGUUUCAAGAGAUGUGUUGUUGUCCAACCUUUCUGCUAUUGACUCCAGCUUUGAACAUCCACCAACACGAAUGGACUUAAGAGACGGAGGUAGAUUGCCAACUUCAAGGGACUCAAGCGUGGCAGGUAACUCGUUUUUUGAAAAUAUACACGUCAGAGAAUCACAACAGUAAAUAUGCAAUUCCUCAAGAAAAGAUGAGGUGUACCUUCUGCCGCUGCUACACUGGAUGCCCUCUUCCACUGUCAAAGUCCUUAUAUUAUCGCAACGGCAGAUCUGCAACUUCUUAAGGCUCGAUGGUAGCUGGACAGCAGCAAUAUAUGUCAACGAACGGCAACCCUCAAUAUUCAAGAUCUCGAGAGACGAAUUGGUGUCGCACAUCCAUGCCUCUGGUAACGAUUUCAGUGCAUCACAAUACCUAAUCUCAAUUUUCCUCAACUUGGAAGGCAGAGCAACCUCAGGAAAGGAAACAAGGGAAUGACAAUCGCAGAUUUCUAUCUCUCUCAAGGAACUGAGGCUGAGCGAUGAUUGUGGCAGCUUCACAAGGCCUUUGCAUUCGCUCAAUCUUAGAUAUUCGAGUCUGCAUGACAACUCGCAGAGCUGCUGUUGUUGGUCUUUCUCUUCCUCCGCCACCAAGGAUUGAAUUUUGGGACACCGUCUAAUCGUCAGUCUUUUGAGAGAGCAAAUGUCUUGCAGUAAUUCGUUAUGACUCUUCCAUAUAUGUGUUUCAUUUUUCAUAUUAUUUAUCCCCAAUUCUUCCAGUUUUGGUAUUCGCGGCUUCAAUGGCUCUGUGAAAAACACUUGAUUUGAUGUAUCUCUACAAACCACUGAAUUCUGUGAGCCGAGAUGAUCAGUUGCACUUCUCCACACAACCUUUUUACAUCCACCAAUUUCAAAUUUGCAAAGAGCUGGAAGACUUGCAACUGAAACUAGCAAUUCUUCACAUCCUUCAAUUGCAAGCAUCUCCAAUGCAGGAAGGUGUUCUGGAAAUGUUCCUUGCAGCUUAGAACACCUUAUAAUAUGAAGCUCUCUCAAUUUAGGAAACCAUUCAACUCCCUGACCAGUUCUAAGAGGAAUCCAGUCUUCCCAUUCUUGCAUGUUUUCAAAACGAAGAGUUUCCAAGCAUGGAAAAGGAAUCGGGGAAUCAUUCCCAUAGAACUCUGAACCCAAACUCUUUACUCUACUCAUUCCACGCACUGCAAGAUGCUUUAGAGAGGGUAGUUGCCCGACUGACGGCAAGGUAGUACACACGCUGCAAUCUUCAAAAUUUAAGGUCGCUAAAUUUGAGAAUGAGGAAUCUCCCAACCAAGUUGGAAAUUGUUUACCUUCAUAGCCACUGAUACAAAAUUGUUCCAGAUUUUCAUGAGGUUUUAGCAUGACGAGCACAUCCUUUUCAGUUUCUGCCUCCCUUGAAGACAAACCAUUGGUACUCUGUGUCCAUUGAAACUUUAACACUUUAAGAUUCUUCUUUCCAUCCAAUUGAGCCUCCUUCGCAUCACCAAUGUCUUUUACGUUCUCCAAUUUUGAAAUGUUAAGUGUCCCACGAAGAUGCGUCAACAAUUUUAGCUCUCGUAUCCCGGAACCACUGUCUUUUCCCACAACAAAAUUACACAGCGUCUGAAGGAAAGUCAACUUACCAAUUCCUAGUGGCAUCUCCUCCAAUGAAUCUGUCUUUGAAUUAUCGAGAUGAUGCAAUUUGAUGAGGUUUCCCAUGUCUGCACACAACUUCUUCAGUCGCCGACAGCCCUCCAGCAGAAGAGUGUGCAAAUUGUAAAGCUUGUUGACUGAUUCAGGCAGAGUUCUAAUCUCAGUUAGAGAUAGGUUAAGGUACCUUAAAUACCUCAAAUCACCAAUUGAAUCCGGUAGCUCAGAGAUGUGAUAUCCACGCAAAGAGAAGACCCUCAACCGUUGGAGUUUGAACAACUUAGGAAGAAUGCUAUGAGCCAAGUAGCCGGGCCGGCUACUUAACAACGUUACUGGUAAAAGAGUUCGCAAAUGUUGGAUAUCGUACAACUCCUCAAACCUUUUAACACCAUCGUAAUCUCCACGAAUGUACGACAGAUGACGAAGAUUUCUUGGAAAACUUUGUUGCUUGUCAACCUCUGAGAUAUACUCCAUUCUGAAGUACAUUUCCCCAGCAGCCCAUUGAGCAAGAUCAUUGAUGAGGUCGUGCAUCACAAAUCGUGAUAUACUGUUGCUUGAUUGCUGGAAAAAAGAUCUUGAACGUAGCUCUUGAAAGAACUUUCGACCUAGAUCUUCACUGGGAUUCCCACUCUCUCCGUGAUCCAAGAAACCCGAAGCACACCAUAAUAAAAUUAUCUCCUCCUCUUCAAAUUCAUAAUCCUUUGGAAACAAUGAGCAGUAUGCAAAGCAUUGUUUCAAAGGUGCCGAAAGAUAAUAGUAGCUCACUCUAAGCGCCGGUAUAAUGUCACAUCUCUCUUCUGGUAAAUCCCAUAUCUUGCAACUGAGCACACCUUCCCAAUGACUCCGGUCAAGUUUACCACGCAAGAGACCACCAAGAGUUUUCGCAGCUAAGGGCAAGCCGUUGCAUUUGAUCACUAUCUUCUUGCCAAUUUCCUCCAAUGACUUGUUUGAACUGAUAUCUCUUGCCCCUAAAGAGUGUUGAGCGAACACAGACAGACAAUCAUCAUUUGACAGCUUUUUCAAAUGAUAAGCCCGAGCAGUCCCCAUGAUGGCUGCAACCUCUUGAUUACGAGCUGUGACAAUAAUCUUACUCCCCGGUGCGCCAGCUUCAAAUGGACGGCUCAUGUCAACCCAGUCAUUGUAAUUCUCAUUCCAAACAUCGUCUAAAACAAGCAAAAAUUUCUUUUGAGAUAACUUCUUCUUCAGCUCCUCUUGAAGCAAAUUUAAAUCACUGUCAUCAGUAGUCUGCUUAGUAAUGGAUCUUAGAAUUGUUUUUGUUAGCCUGAUAACAUCAAAAUCAUCAGAGACACAAGUCCAUGCCUUGAGAUCAAAAUGACCCUGCACUCGAGCAUCAUUAUAGACAAGCUGAGCGAGAGUGGUUUUGCCCAGCCCGCCCAUACCUAUAAUAGGAAUAACAGAGAAUUCACCAUCAUUUCUCAAAUCAUCCCUCAACAGCAAUUCAACAAUUUCAUUCUUUUCUGUUUCCCUCCCAUAUACCUUGGCUUCAGUCACUAAAGAGGUUGUGGGUAGUCUUUGCCUGUCUUUUCUGGACCUCCCAGCUGAACUUACGUUCAAACCGAGCGAGUCUUUCUGUGUUACAAUAUCUUGAAAUCUGUAGUUGAUCUCUUUGAUUUUGGACAUUAUGGCGUAAUCGAACUGAAUCGAUUGUGGGGUAAAAGUGGUGCAGCAAGUAGGAAUGAGCUUCUGAAACUUACUUGUUCUUGUACGACUGCUACUGGGUUGAUCCUGAGCCGCAGCUGGAUCUCCAUUUCCAAGCAGCACCUUCCUCCGGAAAGCCCCAGUUUGAAACUCAUCCAACAAGUCUUCAACAUCAAAAGCCAAGUUCUGAAGCUCGCCAAGCCACAACUUCACAAUCUCAUCAGUCUUCUUUUCCUCAGCAUCAGCAAGCACCGCCUUGACCUUCAAAAGCAUCGUCUUCCACUUCAUUAGAUCGGCCCGGAUUUGAUCUUGGCGUGGAAACAACCGAAUCCCCACUGAAGCUAACUUAUAGACCAACAACUCAACGGACGCCGUCAGGAUUGCCUCUCCGAUGAUUGACAUUUUUUUCUUUUUUUUGUUUUGCAAAGAAAGAAACAGAAUUUUGAGUUUUGAGAAGCAAAAUGAGAAAAUUGAACAGUAAGUGUGGAGGGUCAAGCAAAAUGCGCGUAUCAAGUCUUCCACUUGUUGUUUAUUCCAGUAAAGUGAAAAAAAAAUAGAGACCACGACCCUUUAAUAAUUUAGCAAUUCACCGGUCACGAGUCACCACCACUCGUUACCAUGAAUAUAAUAAAUUGCACCUAGAUAUUUGCAGGGUCCAGCAACAUUGACCCAGUGUCCGGGUAAAUGCUGAAUAACGAGGAAAAUGGAAUGUAUCAACUACGAACCUUCGCUUUACAAGUCUUCAAACUCAUAAACCAAGUUAAAUCAAAACGUUUAUCUCUCUCACCCUUUUUGCCAUAUAAUUACUUUAUUUAUUGAAUUAAUUUCCAUGCUAAAACGAAGACUUAAAAGUGCACUACAAUUUUUUAUAAUCACAAUGGUAAUUCCUACUAUCAUGUUAUCUUAAUGUCGUGUCAAAAUAAAUUAUAAUAAAAUUUUUUUUAUAUGAACAUUUUUUUUAUUUAUGAAUUUCUUAAUUUUUAAUAUUUUUCUUACUCUUUAGUCUUAAUAUUUGUAUUUCUCUCUUCAAACUUUCUUUAUUAUUUAAUUUUUAAAGAAAAAUAUAAAAAAAGUAAGAAAAAUAUUAUACUUAAAAAAUAGUGAAUAUUUUAUGGGUCUAAUACAAGCCUGUAUUAUUUUUGACAAUGAAAGAGCACGCGAAAAAUCUCACUCAUAGAAAACUUUGUGAAAGGCAUUUGAAUGUGUGGCCACAUUUACCGAACGAAACGAUAAGGCUUUAGCCCUAUAAUUGCAAUUAGUUUGUCUUGUAACUAAAUUAUUGCCGACAAGCAGCCAUGCAUGUAAUUAGUCACAAGUUGCUUUGAAAUAAAUAGGUACUUGACAUUUGGCUCACUGAUUAUGUGUGCAAUAUUCCCGUAUUUCCCAUUACUUCCCGUACUUUAUGCAUUAUUGUUUUGUAUGUCUUUCGGUGUUUACGGUGUAGUUAGGGAUGGUAGCGGGUAGGGUCUGGUACGGGUUUGACAUCACCAAACCCGCAUCUACAAAAAAUUUUAAUUACGUAAUUCAAAUUAUAAAUUUAUAAAUAUUGCCUAAAAAAAAAUCACAUAAAAUACUUAAUUCUAGAUUUUAUCAAUGUAAAUGAAAAAUGAAAAUAUCAACAUUAAAAUAAAUACACAAAAUAUAUCAAUUUAACACGAAUUCUCAAAUUCAAUUAGCAAAUAAAUAAGUCUAUCACAACUCGAAGUGUUUUCAACUGAAAAAGAAAAAAAAGAGAAAGAGAAAAAAACAAAGAACUACAAAUCAAAGUAGCACCCAUAACCUAUUUCAUAGGCUCAUUCAACACCAAGAUUCAUUCAUUACCACUAGCACCCAUUCAACGUGGUUUUUCUAAACAAAAUAUAAAGUACAAAAUUACAAUAAGCAUAUCAUACUCCAUGCUUUAAGUUAAAGAUCCUUAUAUAAUUUUAUGAAUAAAUUUUUAGUGAAAUUUUAUGAUUAAAAUUAAAAAUACAAAUAUUAAAAUAAGAAUGUUGGACAUCUGCGCAACUAUUUGCUAUUUUUUUUUCUCUAUAAAAAUUCACCUGCAACUUACAGCAGAUUUAAAUUUAUAAUAUCAAACUUGAUUGUAGCUUGCAAAAUUUUUGGAUGUACGAUAAUUUUGCCACCCUAAGUGUAGUUAGUGUGUUUCCAAUUGGCUCCUAUAAAAAGCCUAGAAGUUGUUUGAAUAAUGAGGGAGGCAAAUAUUUCCCAAAGAUAUUCUCUUUUUCAAAUUCUUUUCUUUUCUCUAUUAUUGUAACUUCAAAUCCUUGAAAUUACAUAUUUCAAAUCCUUGACAUGAACACAAUGUUUUGACAUAGUGGCUUUUGGCUUGUCCAGAGAAAUUUAGGAUAGAUUUUGAUGUAUUAAGGCUCGUUUUACUAUUGAGAUUUUGGAACUUUUGAGCUACACUUGAAAUUUGUAUUAUUCUAAUAGAGUUGUACCCUUCGAUAUGUGAAUGGUAUUAAUCAGGUGUUAUGUUUACAGCAGUUAAAGGCAUAUUGAAUCAAAGUCCACUUUUGAUUGAGAUUUUAAAGUAGGUUUUUAAUUUGAUAGCUACUCAAGUUCAAAUAUUGGAACCACAGUGCUUUAUAACCAAGUGGGAGAACUUCUGUCCUGAAAGUUGAAGGCUGCAUACCGAGUUUUACUACCAACAAAAAUUGGUGUUAAGACUUUAGUUGCCCUCCUACUUAUAGAUAAGGGUAAUUAGGACUUUACAUCCCCUCCUGCUAAUAGAUAGGGGUUACUAGGAAUAUUAAAAAAAUGUUCAAAUAUUGAAAAAAUAGGUAUGGGUUAUAAAAUUCAUAAUACAAGAACAGUAAAUCAAGAUAAAAUUUAAAAAUUUAGAACCAUGAAAGCGUAACUUGUAAGUUUCAAAGAAGCAUGUGAAAACAUAUGCGUAUCGAUACCCAUUAAGGGUGGGCAUUAAGAUCGGGUUAACUCGAACCGAACCUUAAAUUUAUUUUGGGUUCAAUUUGAUUUUGGUUGAACCUUUCAACUGAGUUGAAAACUUAUAAACGAUUGGGGUNNNNNNNNNNNNNNNNNNNNNNNNNNNNNNNNNNNNNNNNNNNNNNNNNNNNNNNNNNNNNNNNNNNNNNNNNNNNNNNNNNNNNNNNNNNNNNNNNNNNNNNNNNNNNNNNNNNNNNNNNNNNNNNNNNNNNNNNNNNNNNNNNNNNNNNNNNNNNNNNNNNNNNNNNNNNNNNNNNNNNNNNNNNNNNNNNNNNNNNNNNNNNNNNNNNNNNNNNNNNNNNNNNNNNNNNNNNNNNNNNNNNNNNNNNNNNNNNNNNNNNNNNNNNNNNNNNNNNNNNNNNNNNNNNNNNNNNNNNNNNNNNNNNNNNNNNNNNNNNNNNNNNNNNNNNNNNNNNNNNNNNNNNNNNNNNNNNNNNNNNNNNNNNNNNNNNNNNNNNNNNNNNNNNNNNNNNNNNNNNNNNNNNNNNNNNNNNNNNNNNNNNNNNNNNNNNNNNNNNNNNNNNNNNNNNNNNNNNNNNNNNNNNNNNNNNNNNNNNNNNNNNNNNNNNNNNNNNNNNNNNNNNNNNNNNNNNNNNNNNNNNNNNNNNNNNNNNNNNNNNNNNNNNNNNNNNNNNNNNNNNNNNNNNNNNNNNNNNNNNNAGAUAUCAAAAUCACAUUCUUCAAUUCUACAAUUUCAAUUCAUCUUCAUAACUUCAACUGAAGAAUUGAUUGUAUCUCGUUUUAAUUUUUUUUUAUGUAAAGAUAAAUAUAAAAUAUAAAUGGUGAGGAGACUGAAAAAGUAAAAUCAAAAGAAGAGCACGAGUUUUAUUGAAAAUUACUUUUUUUUCAUCAUUUUGCCAGAGUGAAUGUAUCUACAUUUAAACGAAAGAAGCACAUUUGUUUGUAUUAGCUUUUUUAUUGUAUUUUUAAUAAUAAGUAAUUUUCAAUUAACUUAUAUCAUUUUUUACGAAAAUAAUAGGUGUUAGUUAGUUGAUUCAAAUGGCAAGACCUCUUGGGAUAGAGUUUGUAAUUUAGUGGCUUAUCAAUUGUUUAAAUAGGGCAUUAUUAGAGCCAAAUUAUUGUAUUUGGUUAAAAAACUCCUACUUUGCUUACAACUUUAUUAUCCUAUUAUGUUUAUUAAUAAAUAACAAUUUUAUUGAAAAAAAAACAAGAUAUGUUGAAAUGAUACAAAAAAUUUGGGUUGUAAAUCUUACUCGAAUUUAGCUUGAGAUUGGCAUUGUUAGCAUAAUAUUUGAAGAUAUAUUUUUUAAAUUAAAAAAAAAAAGAAAUUGGGUUCACACUAGUUAGUUUUAACUCAUAGUGAGAUUUAAACAAAAUCGGAAUAAUAAAUCUUGAUAUCCUAACUCAUGGAUAACAUCUACAUAAAAUAAUAAAAUCUAUUGUGUCGAAAAUAAGGGGUCUAAAGUUUGAAUUUCACUCACAUAGGUAGCAAGAGAAUCAAAUUAUUGUUAGAUUAAAUUAAUUAAAAAAAUUAUCUGAUAUACAAAACACAGCAUAUCAAAAAAAUUGAAAUAAAAGAAAAUUGAAAAGCAAAACGAUUGAGAGAACGAAAAACUAACACAAGAAAAUGCCGAUAAUUAAUUGCCUCAGCGGGCACCAACUUAAUUAUGCUUAUUAAAGCCUGGUUUAUUGUUAGAGUGCAAUUUAUGCACUAGUUUUGCAUUAUUUACUUCCCUUAAUAUCAAUGUUUUGCACUUAAUAAUAGUGAUUUACUUGUGUUUUACUUUUGUAGGUGCAAUUCUAUUAAUUGGUGAUAAAAUUAAGCUAAAAGAUGAUGUUUAAGGAGGAUUGUUCUCUUGGAGAAAUUAUGAGCGUCGAAGAACUUUGUUGAUAAGGCAUGGGCACGUGCUGUCAACUGCGGACCUGCAGUUUUUAGUUUAAACGUGUUUUGUAUUUUUGGCUAUUUUUGUAAUUACGAAUUUAAUAUUUCAGAUAUUAGUAUUUUAUUUUAAAUAGAACUCUAAAAGAGAAGAGAGAGAGAGAGUAUUUAAGAGAGGAAUCUAUUGUGAAAAAUGUAUUUACGCUUUAAUUUUUAUGUGAGCUUUGAUUAUCUUACAUUAGGGACAAUGUAAGUUCUUGGUGUGGGGGAGGGAUUUUUGCAUUAUUGAUGUCUGGAAGUAUUAUUUUCACUCUACUCAUCUAUUUUCAUUCUACUCAUCCUUAAAUGAUUUUGGAGUUAGUAUGCUUCAUAUAUUAUUAAUUUUCUUUUCUUUUCUUUCUCACUACUCUUUUCCCAUCUAUUUUUUUUACUACAUACAUCUUUCUCGCUUAUUAUCCUUUUUACCUUUCCUUUUAUUUCUCACUCAUACCUUCUUCUCAUUCUAUACCACUAUUGAUGGUUGAUUCAUUUGAAGAGUGUACAUGAUUUGAUAACAAAUUUACCAACUUUGUGAGGAUUUGAGCCUAUGAGCAACCACUUUGCUCUAAUAUUUUUGUUAUGUGAAUAUCAAUCUUAGUUUUUUUAUUCUAGAACUUGCUUUGUUAUGCAUGUUGAAGCCGCAUUACGGGAUUUUAUGCAUUAAAAUGAUAAGGGCAAACCCUUUUCCAUUUUUCUAUUCUCGCAUUUUUUUUCUCUACCCGAAGACCUUUAUUUGCUAUCUUUGUUUGAGCCUUAACCAUUACCCAUCUAAUCCUCUCCGUCUACUUAACCAUUUUUCUUCUUUUUGAGCCUCAAUUUAAGGAGAUUUUUGGACUCAUUGUGUGGAUAUAUUUUGUGUUUUUUUUACCUUGUAUUAAAGUUUCUCAAUUAGAUCAACAAGCAUUAUGCUUGAAUUAAAUUGUGCAAGGUUCGUUUCUUUUGUUUGAUUAAAAAAAACAAAAAAUAAAAAACAAAAAAAAGGAAAAAGAAAAAAAAGAAAAAGAAAAAAAAUCGAAAAAAAAUCGAAAAAAAAAAUUAAAAGUUUACAUUCUUGGUGACUUGAGUAGAAAUAAGCAUUUUGAUAUCAUAAGUUCAUUCAAUGAGUUCAUUCUUCUCAUUUUGAUAUCUUUUUCUCUUUCAUGGACCUUUCUUUUUCAUUUAACCUAUUUAACCCCAUUGCAACCCUUUUAAGACCCUUAGAUUUUUGCAUUUUAUUCAUGUUGUGGAUUGAGAUGUGAUAUAUGAGCAAGCUUAUGGUAAUAGCAUUCUUUGAUUUGAUUUGAGUGAAUAAAUGACACCCUAAACACUUUGAGUGCAUGGAGUGAAGUCAUUGAGAGGGCUAUUAAAUCUUGUUGCACUUGAAUUUUGAAUGUAUCUUCUUGGUGGUUGAAUGUUCUUAUUCUAUCUUAUGAGAUUCUAUGCUUUAAAAUCCUUGUCUCUCGAAUGUUGAUCGACUUAAUUUCUUGAGGUAUGGUUGCUUAGAAUUAUUUAUGGAUGAGUUGAGAUGAGAAUUGAGUGGAGAUUUGGGAUUAGUCUUGAGUUAUAUGCUUGAGGACAAGCAUCAUCUUGGUGUGGGGGAAUUUGUUAGAGUGCAAUUUAUGCACUAGUUUUUAAUUAUUUACUUCCCUUAAUAUCGAUGUUUUGCACUUAAUAAUAGUGAUUUACUUGUGUUUUACUUUUGUAGGUGCAAUUCUAUUGAUUGGUGAUAAAAUUGAGCUAAAAGAUGAUGUUUAAGGAGGAUUGUUCUCUUGGAGAAAUUAUGAGCAUCAGAAGAACUUUGUUGAUAAGGCGUGGGCGCGUGCUGUCAACUGCGGACCUGCAGUUUUUAGUUUAAACGUGUUUUGUAUUUUUGGCUAUUUUUGUAAUUACGAAUUUAAUAUUUCAGAUAUUAGUAUUUUAUUUUAAAUAGAACUCUAAAAGAGAAGAGAGAGAGAGAGUAUUUAAGAGAGGAAUCUAUUGUGAAAAAAAUGGGGAUUUUAGAUUGAAGAAAAGAAAGAAACCCUAGAUCUAAUUUUUCUCUUCUCUCUAUGAAGAACUAAACUUAUUUUUCUGGUUGAAGGUUAAUGAAGCUUUGAUUCAUCACUACUGUGAGAUCUUUCUUAUGCUUUAAUUGUUUUAUUACUCUUUGGGUAUUUGUUUAUUCUCUGAAUUAGUUUCAUGAUUAUGUUUGUUAAUUAGGUAAUUGGCCACUAUUUAAUUAUCAACUUAAUCUAUUGUCAAUUAAAGGAUUCAUCGUAUGAAGAAUUUAAUGUUUGUGACAAAUAACAUAGCAGAGAGUUGUGUUGUGAGAAUAAACAAUCUAAUUUAAAUGAAUCAUCAUAUGUGUUGAUUAGGAUUUGGGUCUCUUUGGUUUUUCAGGCUGUCAAUUGAUUAAAUCCUAUGAUCGUAUCUAGGAUUGUCUAUUGAUUAGGGAAAUAACCAACGGUCGUACCUUGGUUAUCGACUAGUUAAGGAGAGAUUGGCUAUUAGAGGGUCUCAGUAGUUAUAACCGGUCUAUUCAUAAGUAAUAAUAAUCUAUAUUUGAAUCAAUGAUCAGUAGUCGAAUCAAGCUGAGUUAAUUCCUUCAACCAGAGCUUUCUCCAAUUUGAAUCACAACUUUAAUUUACAUUCUCGUUAUUUUAAUUUAAUUUUUAUUAUUGUCAACAAAACCCCCAUUUUAUGUUUUACGUUUUAAAAGGAUUUAAAUAAUUACCGAUCUCUGUGGACACGACCCUGCUCAAUCACUAUACACAAUUUAUUUAGAGUAAAAAUUUAUUUUUGUUGGCUUCGACACCCACCAGUUAUUUCAUUUUCAUUGAUAAUCAUUUUGACACCGGUCAAAUUUAAAAGUUUAAAUAAUGGGGGCCAUUUUUCUUUCCAGCUAUGCCCAUUAGCUAAUAAAAGAACCGCCGAAAGGGUUCGGGGAUAAUAUAGUAAUAUGAUUGAUAAUCAUUUUGGAGCUGAGUAUUCUUCGUUCCACAUUUUGGGUUUUGGUUGACCAUAUUUUAAUACUUUUUCUGGAAAACAAAUAUAUAUUUAGUGACUUGUAAUGGGUGCAACUCAUGUUUUUGAAACAUUAACAUCUUUACUUACUUACACUAAUGCGGCAACUGCUGCUUGCUUUUUUUUUUUUCCUUUUGCUUUUGGUUAAUAAUAAUAAUAAUAAUAAUAAUAAUAAUAAUAAUAAUAAUAAUAAUAAUAAUAAUAAUAAUAAUAAUAACAACUUUUUAAUUUAAUAUAUUAUUAAAUAAUAUUUUUAUUUUUAUUUUUACAUUAUAAUUUAUUAUAACUAAUAAUAAAUAUUUAAUUUUGAAUAAUAUUAAUUUAAAAUUAAUAAUAUUAUAAAUAAUAAUAUAAACUAUUAAUACAAUUUAAAUAUAUCAAUAUAAUAUAAUAUUUAAUUUAAAUUAAUCACAAAAAAUUAAUACAAUAUAUUAUAAUACCAAAUAUUAUACAAUAUUACUAUAAUACAAUUAUGAUACAAUUUGAGGGAGAUUGUCAGCUUUUUCGGAUUAAAAAUAAUAUAUACCACUUACUCUAUUGUUUUUAUAAUGUUCAACAAUCCCCUUGAGAAAAAAAAAAAACGAAAAGAAGGAAUAAAUAGAUGAUUUGCUUGAUAUUGUAUCUUAGAAAUAUAAAAUAUAUAUUUAUUAUUAAAAGUAUUUAAAAAUAAUAAAGAGUACAUAAAAAAUAUCUUAUCCUCAACAACAAGAUCAGACGACGUCAAUUCAGCAAAAUGACUUGUACAAUUUGAAAGUCCAGCAACGGUCACCUCUUAAUGUUAUUUUUACUAUAUUAUAUUGAUAUUUUGUUUUGUUAAUCAUAUAAGUCAAUCAAUAAUUAUUUAAUCAUUAGAAUUAAAACUAAUGUAUUAAUUAAAAUUCAAAAUCUAUUAUAAAAAUAGUAAAUAUUAAUACAAAGAGAUGGACAUAUUACAAAAUACAUUCACCAAAAGUUCUAUUAUACUUAAAAUUCUCAUUCACAAAAAAAUAAUAAUAGUUGAAUACAUGUACAAAAAAAGGGGAUAAAUAAAAAAUAAUAAUAAUAAAUAAUAAAAGGAUAGUUUAUAUAAUAAAAAAUAAAUUUAUUGAAUAGGGAUGUUAAUAAUAAAGAAUAAUAGCCGAUCAAACUCACUUUACAAUAAACUGAGAAAUCAAAAUCACAUUCUCCGAUUCUACGAUUGACUCUUUUUCAUCAUUUUACUGGAGUGAAUGUAUCUAUAUGUAUUGGGGACCAUAAUGGAAACUGAUAGAACCUACAAGGGCUAAAAUUAGAACAACGAACGAUAUCUCAAAGUCGCCGAAACGUAAGUAAUUAAUCUUAUCUUUCAAUUGAUUUUUUGUGGAGACAGAGACAAACCCGAACAGCAAAUAGCCAUAAAUGAUAGGACAAUUAAAUUGGAACUCUCCGCGGACCCACGAUUUAAUAUCUUUAGAUUGUAACGGUUUAACCAAAAAAAAAACAAUUUUAGUAAAAUAUUUCUUAAAAAAUGAAAAAAAAUGUUGAAAAGAAGAACAAAAUUGUGGUCCACGUGUCAUUUCAAAAUAGGUUGCUGGCAUAAACAACCGUCCCCAUCUCGGACAGAUGUUAUUUGAGUGGUUGGUGCGCGUUUCCACUUUUUUGUUUUAGAUGCAACGACUCAUGCACUAUAUAUAUAUAUAUAUACGUAAUUUCUAUCUUAUAUAUGUAUAAGAUACAUUCUUUAUCUUUUAUCUCCCUUAUAGAAUAAUAUAUGUGUGGAAUUUAUAUAUAUUGUUCAUAUGAAAAAAAUAUAUCUUAUAUGCAUGAUAGAAUAAUCCAUGAAUCUAAUGUUAUUAGUUUAAAUAAUGGGUGCAACUCAUGUUUUUGAAACAUUAAGAUCUUUAGUCAUUCUGUUACUAUCCCGUGGUUAUUUAAGUUACAAGAGACAGUAAAAAAACAACGUCAUAUUUUAAUUACUUACACUAAAUAAAUUACUCACACUGAUGCCGCGUCUGCCGCUUACUUUUUUUCUUUUUUUUUAUCCUUUUGCUUUUGUUUUUAACUUUUACUUUUACUUUUUGACUUUUGCUUUUGGUUUAUUAUAAUAAUAAUAAUAAUAAUAAUAAUAACUAUUUUUUAAUUUAAUAUAAUAUUAAAUAAUAUUUUAUUUUUAAUUUUACAUUAUAAUUAUUAAUAUAUAAUUUAUUAUUCAAUAUUAUUAUAUUAUGUUUUUUAUUUUUAAUUAUAAUUUAUUAAUAAAUUUAUAAUUUAUUAUAACUAAUAAUAAAUAUUUAAAUUUAAAUAAUAUUAAUUUAAAAUUAAUAAUAAUAUAAAAUAUUAAUACAAUUUAAAUAUAAAUUAAUAUUUAAUUUAAAUUAAUCACAAAAAAUUAAUACAAUAUAGUAUAGCACCAAAUAUUAUAUAUUAUUAUUAUAAUACAGUACUAAUACAACAUAAUAUAAUAUAAUACAUUAAUAUUAAAAUAAUAUAAUACAGUAUGCGAAAUGAACCGAAAUGGUAUUACUUUGUUUGUCUUGUUAUUUACAAUUAUUUAAUCUGUAGACCCACUCAUGCUCCUUCUAUGCAACAUAGAUACAAUUUGAGGAAGAUUAUCAAUUUUUUCUGAGAAAAAAUAAUAUAUACCACUUACUCUUUAUUGUUUUUAUAAUGUUCAACAAUCCGUUUGAGAUGAAAAUAAAUAAAUAAAAAGAAGGAGUAAAUAGACGAUUUGCUUGAUGUUGUAUCUUAGAAAUAUAAAAUAUAUAUUUAUUAUUAAAAAUAUUUAAAAAUAAUAGAGAGUUCAUAAAAAAUAUCUUAUCCUCAACAACAAGAUCAGACGACGUCAAUUCAGCAAAAUGACUUGAACAAUUUGAAAGUCCAGCGACGGUCACCUCUUGGCACACAUACGGCAACGUGUGUAGCAUUGGCAAGAGGUCUCCCAGAAGGACGAUUAAGGAAAGAUUGCAAGACAAAAUCAUGAAAAUAGUAGUACAGAUAUGCAAUAUGCUAAAUUGUCCUCGAUUGAGUCAAUCGCAAUCAAGUCUUAGAAAUCGCACCCCUGUAUUAAUUUCCAGAAAUAUGUUUGUUCCAUAUUUAUCGUGCACGUAUACAUUGUAUGUAUUGGGAAUAGAAAGAGUGUAUGAAAAAAAAUUCUUCAUUCAUCGAUUAAAACUUAAAUUAUGUACGAGGGUUAAGCGCAGCGUUUUUAAAUUUAAAAAGCACAAGUGUCAAUCCACUAAGGUUUGGUCCAAUGGCUAGAGUCACUCCCUCGCGAAAUGAUUAGAGCUCCCACAAAUGUAUUGUACAAGUUUAAUUUAAAUUUUCUUCCUCAAAACUUAAGUGAAGACAUUAUUUUUCAUAGAAGUAGAGUUUUUCUAGGAGUUUGACAUCCCUCAAAUAUUAAAAGAAUUAAAAUCUGAACGAUACUAUAUAAAAUAUAAUUUAAACUGAUCUUAAUAAUUAUAUAAUUAUAAAUAUAAUGAGCAACAGUCUCGUUAAAAAAACAGAUCAAGUGUCAUGAGCCCAUUUAAAUUAACUAAUAUUUGAGGGGGAAAUCUCUGUAUACCAUAGUAUAUAUUCUAUAUCCAGUCAUGGGACCCAUACACGGAUGGUUCCACGUAAUUCGCAGAGUUGAACUGGAGACACUGAUUAGUUCGUUGUCUACUUACCAACUUAUGUACAACUAAGUAAUUGCAUGCACCAUUUGCGACUUAUCUAUCCACCCUGCUUGCAUUGCAUUAACUACGUCACCAAUCACCCACGUCCGCUACUUGUGUGAACGUGUAUAUAAAUACAUAUAUCCGCAGCAUAUUAUCAAACCAGAAUCAGAAGCAACUUAAGUUUUGUUCAUUAGGUUUAUGUUUAUCAACAUGAUAUAUUGUCAAUCAUAAUCGCAAUCAAGUUGUUAAUUAUUUUUUAAAUAAUGUGAAGGAACAAGAUUUUGGCCUUUGAGUGUCUGGUUAAAAAUAUCUCACCUCAAUGUACGGUGUUGUGCUCUCAUCAUCGUACUAUUAUUUGUUAAAAGUAUGUCAAAGAGGAAAGCAGAUUCAAACAUUACUUCAAUUUUAUUUAAGAGAAUAAAAAAAUCGUUAAUAGGCUACUGUUAUUUGUUAGUACGAUUUCACAAAAAAAUCGGUUUCUUAAACAACUCCAACUACAAUUUUUUUUUUACAAAUUUUUGAAUUAUUAAAUCAUAUGUGUGUGUAUAAAUUGAAUAGAAUUAAAAGUGGACUCAAAUGGCUAUUAUGUAAUUUUUUUAUAAUUAAAGAAAAGUUUAGAAUGUAAAAGUGUGUGUGAGAAAACAAAAAAUAUAAAUCACCUUUGAUGUAGUUGUACGGUUGUAAAGAGUUAGAUGGAGAAAUAUAGUAUAUAAUUAAAUUUAUUUUGUUCCUUAAAACGGGUAGGUUUUAUAAGAAUUUUCCAGAGGAGUGCUAAUAUUUCAACUUUUUUUCAAAUGAAGUGAUGUCCUGGAAUAAAAUCACUACUCUAUCAUUGCUAUUAGUUUGUCUUGUAUUUCAAUAAUUGUCGACAAGUAUUAAUUGUGAAUAUUAUUGUUUUAAAAAUUUUAUUAUUAUUAUCGUCGUUAUUCUUAACAGUAAUGACUAGAAUUAUAAUAAAAACAAUAACGUUAAUACAAUAAUAUAACAACAUAAUAAUAUUUUAAUUGAGAGGAUAAGAAUGAAAUUAUGAAAUUUAGGUUGGGUAAAAAUGAUGAGUAUGAGGAAAUUAAAUUACCAUUUUUUAAGCUAAACAAUUCAUAAAUUCCACAUAUUUCAUUCGUAUUUCUCUUAUAUUUUAACAAGUAAACAUUAUCAAUAAUUUUAAUAUUUUAAUUAAUAAACACGGCGUUAACUACGGAACUAAAAGAUCAAAAAAAAAAAAAAAAACAGAGACGCGUGUAUGUAUUGCUUGUGACAAAUCUCACCCGUGGAAAACUUUGUGAAAGGCAUUUGAAUGUGAGGCCACAUUUAAUGAACGAAACGAUAACUUUAAAAGAGAGUAUGUACUGUGUUAAUUAUUAGGCUUUAGCUUAAUGAUUGCAAUUAGUUUGUCUUGUAAUUAAAUUAUUGCCGACAAACACUAUCACGACCCACGUCCGCUACUUGUGUGAGUGCGUGUAUAAAUAUCCGCAGCAUAUUAUCAAACCUGAAGCGUACUAAUAAAGUAUUGGUUCCACUACAAUAGAGUCUCCUUAAGUGGUUUUGAUUGGGUUUGCUCCUCAGUUCGAGUCGCAGAAAAGUCACCUUUGUUGGGAGAACCUGUGCCUCUCAGUUCGAGCGGGGAUUUCUAGUCUGGAUUGUGAUACAGGCUUAAAGGUGCCUCCCACAGUUGGGGCCCUCCCCAGAAUACCUCGUUGUCAAAACCAAAAAAAAAAAAAAAAUCAAACCUGAAGCGUGAUCAUCUUUAAGUUUUGGUUAGGGUUGAUCAGACGUUGGAAGAUAUCUUUCCUAAUUUAAAGAAGAUGGAAACUCCUUAUCCAGGUUCUUAGGCCAUGUUCAGUUGAAUGUCAUUUAUAAUUUUUAUUUUAACAUUAUGUAUUUAUGAAUACAAUUAUUGUUUAUUUUAACAUUAUGUAUUUAUGAAUACAAUUAUUGUUAUGAUUUUUUCAGGUAAGAAUGGGUGGUCUGAGGGUAACCCAAUAACUAUGUACAAUAUUAUUAAUGAUGAGAGUGUGAAUGACAAUUUGGAUUUUAUUCUCGUCCCUCAAUACAGAAGAAAUCUUGACCAUAGCGGUUAAUUGCUAUGUAACUCUUUCGUAUUAUGUUUAAUUAAUAAUAAAAUGAUGGGUUAUUAUUACCUGUCAAUUAUGUGAGUGUCUCUGCUUGAUUUAGUUCACUUAUAAAAUAUCUUAAGAUAUACAAGAGAUUUUCUUUAUUUACUUUCAUGUACCGCGUCUUCUUGUAAAAAGAAACUAAUAAAAAAAUAUCAUUGUGUGCAAUGUAUUGACUAAGUUAGUGUAUUCAUGUUAGCUUAAUUGUGCUCUCUCUUCUUGAUUUUUUUGUUUUUUUUGGUUAAAACAAACUCCACAUAUUGUUGGUUAGCUAAUUCUUGCAGCUAGCAAGUGAUCCUUUUCUUUCCCCUACUGCCUGCCGUAGCAUCAAAUCCUGACAAUUAUAUAUCAAGUGGUAUUCGAGCCGUCAAAUGAUCCUUGGAAACACGCAACAAAUCAAAUGCUGAAUUUUGCCAAGAGAUUCACGAAAUCCUUGCUAGACAUGUCUUUUGUCCAGUUUAUUUCAAACUACGCGAGCAAUGUUCCCGUUACUGUUUAGUAUGUCUUUUGUUGUUUGCAAUGUAGUUAGGGAUGUUAGCGGGUAGGGUUUGGUACGGAUUUGACAUUACCAAAAGCCGGAUCUGUAAAAAAAAUUUAAUUAUCAAAUUCAUUGUGGGUUUUAUUUAUUCAUUUUUUUCCUCUUAACAAAGCCCAUCAGCUGCGGGUUUGAAUGGUACCUAGUGUAUAUUUUUGUGAGUUCCCACGUAUAAAAUCACACUUGCAACAAAACCUAAAAGUUAAAAUUAUGUAAUUCAAAUUAUAAAUUUAUAAUCGUAGCCUAAAAAACCACAUAAAAUACUUAAUUUUAGAUUUUAUUAAUGUAAAUGAGAAAUGAAAGUAAAACAUUAAAAUAAAUACACAAAAUAUAUCAAUUUAACAAAAAUUUUAAAUUUUAAUUACCAAAUACAUAAGUCUAUCGCAACUUAAAGUGCUUUCAAUUGAAAACGAAAAAAGAGAAAGAGAAAAAAAAAGAACUACAAAUCAAAGUAGCACCCGUGACCCAUUUCCCAGUCUCAUUCAAUACCACUAGCACCCAUCCAACGUGAUUUUUCUAAACAAAGUAUAAAGUACAAAAUUACAAUAAGCAUAUCAUACUCCAUGCUUUAAGUUAAAGAUCCUUAUAUAUUUUUAUGAAUAAUUUUUUCAUGAAAUUUUAUGAUUAAAAUUAAAAAUACAAACAUUCAAAUAAGAAUGUCGGACACUUGCGCAACUAUUUACCAAAAUUUUUCUCUAUAAAAAUCGACCUGCAACUUUCAAUAGGUUUAAAUUUAUAAUAUCAAACCUAAUUGCAGCUCGCAAAAAUUAUCUGUUGCGGCCAAGACUUUGGAUUUGCGAUGAUUUUGCCACCCUAAGUGUAGUUAGUAUUGUAUAUCAUGUGGCUCUUAUAAAAAGCCUAGAAGUUGUUUGAAUAAUGGGGGAGACACAUAUCUCCCAAAGAUUUUCUCUUUUUCAAAUUAUUAUUUCUUCUCUAUUAUUGUAACUUCGAAUCCUUAUAAAUUACAGAUUGGAGACAUGAACACAAUGUUUUGACAUAGUGGACUUUUGACUUAUCCAGAGAAAUUUAGGAUAGAUUUUUAUACACUAAGGUUCUAUUUACUAUUGAGGUUUUAGAACUUUUAAGCCACACUAGAAAUUUGUAUUGUUUUGAUUGGUAUUGAAUCAAAGGCAUAUUGAAUCAAAUAUUGUUUACAAUAGUUAAAGGCAUAUUGAAUCAAAAUCCACUUCUAAGGGUUUGAUUGAGUGAUUGUAAAGUAGGUUUUUAGUUUGCUAGCCACUCAAGUUCAAAUAUUGGAACCACAGAGCCUUAUAGCCAAGUGAGAGAACUUGUGCCCUAAAAAUUGAGGGGUGCAUAUCGAGUUUUACCACCAAUAAAAGUUGGUGUUAAAACUUUAAUUUCCCUCCUAUUGUGGAUAGGGGUAAUUAGGAGUUUACAUCCCCUCCUAUUAAUAGAUAGGGGUUAUUAGGAAUAUUAAAAAAAAGUUCAAAUAUUGAAAAUAUAGGUAUGGGUUAUAAAAUUCAUAAUAUAAAGACACAAAAUCAAGAUAAAGAUUUAAAAAUUUAGAACCAUGAGAGCGUGACUUGUAAGUUUCAAAAAAGUAUGUGUAAAUAUAUGCAUUAUUGAUGCCCCAAUUAAGGGUGGGCAUUAAGAAAAAAAAAUCCCAAAAAAUUAAAACUAACCCUAACUAAAAUAUUCGACCGCGGCCUCCUCGUUUUCUUUUCUUCUUCUUCCUCCUCUUGCUCACCCUCAAUGCCCAUUCAUGGAAAUCCAACAGCUCCAAACGCGUUUCAGCCGCUCGCACGUGUGAGAAUUUUUCCUUCUCAUGGGAUUAUUCUUCGCUUGCAUGCCAGCAGAAUAUUCAGGCCGAGGAUUUUUCCGGGCCUAGCCCAACUAUAAGCUCUCCCAAAACCCAAUCAUAAAGUUCAUAACGUUUAGCGUUUGCUAUUACUAUAAUUUUUUUUAACCAAUUUUCACAUUCAUCAACAAAGGCUGACAGAUUUUGCAGAAAAUAAAAUUAAAUAAAAGUACAAGCUCACGAAAUUCCUUUUCCGAUGUGGGAAUCUAUCUACACCUUUCACGUGCCUUUUUUUUUUUGGUUUAUCACAUGUUGAAGUUAAACAGUUGAAGUUAGUGAUGCAAGUUGAAGUUAGUGAUGCAAGUUGAAAGUUGAAAGUUGCAAAAGACUUGGUUGUGAUUUCUCCAAAGGAGAUUUUGAAAAUUUGUUCUGUUGAUUGCAGGUGGAUGAGUCUGUGACCAAGCUGGACUGCCGUGUGCCUCCAGUCCUCAAGCAAGUCCCUGCCCAAGCUCUCUCCGCGGCUCAAAUGGCUCCAGUAGUGGCACGAUCCGUGGCUUCUGAAGUGAAGACUGCCGGUGUAGCCGGCACCGCCUCAGGAAUGGCAAAAUCCGUUUACACCAAGUACGAGCCAGCAGCCAAGGAACUUUACUCCAAGUAAGAACCAAAAGCGGAGCAAUAUGCUGUAUCAGCUUGGCGCAAGCUCAAUCAGAUGCCACUAUUCCCUCAAGUAGCUCAAGUUGUUGUGCCAACUGCUGCCUAUUGUUCCGAAAAAUACAACCAAACAGUGGUGAGCGCUGCAGAGAAGGGGUACAAGGUCUCCUCAUAUUUGCCUUUGGUCCCUACUGAGAGGAUUGCUAAGGUGUUCAGCAACGAGGUUGUUGAAUCGCAGCCUCUGGCUUCUGCUGGACGUGAAGCUGAUGUUGCUGUGUAUUGAUAGCUGUGUUUUCUGUUUUCUGGCCUCACAAUUUUUCUUGCAAGCUGUGGAGUGAAAAUGUUUUCCUUUCUGGAUAUGGGUAUUGGGUUGAAAAUGGAGUGGAUUACGAUUAUUUAAUUUUUAAAGACAUUGCUUAAUUCUGUGGCGUCAGCAUAAUACUUUCUGUUUUUGACUUUUCUUCUGUGUUUAGAUUUUUAGUUCAUUGCUCUUAAUAGUGUUAAAAGUUGGUCACUUUCCUAAAGAAACUCUAAUGAAGGAAAUGAACUUUGGAAUUAAAGUAGAAAUUAUAUGAAAUAUUAAAUUUUAAUUAAAAUAAAAAAUAUAUUAAAAACAUCGUAAAGCAAAAAUUGAGCCAGCUAGAUCCAUUAAGAGUGGCUGGCCCAACCCAACGUCCCAACCCAACAUAACACAAUCACCAGAACUUGUGCUGAGUAUGAUUGUUAAUAUUAUAGCGUGUUUACUAAUAUCAUUCAAAUGUAAUAGUAAUGUAUAAUUAAACAAAAUCAAAAGUCUAUGAUUCCGCUAAUUUGGGGCUAGGGUUUUUCCUUUUCCCAUCCCUUGACUUAAUGAUUUUUAAAAAAUGAAAAUAAAACCCGCACGACAUGACGGGUUCAGUUCCGAUUUGGAUCAAAUUAAGUCCAGUUCGUUAUUGUGAAAUCGUAAUAAACAAAUAAAUUGGGGGCUGAAAAAUCUGGUCGGAAUUUCAAUUUGUAUUAAUUAAUUGACUUUUUGAAUUGCUUUCCAAUAAAAUUAAGCUAUGUUCAAGUGUUUGUAUUUUGGUAAAUUGUGCUGCAUCUAUUUUGCUCAUGUGAUUGUUAAUUUAUUUUGUUUUUCUAGGUUUUGUGGGUAUGAUUGUUAAUUUAUUUUGUUUUUCUGAGUUUUGUUCAUAUGAUUGUUAAUUGAUUUUGUUUGUUCUUUUCUUUACGUGCUGUAAUUUCAUUUUCCGUUGGGGUAAAUUCAAGAAUUAUGAUUUAUGAGUCUAAAUUGUUUUGAACGUAUAAUAUGCGAGGGUUCUGCCUACAAUUACUUUGGCUAGUGUGUCAACUGCAGGCUCUGUGGAGGGUAAGGUAAAAUAGUUUAUGAAUAAAUUGAAAAAUUGGUGAUAUAGGUGGUUACGGCUGAAAUUGUAGAAGAGUUUUAUUCAAUUUCUACCUAGUAAAUGUGAUAUUUACAAUCUCAGCAGAUGAGAGAGUAAGCUUUGCUAUUCAAUACAUGUUUCAUUAAUUCACUUGGGUAUUGAAACCCCGAAGCUUUUUUUUUUUUUUUGAGCAAAGGGAACCUUAUUCGGACUGUUCAACUAAGAAAAAAUGAUACAAGGAAAUGAAAUUAAGUGCCAUGAGGCAUCAGUGCCUACCUCAAUGCUUUCUUCUAUAUGUAACAUUUCUAAUACAUAGUAUGUACAUGAGUGAAAACCUUUGAAGUAAAUAAAUAUAUGUUUACUCUAUCAAAAUUGGACUUCCCUGCAAAUGCAAUCCCAUGAUUGACAAAAAAUGGCCAGCAUCGCUGUGGUGCCAUGUCUGAAAUUUGCUAAAACAACUCGGAGACGGCAUGGGGCACAAGAAGAGAGUUCUUAAGUUCCAAAAUUGUCUACGAUCAAGUGUUGGGAUGGUGAAUGCUUUCACCAUUUAUGCAACUGAGCGGUGAUACUUUUCACCACAGGAUAAUAUUCUGUGUGCACGUGCUUUUUAGCUUUCUCUGAACCAGGUUGCUCAAGCCACUCAUCAUACAAGCUUUUCACCAGAGAAUUUUUGAAAGGAUCAGCUACCAUUACAUUUUCCAAAUAUAUGGUUUCCAGUGUCUUAAUCAACUCCUUCGGUGAUUGCCCUGGCUUAGGCUUGACCUGACGUCCACCAUUCAUGCAACCUGAAGGGCAUGCCAUGAUCUCCACAAAGUGAUAAUCACAUUUUCGCAUUUUCACUCUCCUGACAAUGUUUUGCAGGUUCUGGAAGCCAUAACAUAGGGCAAAUUUCAACAACGUUUUUCCCUCCACUUCCAGAGCCACCUCUCGGAAAUCAGAGUUUCUGAUGGUUUUAAAUUCUAGACGACCUUCAAUAACUUUUCCAAAUAGUGUUUUAGCAGCAUGUCUGAAUACUGUUUCUGCAUAACCACCAGAACUUCCAGCGACCCCAUAAAGAUGUCCUUCAUCAUCAACAUUGGUCAAGAUAAUGCCCCAUAAUAUAGAAUAUCCAACAAUAAAACAUGCAUGAAAAUAAAUGCAAGUAAAUCGAGAUUAUGAAAAUCAUUCACCCACAAAAUGAGAGUGCCACAAUGAAUACCCAAAGCAGGCCACCAACAAAAUUUAAAACAAAAGUAAUUCGUGUAAAAUAUUAAUGGAGCCAAGCAAAGAAAACACAAGAAAUAAGAGUUUUGUUAUUUUACCUGUAGCACUAGGGUGCCAACUCUAACGUCUCCAACUAAAACAAUAAUACAUUUAUUGGUGGAAAAGGCAGAACGUUCAAGACCUUCGUAGCUAGUUUCAAUGGCAAGGGGAACGCUUGCAACCUCAACUCCAUACAUCAGUUUGUUAUUUGUUUAAACACAUAAGUCGUAAAAAUAUUUUCAACUUACUACAUGUGUUUUUUUACUAAGCAGUUGUUCCCCUCCAGGUGACUGGACAUAAACUCUAUUUAAUUUUUUAUAUAUUUUAUAUUUUGAAAAUUUGAUUUAUUGUAGACAAACAAGGGAGUUUGACAUAAUAAAUUCUUAAUUCUUAAUAUAAGGUAUGACAAAAUGAUAUUUUCAUUUAUUCUAGACAAAUUAAAUUUUGUCACAAUAAAUAUUAAUCCAUCAUAAAAUUAAAGGGAAAAUAAUGAUAAUUUAUAUAAUUAAUCUUUUCGGCAAUAAAUCUAAAUAAAAAAUGGUGAAAAGAAUUUAUUAAAUUUUAUUUACUACUAAGGGUGGAUCCAUAACCUUAGCCAUUUUUAGCAAAAGUAAAAUAAACAAAUAAAUAUUUUUUUGUGUAUCGACCUCGAACUCACCGAACUAUAAUAUAACAAGACACUCUUAUACUUGAGAGUUAAAAAUUACUUUUAAGUUGUGUCACCUAGAAGACUCUCUGUGUGUUAUUAUAUUAGGAGAAUUAUAUGCUUUCUACUUAAUAAAUUAAGAUUUACAAUAAAAUAUACUGACUAAAAGGGAUGCAUAUAUCCAACACAAUUUCUUUCGAACACUAAAAUUAUUAUUUUUUAUUUCACACUUAUUACUUUAAACUCUUAUACGAAACAAAUAAGGGCUACUAAAUAACAUGUCAGAUAAUUUUAUUACUUCUUUAAUUAUUACAAUUUAAUUCGGGCUUCUUCUGUAACAAACUAUACAACUCAUACUUUCUAUUACUUACAACAAAUAAAAUAGAGUGUCGAAUAUAUUUUUCUCUUUCUUUUUUAUUGUUUGAACUUAUCUUUCAUCUCAAUUAAGCCGCUAUUUCUUGGUUGAUGAUUUACUAUUUUUAAAUUUAUUGUUGUUAUUAUUACGCAAAUUAUCAUCACGCAAAUUAACAUGUACCAAUUUUUCCAUUUUCCAAUUGCAUAUAUAUUUACUAAAUGCUUCGGUACCGAUGUAAAGCAUCUCCUCAUACUGUCGUCAUCUUAUUUCUUCAAAUUAAUUAAAUCUAACAUGUAAUUUCAUUCCUGUAAAUUUACUUUAAUCUCAUCGCAUACAUUACAUUAUUUUUUAUUUUAAUAAAUAAUUUCUGCUAUAAUUAUCCUAUUACUUAAUUUUGAAAUUGUCAACAAUGAAUAUUAACCUACAUUAAUAGAUUAUGGGACAUUCUCCUAUCAAAUUACUGUUUUCUAAGGAACUAUCUUUUAUGCCUUCUAACGUAACCCUUUUAUCUUCCCUGAUGAACAUAAGAUUCGAAAGUCCUGUAACAUAUUUAGGUACGAGGCAGCAAUUUCACCUUCUAAUUUGAAAAGGAAACUGUAUUAUUCUUACUUUAAAUAACCCUUCAUACCUUAUUGAUGGGUAGAGAGACAUUUUGCAUCCCGUGCGUUACAAUUUUCUUAUUGAUGCCGACAUUCGUGCGAUUCACAUCUCGGUGUCCGAUUGAUAUUGUUUAUCGCCUCCAGCCGGCCGGGGGGGGGGGGGGGGGGUGCAUCUGUCACUAUACAACAUAAUCAGGCCUUCAUUCUUCUCAUCCGCCGCCAAUAUCGUUCAUCUUUGUUCUUUACCACAUGUUCUUGUUCAUUUAAUUUGGAUAUGUUGGUCCACAUCCCCCUGCACACGAAGGUUCACUUUUACGGGUGUUCGCGUCUCAGAUUUUGCGGAUUGCACAUCAAUCCAUAUAUUUUUAAUUCAAUAUAUACUAUUUCUCCUGAUUUCAUGAGUUUUUCCAGAUUUAGAGACUUAAAUCCUUUUCCAAUCCAUCUAAUACGGAAUUUUUUAAUUAUGCUAAUUUAUUAGGGUCUUAUUCUGUAACAAACUAUAAAACUCAUAGUUUCUAUACUUACAACAAACAAUUGAGACUGUCAUAAAAAAUAGUUAAAAUAGAGUGUCGAAGAUAUUUUUCUCUUUCUUUUUUCCUCUUUUAAUUGAUCAAUCAUCUCAAAAAAGCCUCCAUUUCUUGGUUGAUGAUUUACUAUUUUUAAAAUUAUUAUUAUUACACAAAUUAUCGUCGUCGUCGUCGUCAUAAUUAUAAUAUUAACCAUUACUAGUUUUAUUAUUAUUGUUGUUGUUAUUCAAAUUUGGAAAUGACAUGGCCUAUUAUUUAAACUCUAAGGAUAAAAUUAAAAUUACAUAUUAUUCAGGUUAAAUGGAAUUUUUCCCUUUUUUUCCCCACCAAUUACUUUUGCAAUGCAUUGCCUGAUCAUUUUUUUAUUAUUUAUUUAUUUAUUAUUAUUAUUAUUAUUAUUAUUAUUAUUAUUACACGCUACAUAAUUUUUCUUCACAUUUUUUUUAUAUGGUUUUCAUUUACUCAACUCAUACGCAAAUUUCCCACAAAAUCGAAUUAUACACUAACUCAACUGUAAAUUCAUGCCAGGCUACUUUUAAAAUUACAGUUGAUAUUUCGCAUUUUUUUUCCCACCAAGCACGCAAUUCAUUACCUUAAAUCCACUUCCAAAUGUUUUCGUCACUAUUUUCGAAAUUUUCAAAUCAUUCUAACCCCAACCCAUACUUGCACGCUUCCAACUUCUUGCUUUUAACCAAUACUUGCAUGCACUUUUUUUAAUUAUUUUACAUGCGUUACUGUUACAACUUCCAACUACUACAGGCGUUUUUUUGGUCAAAAAGUUGAUUCCCUGCAGUGUUACCGGCCCAUUACCUUUAUCUCAGGUUACUCUCUUGCGUCUGUGUGUCUCUUCUGCAGCCACGAGAUGAAAUCUAACGGUGACCAUGCUACAAGACAAACGACUUGGGUACGAAACCCAUGACGCAAAGUAGCUGCGGCCUAAAUCAGGUAGGAAAAAUAAAAAGUUAAUUAUUGAGUUGUAAUGGUGCAACUAAGGUUUUGAAACAUUAAGAUCUUUAGCCAUUAUGUUACUAUCCCGUAGUUAUUUAAGUUAUAAGAGAUAGUAAAAAAUAACAUCAUGUAAUUAUUUAAGUUAUAAGAGAUAGUAAAAAAUAACAUCAUAUUUUAAUUACUUACACUAAUCCUACAAGUGCUAAUGGUCUAAAGUUGCUGCUGCUUGCACUGAAUCAGUGGUCAUGGGCCAGCCAAGGUUAGGUGAGGCCAACUCAUUAGCUUGAGAAACUUAAAGAAGUCUUAGGUUUGGAAAAGAUGGGGCACAGGUUAUAAAUUUUUUUUGAGUUUUGGAUUGAAGGAACAAAAUUGUUGAUGUCUAGCUCACAAUAUUUGAAGUCACUCUGUGCUUCAUCAUGUAAAAUGGAUUGAAUUGCUGUAAGAUCAAGUCAAAUUAAAAUGUUUAAACUCAUUUUUAAGAAACGAAUUCUCAAUUGGACCAGCCUUUCACAGAAGCUGAUAUCACAGAAGCUUUGAGUCAGAUGCAUCCAACCAAAGCCCCUGGCCCAGAUGGUCUCCCAACAGUAUUUUUCCAAAAGCUUUAGAAUUCAGUAAGCGAAGGAGUUAUAGCCACUUGUCUGCAUAUCCUCAAUGAUGGAAGUAAUAUUGCUCCUUUGAAUCAUACAUACAUUGCUUUAAUCCCCAAGAUAGCAAAACUUAGGACUCUGAUGGAGUAUAGACCAAUCAGCAUAUGUAAUGUAAUUUAUAGGAUCAUUGCAAAGACUAUAGCGAAUAGACUGAAGCUAAUCUUAGAUCAUGUUAUUUCGCCAACUCAGAGUGCUUUUAUGCCAAAUAGGCUUAUAACUAAUAAUAUAAUUAUUGGGCAUGAGUGUCUUCAUAAGUGGACAAAGCUAAGUUCCAGAGGUGAGAUAGGAAAUUCUCCCGCACGACAUAGUAGAAACAAACUUUCCCUUUCAUUUUCUUUCUUCUUUCUCGCUCUCCAAACAGAGCAAAAGGACCGUCGCAAGAUUCUUCACUUCCAUCCAAAAUCAUGAGCAACGAAUAGUGAGCCUCCCUGUUUCCUUCCUUUUUUUGAUAUUAACAUUGUUAACAUAUACUCAUUUUAAUUUGACAAUACUUCAACUUUUUUUUAUUUUUUUGCCUUUUCAUUUUUUUUGUUGAAGCAAUUAUCUGUUCAAGCUGUUGCUUAUCGGAGACUCGUCUGUCGGAAAGUCCUACCUGCUGCUCCGAUUUGCUGUCUGUUGACUUUUCCUUUCCCUUCUUAUUUUCUUUUUUUUAUAUUAAUUACUUUCUAUUUUAGCUUUUUGUUCUCUGAAUUUGUGUUAUUAAAAUGAUAAUUUAGAUGAUAAAUAAUUGUUAUUCUUGUAAAUUUCGAUUUUCAUUACGUUAAUUGUUAGUUUUUAGGUUUAUUAAUGUAAUUUUUUUUUUCAAUUUUUCAGGAUGAUUCUUAUGUCACAGCUACAUCAGUACCAUUGGAGUUGAUUUUGUGAGUCUCUCUUCUAUAUAUAUGUAUAUAUGUGUAUAAGUUAUAAUAUGAGUCUAUGUACGUGUAUGAAUGUAUGUGUAUGUAUAUGUGGAAAGAAAUGUUGGCAGACUUCAGCAUUUUACUCUUUUUUUUUUUUUGGCAGAAAAUAAGAACUGUGGAGCUGGAUGGGAAGACGAUCAAACUGCAGAUUGUGAGUCAAAAUUUCCUUUUAUCUUGUAUUGAGAGAAAUUCGAUUUGUCUUAUUUAGUGAAGGUUAUGUUCAAGAACCUCUUCUUAUUUUCUUUGUUUGAAGAGUGAUAUGUUGAAAUGAGUGUAUUUGUCUUAUAAACAUCAUUUAGGUAAUGUCUGAUGUUUGAUUGUUUUUCAUCUGUUUAGUGGGACACUGCUGGACAGGAGCGAUUCAGGACUAUAACUAGCAAUUAUUACCGAGGAGCCCAUGGAAUCAUAGCAAGGAGCCUUCCCGGUUCUUGGUUUAAAUCAGAAAGUUUGUGAUUUACAUGUGACAUCUUAACAGCAUUGUAUGUGUUUAUUAACUUAUUUUUCAUCUUUCAUUAAGCAGUACAUUUUCCAAUAAAUCUGUAUACAAGAUGAUGUAGUCCAAGAAUGGGAGCCAUAAUAUGAUGCAAAUUGUCUAAUAAAUUCUUAUGACAUAUGAUGUUGUCGGAAGUAAAAGUCUUGCAAUGCUGUAUUCUCUUUUAAGAAAGAAUAAGUGGUAAUUUUUUUUUUCCAAUUUUUUAAUUGAGCAACUGUAUGAGAUUAAUUAAAUGUGUUGGGAUUUCAACAGAUUGUCUAUGAUGUAACUGAGAUGGAGAGCUUCAAUAAUGUCAAGCAGUGGUUGAAUGAGAUUGACAGAUACGCAAAUGACAGUGUAUGCAAACUUCUAGUUGGGAACAAAUGCGAUUUAGUUGAGAACAAGGUUGUGGACACACAGACAGCCAAGGUAUAUUCGUGACUUCUUUCGCCUGAACUUUGAAUAUAAUUUUAAACUCUUCUCAAGUGCAUUUGCUUGAUAAGUUUCUGCAUACCCAGGACACUCAAACUUUGGACAGUGUAUCUCGAGUUGGAAUCUUUUCUGCCAAUACGACUUGUUAAAAUAAUGGUUAUUAUCGUUUGAAUCAUUCAAGAAUUGCAAUAAAUCUAAAGUCCAUAAAAAAUAUGAUUCCAUCAUUUUACUAUUAUAUCUAGACAAAACCCAUUAUUUUACUACAUUUCAUUGGCACCGAUAGUUGACCUGUUGGCUGACUGAUAAAAUCUCAAUUUUGCACUUUACAUUAAUUCUUUUUUGGUUAAAAAAUAACACACAAAGUAUUACAAUAUUAUAAAUUCAAAAUAUAAAGUAGUUACAAAUAAUUCCUAUUAGCCUAUGAAUAUAAUAUUUGAUACCUCUAUUUGUGUAAUUUUUUUUCCAAUGGUGAAAUUGUUAUUUUUUUUGUACUAACGGAAAUGUAGUAAAAUCAUAAGUUUUGUAAAGAUAUAGUAGUAAAAUGAUAGACUAAAAUACUUCUUGUAGUUGUUUGAUAUAUUGUAAUUCUUAAAGUACUCAAUUGAUAAUAUCCCCUAAAAUAAAUGUUCGUAAUAUGUUCUCAUUUUAAUGCAACUGAUUGUUUAAUAAAAUUGUAUUUCUUUGUUAAUCUUUUAUCAUGUGCAUGCUCAGUGAGAAUUUGACUUACUAGAACACAAGUUUGACUCUUCAUUUAAAUGUCUCUUGUAUCAUAUCCUUCAAUGUUGUGUGUGAUUCCAAUAAAAUUGAGUAGGGAGAUCCUUAAAUACCUUUUCCUUUUUUCCAAGGGCCUGUCAAAUUGCUCUAAGUGAUUCUACCCUUUAUCAAUGAAUAAUGAAAAUAAAAUUUUUAUUAAAGCAGUUUUUUCCGUAAAUGGUGACUAAUAGUACCCCUUUUUUUGGAGAGGAAAGUCAAACAUGCCCAAAGAGAAUCAUUUACUUUCCUCUAAUGUAUUUUCUAAUUCGUUUUGACCCUUGAAUGUCUGUUUUGGUGCGUAUUCUCAUUCCAUGUCGAAUCUUAUCCAUAUGGACAACCCCACUUACAAAAAAGUCUAAUGAAUCUAUUGAUGUUCAUAUGAGGUUUGUGCUUUAGAUUUAGACCUCUCUCUCUCUCUCUCUCUCUCUCUCUCUCCACUUACAUGUCUUUCACUUACCUGUUUGCAUGCAUGCCCAUGCACACACUUGCAAGUUAAUACACAGUCACUCGUACUUGUGUUUUGGUUGAGCUACUGGCUGCUAACCUCUGUAAUUCAGUUUGAAACUUGCCCCCCUUAGUGCUUCACUCAAAUGGUUGGUUAGGGUGAGAUCUGUAUCGUUUUCCUGGUCUCUUUCCAAGGUUAUCUAAAGGGAUUUGGCAGUCUGAUUCUUUAGGGAAUAUCAUUGCAUAAGAUAUCUAUUGUUUGUUAAUGAAUAAUUUCUAUUAACUAGUUAUCUAUCUAAAUUGGUAAAUUUUAACUGCAUAAUUUGCAUGCAAUAAGAUUUUAUAAGAAUCUUGUUUUCAACUCAUGACUUAGACUAAUGUGAUAUGUUGAGCAUUAAGCUACAAGAUCUGCACAUCAGAGUGCUUCACGAUGUUAAGGAGAAAGCAUCUUUUUCUGCUUCUUAAUGUGAUUUAGAGUUUCCAUGUUACUUAUCCUAUAAAAUAUCUUUCAAGACUUUGCAAAUGCUUUUAUUUAUGACUGAGAGAAACUUGUUGGGUUGGUUUUUAGCAACAGACGGAGUUAUGGACUUUGUAUUGACUUGUUAUUGAUUAAGAUAGUACAUCGGCUGAUCUAUUGGUAUCAAGCAGCAGAUGCAGAAAUUAUGGGUGGCAUAUCAUUGUAUCCAAAGAGCGUACUACAUGGAAUUUUUCUGAUUUUCUGUUGGUCUCCGAGUGAAAUGCAGGCAUUUGCAGAUGAACUGGGGAUUCCUUUCCUGGAGACGAGCGCCAAAGAUGCAAUCAAUGUGGAGCAGGCUUUCUUGACCAUGGCUCGCGAGGUUAAGAAAAAGUAAAAUCACUUAACUCUUUCCUUCUUGCCUUAUGAUUGAUUCUGUGAUCCAUCACCCAUUUGUAAAUGCUGACUGUUCUAUUCAACAAUCACCAUUAUUGCUGGUUAUAUGCAUUGUGAUGAAAAUUCAGCAAUGAGUAACUUUUUACCUAAUGUUUUCUGUUGGAACAAAUUACUCUGGUAGAAAAGCCCUACAGGGUUUGAGAAAUCCCAUGAUGUGAUGAUUGUGAGCAUUUUAGACACCGUGUAUGGGUUUAUUUUUUGACUAUAAAAUGUUAAGAUUGUUUCUAGUUUUCGUUUGUAGUGCAUAAAAGGAUUCAAAAUUUGACAUCUGUCUAAAUCAGAUUAAUAACAUGAUAAUGUACAUAUGCAAGAUGUGAGGAAUUGUUUUAUCUCACCCCUAAACUUUAAGAAAUUGAAACAUUAUCAUUCAAAAUAUUUAACAUUUCCAGAAUUGAUAGUUGUCUAUUUGAGCAGUGACUGGUGGUUAUCAUGAACUGAUGUGUGGUUGUGGUGUCAAAUCUUGGUGAAACCUGUUGUCAUCUGCCGGUUAACAUAGCUAGUCUCUGAAAUAAUUUCUUGAUUCACUAAUUAUGAGUUCAAAUUUGAUGCAGGAUGGGCAACCAGCCUACUGCAAACAAAUCUUCUGGAACAGUUCAGAUGAAGGGACAGCCAAUCCAGCAAAACAGCAACUGCUGUGGUUAGCCGAGCCUGUUAUUUUACUACUACAUGUUAGCUGACUGAUUGUAGACAGUUUUAACUAUGUUGACUGCAUUAUCUUAUGAAUCUUUUAAUAUGUCAAAUAUUUAUUUCCUGCUUUAAGUUCUUUCCGUUUAUAACAAAUUUAAUUUCUUGCUUCAUCGCAUUCCAAAUUCCUGUCAAUUUACGAGGGAAAAAGAAAAGAGAGACGAAAUCAGAGAAAAUGGUCAAAUUUGUUAGGGGGAGAGAGCUGUUCAAGUAGUUUCUGUUCUUGUUUAUUGUCGUGACCCUCUUGUAGCUUGUCUAUGACCUGGAAGUCCGGUCAAAUCGGAUGGGUAAAGUUACCAAAACGGCAUCAUUUUGGGUGAAAUAUCAUAUUUAUGUCACACUUUUGAUAAUAAUUUUAAUGCAACAAAAAAUUGUUCGCGGUACCCUUUUCACAUUGUGAAGCGCAUGAUCGGAUGGGAGCAGUCUGGAUUCUGGCAUCACAAGCUAAUGCUUUGAUUUGCUUAGUUUGUUUUUUGUUUCUGAUAUUUUCUUGUCAGUGGGUGGGAUAUUGUUUCACUUUCGAGUUUCCUUUUUUUUUUUUGUUAUGGAAUUUGGAGAUAGUGUACAUGUAUGAAGAUGACGUAAUAAAGUUGUUUUGAUAAAUUCUCCUGGUCGGUUUACUUCACUAACCAUUAAUGCACAAAGCCACCUAAUGACCCUAAAAAAUCCCAUACAUAAUUAAAGAAUUUCAAUUUUUUUUGUUAUGGAAUUUGGAGAUAGUAUACAUGUAUGAAGAUGACGUAAUAAAGUUUUGAUAAAUUCUCCUGGUCGGUUUACUUCACUAACCAUUAAUGCGCAAAGCCACCUAAUGAUCCUCAAAAAUCCCAUUCAUAAUUAAAGAAUUUCAAUUUUAUAUGUACAAAAAUAAAUGACUCAAAUAUAUUAUUUGAUAAUUUCAAAAACAAUAAUUCACUCUAAUAAAUCUCGUAGCAAAUAUAUGAACUGUAUUGCAAGUCUUUUCGAGACUAAUUCAAAGGAAUACGAAUGACAUAUAAUUGACAUUUACCUAUCAUAAAGAACUCUAAAUAAAUUCAUAUAUGCAUCGCAGUUAAUUACAGCCUUGAUACUUCAAUUGGUUUUUGUUAAUUUUCUGUACAGUUAUGCUGUGCAUAAAAGUUUUGUUAAAUGAAAUUGAUAGGUGAAGAGAAUUUUUAGAAGCAGUCAUCAAAGUAAUGAUCAAUAUAAAUAUUGAUUGUCUCAAGUUAGAUUAUACAAAGAUGAAAUAAUGCUAAUAUAGUAAAUUCAAUCAUAAUAAUUUGACUUCCAUUAUAUUAAUUAUGUCCAAUCAUGCUACUUUAAUAAAGAACGCUCGAGCAUUUAUAUGUAUACAACAUACGAAAUUAAUUACAAAACUAUCUUUGACAAAGUCUGACCGGUCAACUAUCCAUCAAAUUUUGUAUUGUGUUACCGUUGAGCUCUUAUGUCAAAUAUGGAUAGACAGUGCUUUGGCUAACAGUGAGAUAUAUGCGAGCAUAAGAGCUUCGUUCUCUGUUUUUACGGUGUUUCUCUUUGUGGUUGUUGGACGAACUCUAAUGUGAAUUUCUAUCUAGUGGGUAUCCUGAUACUCUUAGUUAGUUUGGGAUUGUUGUUUUAUAUAUAAUAUUCAGUAUCCAAAAUUCAUAUGAUGAUAACCUUCAUUACUUUUGUCAUAUUUUCUUUCGUGUUGGUGUUAGUAUCUUAAUUUUGUACCCGAUGUUAAGGACAAUAUAUAGCUAAUUUGAAACUUCUAUAAUUUUACAUAUAUAGACGCAAAUUCAUUUUUAAGAGUGCAUUUAAUCAAGCAGUCCAGAUGUUUAUACUGAGUAAGUGGUUCAAUAUUAAUACAAAACUAUUUUAAGUAACAUGUGGCAUAUUCCAAUUCCAGUGAGCUUCCAACUCAGAUUCCCAAUUCAAAAGAAACGUUUUCAAUUUUCUCCAGAACAUUCUACAAAACGUUUCUUCUAGUCUCUACGCUGUGCUAGAAUUUUCUCUAAGUUUCUUUUGCAAAGACUUUUAAAGAAUUAUCCAAAUACCGAGCUUUCUUAGGGGGAGAGAGCUGUUCAAGUAGUUUCUGUUCUUGUUUAUUGUCGUGACCCUCUUGUAGCUUGUCUAUGACCUGGAAGUCCGGUCAUAUCGGAUGGGUAAAGUUACCAAAACGGCAUCAUUUUGGGUGAAAUAUCAUAUUCAUGUAACACUUUUGAUAAUAUUUUUAUGCAACAAAAAAAUGUUGUUUCACAUUGCUUAGUUUAUUUUUUGUUUCUGAUAUUUUCUUGGCAUUGGGUGGGAUGUUGUUUCUCUUUUGAGUUUCCCUUUUUUUUUUUUUAUUAUGGAAUUUGGAGAUAGUGUACGUGUAUGAAGAUGACGUAAUAAAGUUGUUUUGAUAAAUGCCCCUGGUCGGUUUACUUCACUAACCAUUAAUGCGCAAAACCUUCUAAUGAUCCUAAAAAAUCCCGUACAUAAUUAAAGAAUUUUAUAUUAUUUGAUAUGUACAAAAUUUUAUAUGUACAAAAAUAAAUAACUCUGAAAUAUAUUAUUUGAUAAUUUUAAAAACAACAAUUCGCUCUAAUAAAUCUCGUAAGAAAUACAUAGUCUAUAUUGUAAGUCUUUUCGAGACUAAUUCAAAGAGAAAAUACGAAGGACAUAUAAUUGACCUUUAUCUGUCAUAAAGAAUUCUAAAUAAAUUCAUAUACGCAUCGCAACUAAUUACAACCUUGAUACUUCAUUUGGUUUUUGUUAAUUUUCUAUACAGUUGUGCUGUACAUAAAAGUUUUGUUAAAUGAAAUCGGUAGCUGAGGAUUAAUUAAUCAAUUAAUUAAGAUCCAGUUAAUGUAAUUAAUUUUAUUUGAUUUUUUUAAUUCGAGUUCUAAAUUAAUCAAUUAAUUAGAUUCAUGUGAAAUUGAAGUGAAUUAGUUUCGAUAUGUUUUUCGUCCUAUGUUUGUCUGUGUUUACUCUCACUUUUUUUUUGUUUAAAUUUUCGUUUUCUUAUUGUUUACUGAAUAAAUUUCUGAGCUGUAUUUGAGUAUGAUGAUUGAUUUGUGAUUUUAAUUUGUGACUUUUUUUUUUGGAAUUUAAAUCUGAAUGCUUUUUAAGUUGAAUCUGAUUGUGUUGGGCCGCGAUUUAAUUGAGUGAUGUGUGAGCGCCAAAUUGUGAGAGCCAAAUAUUNNNNNNNNNNNNNNNNNNNNNNNNNNNNNNNNNNNNNNNNNNNNNNNNNNNNNNNNNNNNNNNNNNNNNNNNNNNNNNNNNNNNNNNNNNNNNNNNNNNNNNNNNNNNNNNNNNNNNNNNNNNNNNNNNNNNNNNNNNNNNNNNNNNNNNNNNNNNNNNNNNNNNNNNNNNNNNNNNNNNNNNNNNNNNNNNNNNNNNNNNNNNNNNNNNNNNNNNNNNNNNNNNNNNNNNNNNNNNNNNNNNNNNNNNNNNNNNNNNNNNNNNNNNNNNNNNNNNNNNNNNNNNNNNNNNNNNNNNNNNNNNNNNNNNNNNNNNNNNNNNNNNNNNNNNNNNNAUAAAUAACAUUGCAAUACAAUCUAGCCCUUACGUGUUUAAUUAGCAAUUACACGAACAUUAUAACACUCUGUUGCUGAUGCGGCAGCUAGUAAUUCUUCUGGUGAAGAUAUUAAGGCUGUUAAAGCUAAAAUGUAAUCAGAGAAAUAUAAUGCAUUCCCUUAGUUUGCUUUUUGUUUUUGAUAUUUGUUUGGCUAAUGCUUUGCUUAGAUUGCUUUUUGUUUUUGAGAUUUUAUUGGCUUAGUCAUGGUAUAUUGUUUUCUCUUCUAAUUUUCUAUUUUUGUCGUUAUGGGAUUUGAUGAUGGUGUACACAUACGAAAAUUAUGUAAUAAAGUGCUUUCAAUAAAUCAUGGUCGGUUUACUAUUAAUUAAUUAAAUUUAAUUAACUCAAAUUACUCUUGUACACAACCAAAAUAAUUUCAAUUCUACGAUAUGUAUACACACGCGCACACACAAACAAAAAGUAAUUAACUUUCAAAUAUUUGCCAUGCUAUUUUAAUAAAUAGUACUUGAGAAUAUAUAUAUCCAACAGGUAAAAUUUCAAAACAAUAUUUGCCGAAGUCUGAUGAAGAGAAUAUACACGCACACACAUAUAUAACCGUACAGCAGAAGGAUAAAUAAAAGAAAAUAAAGUUUCAACAGCUGAAUAAUGCAAACUCAUUUUUUUUAACAAGCAUUUUAUUGUUUAAUUUAAAAAAUUCGAAAACCGAUUGGUCUUAUAUACAUGAUAAAGACUCACCGACGCCGAACCAUAUUCAUUUAAAUUAGUUUCAACUGAGAUUUGAUUUGAAAUUACAUACACAAACACGCUCAAUUUAAAAAUAAAAAAUAGUAAUUAUAAAAUAUUUCUGUCGUCCUCCAUUCAAUUAUCAAAAAACGACUUUAUAAUCGAUUUUAACAUAAGGUAUAUGGGUUAACAAGUCCCAAUAUUGUCCUCCAUCCUUUCUGCACUUCUCUUCUAUCAACGGACAUCUCCAGAUCUGUAAUUGCAAAAGUGAGGAAGGCAGGCCCUUCUCCGGAAAGUAUUUAAGCUUGGGACAUCCAUGGAGUCGCAAUUCAGUGAGGUUUUGAAGAUCAACAAUUGAAGAAGGUAGGCGUUCCAGAUUUGAAAAUAAAAGAAUGCUCAGAGAUGUUAGAGAGGCAGGAAGAGGAAGCGCGGUCCCUAAUCUUUUGUCCUCUAGUGGAAAUGACACCAUGUCGUCAUAACAUCCUCCGAUUUCUAGAUGUCGCAUAGAGGAGAAUCUGUGAAAUCCCCGACCCCGCUCAACCAUUGACUUCCAAAUCUCCAUAUUACCCCUGAUAUGAAGUGACUGAAUCUUGGUGGGAAGGCCAUCUUCUUCAAGGCUUGGAAGCUCACCUCCUAUUCUUAAUUCUUGAACAGAAGUCAGGUUGUGCAAUCCCUUGGGUAAGGCCUCUAGUCUCUUGCACCAACGGAUACAGAGCUUAGUGACUUUCGCACAAGGCANNNNNNNNNNNNNNNNNNNNNNNNNNNNNNNNNNNNNNNNNNNNNNNNNNNNNNNNNNNNNNNNNNNNNNNNNNNNNNNNNNNNNNNNNNNNNNNNNNNNNNNNNNNNNNNNNNNNNNNNNNNNNNNNNNGAGACGUGUUGUAGUCCAACCUUUCUGCUAUGGACUCCAGAUUUCCACACAUCUGUAUACUAAUCUUUCGAAGCUGGCGGAGAUUAUGUAAACCACUCGGUAAAAUUUUGAGAUUUUCACAAUGAUAAAUGUUGAUUUUUUCAAGAGAUGUGUUGUUGUCCAACCUUUCUGCUAUUGACUCCAGCUUUGAACAAUGAGAAACAUAAAGGGACUUAAGAGACGGAGGUAGAUUGCCAACUUCAAGGGACUCAAGCGUGGCAGGUAACUCGUUUUUUGAAAAUAUACAUGUCAGUGAUGGACAAUCCCUAAUUUCCAACUCCUCGAGAAGAGAUGAGGUGUACCUUCUGCCGCUGCUACUCUGGAUGCCCUCUUCCACUGUCAAAGUCCUUAUAUUAUCGCAACGCCAGAUCUUCAACUUCUUAAGGCUCGAUGGUAGCUGGACAGCAGCAAUAUAUGUCAACGAACAACAAUACUGAAUAUUCAAGAUCUCGAGAGACGAAUGGGUGUCGCACAUCCAUGCCUCUGGUAACGAUUUCAGUGCAUCACAAUGCCCAAUCUGAAUUUCCUUCAACUUGGAAGGCAGAGCAACCUCAGGAAACGAAACAAGGGAACUGCAGUUGUAGAUUUCUAUCUCUCUCAAGGAACUGAGGCUGAACGAUGAUUGUGGCAGCUUCACAAGGCCUUCGCAUCGGUUCAAUUCUAGAUAUUCAAGUCUGCUUGACAAUUCGCAGAGCUGCUGUUGUUGGUCUUUCUCUUCCUCCGCCACCAAGGAUUGAAGUUUGGGACAUCUGUCAAUCGUCAGUCUUUUGAGAGAGCAAAUGUCUUGCAGUAAUUCGUUAUGACUCUUCCAUACAUAUGUUUCAUUUUCAAUAUUUUUUAUCUCCAAUUCUUCUAGUUUUGGUAUUCGCGGCUUCAAUGGCCCUGCGAGAAACACUUGAUUUGAUGUAUCUCUACAAACCACUGAAUUCUGUGAGCCGAGAUGAUCAGUUGCACUUCUCCACACAACCUUUUUACAUCCAUCCAUCUCUAAUUUGCAAAGAGCUGGAAGAGUCGCAAUUGAAAUUGACAAUUCUUCGCAUUCUACAAUAACAAGCAUCUCCAAUGCAGGAAGGUGCUCUGGAAAUGUUCCUUGUAGUUUAGAACAUCUUAAAAUGUGAAGCUCUCUCAAUUUAGGAAACCCUUCAACUCCCUGACUGGAUCCAUGAGGAAUCCAGUCUUCCCAUUCUUGCAAGUCUUCAAAACAAAGAGUCUCCAAGCAUGGAAAAGGAAUCGGGGAAUCAUUCCCAUAGAACUCUGAACCCAAACUCUUUACUCUACUCAUUCCACUCACUUCAAGAUGCUUUAGAGAGGGUAGUUGCCCGACUGACGGCAGGGUAGUACACACGCCGCAAUCUUGAAAAUCUAAGGUCGCUAAAUUUGAGAAUAAGGAAUCUCCCAACCAAGUUGGAAAUUCUUUACCUCCAUAGCCACCGAUACAAAUUUGUUCCAGAUUUUCAUGAGGUUUUAGCAUGUCGAGCACAUCCUUUUCAGUUUCUGCCUCCCUUGAAGACAAACCAUCGGUACUCCGUGUCCAUCGAAACCUUAACACUUUAAGAUUCUUCUUUCCAUCCAAUUGAGCCUCCUUCGCAUCACCAAUGUCUUUUACGUUCUCCAAUUUUGAAAUGUUAAGUGUCCCACGAAGAUGCGUCAACAAUUUUAGCUCUCGUAUCACGGAACCACUGUCUUCUCCCACAACAAAAUUACACAGCGUUUGAAGGCAAGUCAACUUACCAAUUCCUAGUGGCAUCUCCUCCAAUGAAUCUGUAUUUGAAUUAUCGAGAUGAUGCAAUUUGAUGAGGUUUCCCAUGUCUGCACACAACUUCUUCAGCCGCCGACAACCUUCCAAUAGAAGUGUGUGCAAAUUGUAAAGCUUUUUGACUGAUUCAGGCAGAGUUCUAAUAUCAGUUCCAGAUAGGUUGAGGUACCUUAAAUACCUCAAAUCACCAAUUGAAUCUGGUAGCUCGGAGAUGUGAUAUCCACACAAAGAGAAGACCCUCAAGCGUCGGAGUUUGAACAACUUAGGAAGAAUGCUAUGAGCCAAGUAUCCACGCGAACUAUUUGUCAACAUUACUGGUAAAAAAGUUCGCAAAUGUUGGAUAUCGUACAACUCCUCAAACCUUUUAACACCAUCGUAACCUCCACGAAUGUACGACAGAUGACGAAGAUUUCUUGGAAAGCUUUGUUGCUUGUCAACCUCUGAGAUAUCCUCCAUUCUGAAGUACAUUUCCCCAGCAGCCCAUUCAGCAAGGUCAUUGACGAGGUCAUGCAUCACAAAUCGUGAUAUGCUGUUGCUUGAUUGCUGGAAAAAAGAUCUUGCACGUAGCUCUUGAAAGAACUUUCGACCUAGAUCUUCACUUGGAUUCCCGCUCUCUCCGUGAUCCAAGAAACCCACAGCACUCCAUAAUAAAAUUAUCUCCUCCUCUUCAAAUUCAUAAUCCUUUGGAAACAAUGAGCAGUAUGCAAAGCAUUGUUUCAAAGGUGCCGAAAGAUAAUAGUAGCUCACUCUAAGCGCCGGUAUAAUGUCACAUCUCUCUUCUGGUAAAUCCCAUAUCUUGCAACUGAGCACCCCUUCCCAAUCACUCCGGUCAAGUUUACCACGCAAGAGACCACCAAGAGUUUUCGCAGCUAAGGGCAAGCCGUUGCAUUUGAUCACUAUCUUCUUGCCAAUUUCCUCCAAUAACUUGUUUGAACUGAAAUCUCUUGUCCCCAAAGAGUGUUGAGCGAACACAGACAGACAAUCAUCAUUUGACAACUUUUUCAAUUGAUAAACUGGAGCAGUCCCCAUGAUGGCUGCAACCCCUUGAUUACGAGCUGUGACAAUAAUCUUACUUCCCGGUGCGCCAGCUUCAAAUGGAGGUCUGAGUCGAUCCCAAUCAUUGUAAUUCUCAUUCCAAACGUCAUCUAAAACAAGCAAAAAUUUCUUUCCAGAUAACUUCUUCUUCAGCUCCUCGUGAAGCUUAUUCAAGUCGUGAUUAUCCACAUUCUGGUCACUAGCAAUUGAAAGUAGGAUUGAUUUUGUAAGCCUGAUAACAUCAAAAUCAUCAGAGACGCAAGUCCAUACCUUGAGAUCAAAAUGACCCUGCACUUGCUUAUCAUUGUAGACAAGCUGAGCGAGAGUGGUUUUGCCCAUCCCGCCCAUACCUAUAAUUGGAAUAACAGAGAAUUCACCAUCAUUUCUCAAAUCAUCCCUCAACAACAAUUCAACAAUUUCCUUCUUUUCGAUUUCCCUGCCAUAUACUUUGGCUUCCUUCACCAAAGAGGUUGUCUCUCGCCUUUUCCUGUCUUUUUUGGACCUUCCAACUGAACUUACGUUCAAACCGAGCGAGUCUUUCUGUGUUACAAUAUCUUGAAAUCCGUCGUUGAUCUCUUUGAUUUUGGACAUUAUGGUGUAAUCGAACUGAAUCGAUUGUGGAGUAAAAGUGGUGCAGCAAGUAGGAAUGAGCUUCCGAAACUUACUUGUUCUUGUACGACUGCUACUGGGUUGAUCAAGAGCAGCAGCUGGAUCUCGAUUUCCAAGCAGCAACUUCCUCCCGAAAGCCUCAGUUUGAAACUCAUCCAGCAAGUCUUCAACAUCAAAAGCCAAGUUCUGAAGCUCGGCAAGCCACAACUUCACAGACUGAUCAGUCUUCUUCUCCUCAGCAUCAGCAAGCACCGCCUUGAUCAUCACCAACAUAUUCUUCCACUUCUUUAGGUCGGCUUGGAUUUGCUCUUGGCGUGCAAACAGCCGAAUCCCCUCUGAAGCUAACUUAUUGACCAGCAAAUCAACGGACGCCGUAAGGAUUGCCUCUCCGAUGAAUGACAUUUUUUUCUUCUUUUUCUUUUUUUUGGUUUUGCAAAGAAAGAAAGGAGCAGAAUUAUGGGUUAUGGAAAGCAGAAUGAGAAAAUGGAUAAUUAAGCAGAAUGAGUUUGUGAUUGUGAAGGGUCUGGCCCAGCAAUCUUAGUAGAAAUCACGCGUUUAUACUUUAUUGACCAAUGACUAAUAAUUUGGCAAUUCACUCAUCACCACCACUUGGUAAAGCAAAAUAAAAAUGCUUAGUAAUUAAGUGUCAAGGGUCAAGCAAAAUACGACGCAAAAUGUGUCAAGGGUCUCCCCACUACUUGUUCCUUGCAGCUUAGAAAAGAAAAACAGAGCCCACCACCCAUUAAUAUUUAGCAAUUCACCAAUCAUCACCACUUGUUACGAAACCAUCUCAUCAACCAAGUUCGUAGGUCGAGCAGUUAAUCCAGUGUCUAUUUCCUAGAACCUUCAUCUCAUAAACCAAGUUCAAUCAAAACGUUCCUCUCUCGCUAUUUUUUUUUUUUCAAAACUCCUAAAACGUUUUCUUUUUAGAAAUAUUUUACUUUAUUCAUCUAAUAUGUUAUCUAACAAAUAGACACAAUUGAAAUCACUCUAAAGUGAAGAUGAAAGGGGAAAAAAAUAACCUUCCAACCACCAGUAAUUUUGCAAGCUUCACUUUAUUCCACCAAAGUGUAAAUAAAGCCAGCCCCCACCACCAUCAAUAAUUUUGCAAGCUUCACACGCUUGUUGUCUUCUCCUUGACGAACUGGACAUGAGUGGACCAAGAAUAAUCAAUGACAGGAUUUUCAAAAUAAUAAUAAGAGAAAAACCUACACAUUUUCGGCUUAGAGUAGAACCGUAAUUAAUGCUAAAAUCUACUCAGCUAACAUUUUCAAAAUAUUAUUCUUUAUGAUUUUCAAAACCGUGAUUAAGGUUCAUCUCAAAUGUUUGAAGAGAGUCUAACAGUUCUUCUACGCUAAGAAUAUCAAAAUUCUUACUUUUUCUUCAAACGUUGAAUAAUGAAAAAAAAAAUUGAAUAUGGAGGAAAAUAGAAUGCAUCCAUCUUUGCUAGAAGUCUUCUACUUAUAAAAGCAAGUUAGAAUAAACGAUUUUAAUCUCUCUUUUUAUUCCUGUAAGUGCACUACAUUUUUUUUUUUAAUCUCAAUGCGAAGUCGUAUCAUAAUGUUAUAUUCCUAUUGUAAAACAAAAUUUUAGAUAAAAUAAAUUCGACUCAUUUUUUAAAGGUAUAUAUUUAGUAGGUUACUAACAUAACUAACAAAUCGUGAUUAUUACACUAAAUGGAAUAAAAGACAGUACUAUCACCAAUAAUUUAGCAAGUUUCGCAUGCACGUGUUGCUAGAAACAUUAUAUGGAAUCAAACGACAGUGAUACAAAGAGAAAAGUGGAAAUCCUCUGAUUGUAUUUUUUUUUCUUUUUCAGAAGAAAUGGUGGGGUUGGUUUGUUUGCAAAGUUAUUAGCGUGGGUCUAUUUGUUUUUGUUUUAACUUUAUUAAUCAAUAAGCAAACAUGUAAUGAUUUGUAUAUAUCAUUAGCAUCACAUUAUUGGGAGGUAUUGCGCUUAGUAUUCAUAAUUUUUGUAAGAUGAAUUUGGAAGACUUAUUAAUUUUGAUGAAAAUGUAUCGGUGUUAAGAUAUUAUUUAAUUCAUUAAGUUAACUUGAGGAAAAGCAAAAUGAGAAAAUUGAGCAAUUCACCAAUUGGCAAUAUUUGUUUAAUUCAUCAAAUACUUGUAUCUCAUCUCACAAAUUGGCCAUAUUUGUUUGGUAUUUCAUCUCAACAGACGCAGUAAGGAUUGCCUCUCCGAUGGAUUGACAUUUUUUUUUUGUUUUGCAAAGAAAGAAACAGAAUUUUGAGUUUUGAAAAGCAAAAUGAGAAAAUUGAACAGUAAGUGUGGAGGGUCAAGCAAAAUGCGCGUAACAAGUCUUCCGCUUCUUGUUUAUUCCAGUAAAGCGAGAAUAAAAUCAGAGCCCACCACCCAUUAAUAAUUGAGCAAUUCACCAAUCACCAGUCGCCACCACUCGUUACCAUGAAUAUAAUAAAUUGCACCUCCAUAUUUGCAGGGUCCAGCAACAUUGACCCAGUGUCCGGGUAAAUGCUUAAUAACGAGGAAAAUGGAAUGUAUCCGCUACGAACCUUCGCUUUACAAGUCUUCAAACUCAUAAACCCAGUUAAAUCAAAACGUUUAUCUCUCUCUCUCUCUUUUUGCCAUAUAAUUACUUUAUUUAUUGAAUUAAUUUCCAUGCUAAAAGGAAGACUUAAAACUGCACUACAAUUUUUUAUAAUCACAAUGGUAAUUUCUACUAUCAUGUUAUUUUAAUAUCGUGUUAAAAUAAAUUAUUACAAAGUUUUUUUUAUGAACACUCUUUUUAUUUAUAAAUUUUUUAAUUUUUAAUAUUUUUCUUACUCUUUUAAUCUUAAUGUUUGUAUUUCGCUCUUCAAAUUUUUAUUAUUAUUUAAUUUUUAAAGAAAAAUAUGAAAAAAAAAUAAAAAAAAUAUUAUACUUAAAAAAUAGUGAAUAUUUUAUGGGUCUAAUACAAACCUGUAUUGUUUUUGACAAUGAAAGAGCACGCGAAAAAUCUCACUCAUAGAAAAUUUAGUGAAAGGCAUUUGAAUGUGUGGCCACAUUUUCCGAACGAAACGAUAAGGCUUUAGCCUUAUAAUUGCAAUUAGUUUGUCUUGUAACUAAAUUAUUGCCGACAAGCACCAUCAUGCUGACAAACCGUGCAUGCACGUCCUCAAUCACCCACGUCCUCUACUUGUGUGCAAUAUUUCCCAUUACUUCCCGUACUUUAUGCAUUAUUGUUUUGUAUGUCUUUUGUUGUUUACGGUGUAGUUAGGGAUGGUAGCGGGUUGGGUCUGGUACCGGUUUGACAUCACCAAACCCGCAUCUAAAAAAAAUUUAAUUACGUAAUUUAAAUUAUAAAUUUAUAACCGUUGCCUAAAAAAACCACAUAAAAUACUUAAUUCUACAUUUUAUCAAUGUAAAUGAGAAAUGAAAAUAUCAACAUUAAAACAAAUACAUAAAAUGUAUCAAUUUAACACCAAUUCUCAAAUUCAAUUACCAAAUAAAUAAGUACAGUGUAGCACUAAAAUAUAAUAUUUAAAUUAAAUUAAUCACAAAAAAUUAAUACAAUACAGUGUAGCACCAAACAUUGUACAUUAUUAUUAUAAUACAGUACUAAUACAACGCAACAUAAUACAAUACACCAACAUUAAAAUAAUACAAUCUAAUAUAAUACAAUACAGUGUGCGAAAUGCACCGACAUGGUAUUACUUUGUUUGUCUCGUUAUUUACAAUUAUUUAAUCUGUAGACCCACUCAUGCUCCUUCUAUGUAACAUAGAUGCAAUUUGAGGAAGAUUAUCAAUUUUUUCUGACUAAAAAUAAUAUAGACCACUUAUUUUUUAUUGUUUUUAUAAUGUUCAACAAUUCGCUUGAGAUCAAAAAAUUAAAUGAAAAGGAGUAAAUAGAUGAUUUACUUGAUGUUGUAUCUUAGAAAUAUAAAAUAUAUUUAUUUAUUAUUAAAAAUAUUUAAAAAUAAUAAAGAGUACAUAAAAAGUAUCUUAUCCUCAACAACAAGAUCAGACGACGUCAAUUCAGCAAAAUGACUUGAAUAACUUGAAAGUCCAGCAGCCGUCACCUCUUGGCGCACACAUGGCAACGUGCGUGGCUUUGGCAAGAGGUCUCCCAAAAGGACGAUUAAGAAAGAUUGCAGGACAAAUCAUGAAAAUAGUAGUACAGAUAUGCAAUGGCUAAAUUUCCUCGAUUAAGUCCAUCACAAUCAAGUCUUAGAAAUCACACCCCUGUAUUAAUUUCCAGAAAUAUGUUUGUUCCAUAUUUAUCGUGCACGUAUAUAUUGUAUGUAUUGGGAAUAGAAAGAGUGUAUGUAAAAAAUUCUUCAUUCAUCGAUUAAAACUUAAUUUAUGUACAAGGGUUAAGUGUAGUGUUUUUAAAUUUAAAAAGGACAAGUGUCAAUCCACUGAGGCUUGCCUCAAUGGCUAGAGCCACACUCCCUCACAAAGUGGUUCGAUCUCCCACAAAUACAUUAUAGAGGUUUAAUUUAAAUUUUUUUCCUCAAAUUUUGAGUGAAGACAGUUUUUCUUCCAGAAAUAGAAUUUUUCUGAGAGUUUGACGCCCCUCAAAUAUUUGAGAUGAUUAAAAUUUGAGCGGUGCUAUAUAAAAUAUAAUGUAAACUAAUCUAAAUAAUUGUAUAAUUAUAAAUAUAAUGAACAAUAGUCUCAUACAAAAAAAUGACAAGUGUAGUAAGCCCAUUUAAAUUAACUUAUAUUUGAGGGGAAAAUCUCUGUAUAUCAUAGUAUAUAUUAUAUAUCCAGUCGUGGGACCCAUACAUGGUUCCAUGUAAUUCGGCACAGUUGAACUGGAGACACUGAUUAGUUCGUUGUCUAUUUGCCAACUUAUGUACAACUAAGUAAUUUCAUGCACCAUUUGCGCCUUAUCUAUCCAGCCUGCUUGCAUUGCAUUAACUAAACAUACAAUGAAAUUAACCCUUGUAAUUUCGGCCUUUGCCAUAGUCGUUUUGUUUAUUAGGUUUAUGUUUAUCAACAUGAUAUGUUGUCAACCAUAAUCACAAUCAAGUUGUUAAUUAUUUUUUAAAUAAUGUGAAGGAACAAGAUUUUGGUCUUUGAGUGUGGAGUUAAAAAUAUCUCACCUCAACAUACGGUGUUGUGCUCUCAUCAUCUUAACAUUAUUUGUUAAAAAUUAUGUCAAAGAGGAAAGCAGAUUCAAACAUUACUUCAAUUUUCUUUAAGAGCAUAAAAAUAUCGUUAAUAGGCUACUGUUAUUUGUUAGUACGAUUUCACAAAAGGAAGCUAGAGGAAGAUGAAGCUCUCAAGUCAUGUAUGCAUCAAAGUAAGAAACAGAGCUAAUGAGAGAUGGACAAUUUUAAAUAUGUCAGCAUUUUGUCAGUUCUGGCCAUAUUUUGAAAGAUUAGAACCCUAAUUUUCUUUUGAAGCUCCUUUUAUGUCGAAAUCUAUUUUAAUUUCCAAAAUAUCUUUUUCCAUUUUUUUAGUUUCUUUCUGAUUAAAAAAAAAAUCAGUUUCUUAAACAACUCCAACUACAAAUAUUUUUUUACAAAUUUUUGAAUUAUUAAAUCAUAUGUGCGUGUAUAAAUUGAAUAGAAUUAAAAGUGGACUCAAAUAGAUAUUAUGUAAUUUUUUUAUAAUUAAAGAAAAGUUUAGAAUGCAAAAGUGUGUGUGAGAAAACAAAAAAAUAUAAAUCGCCUUUGAUAUAAUUAUAUGGUUGUAAAAAGUUAGAUGGAGAAAUAUAGUAUAUAAUUAAAUUUAUUUUGUUCCUUAAAACGGGUAGGUUUUAUAAGAAUUUUCCAGAGGAGCGCCAAUAUUUCAGCUUUUUUUUUCAAAUGAAGUGAUGUCCUGGAAUAAAAUCACUACUCUAUCAUUGCUAUUAGUUUGUCUUGUAUUUCAAUAAUUGCCGACAAGUAUUAAUUGUGAAUAUUAUUAUUAUUAUCGUCGUUAUUCUUAACAGCAAUGACUAGAAUUAUAAUAAUAACAAUAACGUUAAUACAAUAAUAUAACAACAUAAUAAUAUUUUAAUUGAGAGGAUAAAAAUAAAAUUAUGAAAUUUAGGUUGGAUAAAAAUGGUGAGUAUGAAGAAAUUAAAUUACUAUUUUUUAAGUUAAACAGUUCAUAAAUUUCACAUAUUUCAUUCUUAUUUCUCUUAUAUUUUAACAAAUAAACAUUACCAAUCGUUUUAAUAUUUUAAUUAAUAAACACGGCAUUAACUACGGAACUAAAAGAUCCCCAAAAAAAAAAAAAAUAGAGACGCGUGUAUGUAUUGCUUGUGACAAAUCUCACCCAUGGAAAACUUUGUGAAAGGCAUUUGAAUGUGUGGCCACAUUUAAUGAACGAAACGAUAACUUUAAAAGAAAGUAUGUAAUGUGUUAAUUAUUAGGCUUUAGCCUGAUGAUUGCAAUUAGUUUGUCUUUUAAUUAAAUUAUUGCCGACAAACACUAUCACGACCCACGUCCGCUACUUGUGUGAAUGUGUGUAUAAAUAUCCGCAGCAUAUUAUCAAACCUGAUGCGUGAUCAUCUUUAAGUUUUGGUUAGGGUUCAUCAGACGUUGGAAGAUAUCUUUCCUAAUUUGAAGAAGAUGGAAACUCCUUAUCCAGGUUCUUAGGCCAUGUUCAGUUGAAUGUCAUUUAUAAUUUUUAUUUUAACAUUAUGUAUUCAUGAAUACAAUUAUUGUUAUGAUUUUUUCAGGUAAGAAUGGAUGGUCUGAUAGUAACCCAAUAACUAUGUACAAUAUUAUUAAUGAUGAGAGUGUGAAUGACAAUUUGGAUUUUAUUCUCAUCCCUCAAUACGGGAAAAAUCUCGACUAUAGUGGUUAAAUGUUAUGUAACUCUUUCGUAUUAUAUUUAAUUAAAUAAAAUGAUGAGUUAUUAUUACUUAUCAAUCAUUUGAGUGUUUCUGCUUGAUUUAAUUCAACUUAUAAAAUCUCUUGAGAUAUAUAAGAGAUUUUCUUUAUUCACUUUCAUGUACCGCGUCUUCUUAUAAAAAGAAAUUAAUAAAAAAAAUAUCAUUAUGUGCAAUGUAUUGACUAAGUUACAAGAAAUUAAUAAAAAAAAUAUCAUUCUGUGCAAUGUAUUGACUAAGUUAGUGUAUUCACGUUAGCUUAAUUGUGCUCUCUCUUCUUGAUAUUUAAAAAAAAAAAAAAACUCCACGUAUUGUUGGUUAGCUAAUUCUUGCAGCUAGCAAGUGAUCCUUUUCUUUCCCCUACUGUCGUAGCAUCAAAUCCUUACAAUUACAUAUCAAGUGGUAUUCGAGCCGUCAAAUGAUCCAUGGAAACACGCAACAAAUCAAAUGCUGAAUUUUGCGAAGAGAUUCACGAAAUCCUUGCUAUACAUUGAAAUACAAGUAUGCAACCCAAGAGGGGGGGGGUGAAUUGGGAUUCUAAAAAAUUAUUCAAUUUAUUAAAGAAAAUCUUAAUGCAAUUAUAAAUCAAAUUCAAAGCAAUAACAAUUAAGAUGAUCACAAUUUAAAAAGAUAAGGGAAGAGGGAUUCGAACACCGAGAUUUUUACGUGGUUCGGCCAACCUCGCCUACGUCCACGCCUCCAAGCUUUCCGGGCUUGAGGAUUCCACUAAGCAAGCCUCCAAGGCUUCAAAUGCUUACACUUGACUUCCAAGGUGUCAAUGGACCUUUACAACAAGAGAUUAUCCCCAAUCUCUUAACCCAAGUGUAUCCCAACACUUACAAUUACUCAAAGUAAAAGAUUACAAAUUGUUUUUCUCUCACACAAUAUUUAAGAUUACAAAUCAAUGCCCAAUUUGUGAAUAGAUGAAGAGAGAAUGUGUUUUAAGCUCUAUGAAGAUUGUAUUCUCAAAUAUUUGCUCAAUGGUCGUGUUGUGUUCAAUCUUUGUUUGAAUUUGAAUGAGCUUAUUUAUAGAUGCAGCUGAAAACUAGCCGUUAUUGACUUUCUGCACACUGUCGGAUCACCGUUAGCUAGAUGUCGGAUCGCCGUUUGACUGGUCAAUAUGACCGUUGGGUUGAUUUUUCAAAUUGUCGGAUCGCCGUUAUCUAGAUGUCGGAUCGCCGUUUAGGUCCAGAGGCUACUGGUUGAUAUCGGCGAGCCGUUUAUCACACAUGUCGGUUCGCCGUUAAUGUCCAGAGACUACCCUUCAGUUCUGGUUGAUAUCGGCGAGCCGUUUUAUCAACAUAUCGGAUCGCCGUUUAGGUCCAGAGGCUACUGGUUGAUAUCGGCGAGCCGUUUAUCACAAAUGUCGGUGUGCCGUUUUCGUCCAGAGGCUAAUCUCCAUUUCUGCUUGAAAUCGGCGAGCCGUUUACUACAGAUGUCGGAUCGCCGUUUUCCACAAAAACUGCUGCAGUGAACUAUUUUGCAAGAUGACUGUUUUGUCUCCAAAUCUUUAUAAAAAUACUUUAUGAAACUUGUCAAAAUAGAUGAAAAUUAUGUUGAGCUUUUAAAACAAUUAAUCAAUCUUAAUCAUGUUUGUUAUCAUCAAAAUCAAUAAGGAAUAAUUUAUGUCAACAAUCUCCCCCUUUUUGAUGAUGACAAACUUUUCAAGAAAAUAUUUGUGCAAUUUUGCUCCCCCUAAAUAUGUGCUCCCCCUAAGUGAAAUUUUGAAAGACUUGUUAACUCCCUUAAAAAAAAUAUUCAACUGUUAAUCUCAAAAUUUUAAACACGAAAUUUAUGCCAGUAAACUCAUGCAUGCCAAUACUAUUUUGCCAAAACCAAUUUCGCAUUUUGCCAAUUGCCAAUUUCUCUCCCCCUUCAUCAUCAAAAAGAAAGAGACGCGAUGAAUGACUUAUGUUUGGAGAAAUUUGGGCAGAGUCUCCCCUGAAAUAUGAGCAUUUCCUCAACAACACACUAAGUUUAAAAAGAGAAACACUUCCAUAUAAAUAUACCACCAUAUCAACCAACCUCCAUACCAACAAAUUCACACUUCCAGAAAGAGCAAUAUAAUCAAUAUAAUACCAAAAACAACUUGAGCAUAAAUCAAGAGCACAUGUCCAACAUGAGAUAUCAGAAGCAUAAACACAAAAUAAAUAACAUCAUAUGCAUAAGGCAAAUAACAUGAAAUGAGAAAUGUCUGUGCGAAUAUCAUAGGGACAGAGAAAACUAAGAUGGAGGCUGUGAAGACGAACUGCCGGGGUCAUAUCCAAGGUGGCCGAGAAUGCGACGCUGUCCUGCAAUUAACUCCAUCUGCUGAUCAGAAAUUUGCUCCCGAAAGGUUGCAAAAUCAGAUCGAAGCUGCUACUGCUGCUGGGACAGGGCAUCUACUCGGUCGAGAAGCUGCUGGAAGCGAUCCUCAGGAACAGCUGAUGCCGCAGGAGGGACGGCAGUCUCGGUAGGCUCGUCAUCCUGAGAUGCAUCUGCUGCUGGUGAAACAGGAGCUGCUGGUGCUGCUGCUCGGCGAGGAACACGCGGUCUAGCCCCAAGACGGAAAUCAGGCAGCUCAUCCUCGGAGUAGACAUCAUUCAGCAUGCGAUCAUCCUCGGGUGCAAUCAGUGUGGCUUCGUUUUUGGAGGAUGUGGUCUUUUCCCAUUUCCCACGCUUCUUAAAGAAACCAAUGGCAGAAAUAAUGUCUCGACCGAGCUUACGAGUUUCGAGAAAAACAGGCUCGACGAUAGGAACAUGAAAGUGGUUCAGGAUCCUAGUGAUGAUGCUGCCAUAAGGAAGGGAUCGGUUGGAGACUUUAGGAGUGGACAGCAUAUGACACAUAAUAGUGUAGGAUAGGCUCACAUGGCGUCUACGGAUGAGAGAGUCUAAAAGACCAAUAUCAAGCCUAGUGACCUCAUCAGUGUGCCCCUGUCUAGGAGUGACCAUGUGUUGGAGAAUAAUGUGAAGUAUUCGAAUCUGAAAAGGGAGGAGUUGAGACCUAAAGGACAAAGAGCAGAUGUCAUCGGAAAGAUCCCGACGACGACAAAUGUUCCGUACACCAUCCACAUGACGAAAAUUACUGAACUCUAGUUCUUUCCUAGAGGUGUACAGAUCUAAUCCUCCAUAAGCGAUUCCUAGAAUACUACAUAAUUCGGGUUCAUCAAGCUCAAUACGAAUACCUCCUACAAAUGUAUGAAGCUCGUCACGACUAGAAGAGGAGAAAUCUAUGUUUGAAUAAAAGACUCGAACAAGAUUUUCAUAAAUAGGUUCAUCAACACUUAAAGCUUGAUUCCAAUGACUAAGCAUUUGAGUAAUUGAGUGACCACAAACAGAAAUAUCCGAGAACUCCGAAAUGUUAAGAGAAAAAGAGGGAGUUACGGGUUUACCCAUAAACUUCUCACGGAAUCGCUGAGCAGAGGUAGCAUCGGGAAAAUGAAGACUUUCGAAGUCUUGAGGAGGAGACCUGGGUGGACUGGAACGGCGUGAAGCAGUGUGCUUGGUUCGAACACGCCUUGGAGGUCGUUCCGCCAUGGAUGAGAAAAAUUGUGAAAAUGAAGUUUUAGAGAUGAGAUAGUGAUUUGUGGGUGAAAAUGUGGUUGGAAAGACGAAGAAAUUUGGGUCAAAGUGAACGAAUGAGAGUCGGCUGGUUCUAGGGUUUCAAGAUGAGAUUUUUCAAAAUUUGAAGAAAAAAAAAAAAGGAAUUUGAAUCGGUUAAAAGGUGUUAGAGAUGAUAGAAAUGGUUUGUAAUGCUUCAAUUUGGUGAAAAAAAUGACAAGAAAAGUGAUGGAUUUGAGAGGAGAGAACUGGUGCAGUCGCGGGUUGAAGUGAGAGAGAGAGAGAAAGAGAAGCCGAAAUGAGGAGGAAGACGAAGGACUGUUCAAUUAACGCGUGAUAACGGCGAGCCGUUAUAAAGAAAACGGCGAGCCGACAGAGUCCAGAGAGUCCUCAAAACAAAUUCAUAAAAACGGCGAGCCGCUUAUAUCAAUAACGGUGAGCCGAUAGGGUCCAGAGAGUCCACACAAGAAAAAUGUAACAGGACGGCGAGCCGAUAGACAGAUAUCGGCGAACCGAUAGCUUCCAGAAAGCGUUCCAUUGUUUCUGCCCAAAACGGUUAGCCGUUUAUUUAAAUAACGGCGAUCCGUUUUCUACAACCUAUGAUUUCGCACAUGUAUUUUGAUAUUUGGCUACUUAUUAAUACAUUUCAAGAUCAUUUUAUUGAUCCAAAAUGAUUUGAGUGCCAUUUCAAUGCAUAAUUCAUGAAUAUAUAUAUAUGUAUUGCAAUAAUUAAUUCAUACAUUUUCAAAUAUACAUACACAUUACAUGCAUAUUACGAUUGAGCAUUCCAUAGAAAUUAAAGCAUCAAGUCAUAGAUCAAUCAAUAAUAAUAGACUCAAUAGCAUGAAUGAAGAUGUUAAUGUGAAAAUUUCAUCAUCCCAAGUUCAUGCCGAAUUUUGGAAAAUUGUUCUUCGCAAAGAGGUUUUGUAAAAAUAUCGGCAAGUUGUUUUUCCGUAGAAAUAAACUCUAGUGCAAUGUCUCUCUUUUGAACAUGAUCUCUCAAGAAAUGAUGUCUUAUUUCUAUAUGCUUGGUUCGAGAGUGUUGAAUGGGAUUCUUUGAAAGAUUAAUAGCACUAGUAUUAUCACACUUAAUAGGAAUUUGUUCAAGAUUAAUGCCAUAAUCUCUAAGUGUUUGUUUCAUCCAAAGAGCUUGUGCACAACAACUUCCGGCAACUAUAUAUUCAGCCUCGGUAGUUGAAAGUGCGACAGAAUUUUGUUUCUUGCUAAACUAUGAAACAAGAGAGUGUCCUAGAAUAUAGCAAGUUCCACUAGUGCUCUUCCUAUCCACUUUAUAACCAGCAAAAUCCGCAUCCGAAAAACAUGUUAAAUCUAUAUGAGUUCCCCUAGGAUACCAAAGGCCAAUAUCUAUGGUUCCACUCAAAUAACGGAAAAUUCUUUUAACAGCGAGCAAAUGAGAUUCCUUGGGACAUGACUGAAAUCUUGCACACAAACAUACACUAAACAUGAUAUCGGGUCUACUUGCAGUCAAAUAAAGUAGGGAUCCGAUCAUACCUCGAUACAUUUUGAUGUCCACUUCUUUACCUUUUUCAUCUUUGUCCAGCUUGGUUGUUGUGCUCAUUGGUGUAUUUUUGGUCUUUGAGUCAUUAAUGCCGAAUCGUUUGAGUAGAUCUUUUACGUACUUGGCUUGAUUUAUGAAGAUUCCUUCCUCGUUUUGUUUGAUUUGAAGUCCAAGGAAGUACUUCAACUCUCCCAUCAUACUCAUCUCAAAUUCUUUGCUCAUACACGAUGAAAAUUCUUUACACAACAACUCAUUAGUAGAACCAAAAAUAAUAUCAUCAACAUAAAUUUGAACAAUAAGUAUGUCUUGGUUCUUAUGCUUAACAAAUAGAGUAGUAUCCGCUUUACCCAUUGAAAAGUCAUUUUCCAACAGAAAAUUCUUAAGUCUAUCAUACCAUGCUCUAGGUGCUUGUUUUAAACCAUACAAAGCUUUAAGCAACUUAUAAACAUGAUUUGGAAAUUUUUCAUUUUCAAAACCAGGGGGUUGUUUUACAUACACUUCUUCCAUAAUAUGCCCAUUUAGGAAAGCACUUUUCACAUCCAUUUGAAAUAAAAUAAAAUCUUUAUGACAUGCAUAUGCUAAUAACAUCCUAAUGGAUUCUAACCUUGCUACAGGAGCAAAGGUUUCAUCAAAAUCAAUUCCUUCUUCUUGGUUGUAGCCUUGAGCCACUAAUCUAGCUUUAUUUCUUACAAUCACACCGGAUUCAUCCAUCUUAUUCCUAAACACCCAUUUAGUACCUAUUACAGAUUGAUAUUCAGGUUUAGGAACUAAUUCCCACACAUUGUUUCUUUCAAAUUGAUUUCACUCCUCUUGCAUUGCCAUAAUCCAAGAUUCAUCAUUUUCUGCAUCCUCAAAGGAUUUUGGUUCAAUUUGAGAGAUGAAUGCAUUAUGCUCACAAGUAUUUCUAAGUGAUGAUCUAGUUGUAAUACCUCGUGAGGGAUCUCCUAAAAUUACAUCUUUAGGGUGAGAAGAGACAUACCUCCACUCCUUGGGGAGUGUUUGAGAAGUACCUUUAUUUUGCUCUGCAUUUAGUUCUUCAUGAUGUUCCUCUUGAAUUUCAUGUGGUGCAUCCUCUUGUUUGUCAUUUGAUGCUUCUUCUUCUUGUUCUUCUUCUCCUGCAUCAUCAUCAACAACGACUUUCUCCGUAGAGGAGGGGUUAGACUCAUCAAAUGUCACAUGCAUAGAUUCUUCCACAACUAAGGUUCUUUUGUUAUAGACUCUAUAAGCUUUACUAGAAUUUGAAUAACCAAGAAAAAUACCAACAUCGGAUUUUGGAUCAAAUUUACCAAGAUUGUCUUUUGUGUUCAAAACAAAACAUUUGCAUCCAAAAACUUUAAAAUAUCCAAUGUUGGGUUUUCUAUCUUUCCAAAGCUCAUAAGGAGUUUUGUUAAGAUUAGGUCUAAUCAACACCCGAUUUAAAACAUAACAAGCGGUGUUGACGGCUUCGGCCCAAAAAUAUUUUGGUAAUGCAUUUUCAUUUAAUAUGGUCCUAGCCAUUUCUUGAAUAGACCUAUUCUUUCUCUCAACAACUCCAUUUUGUUGUGGAGUUCUAGGUGAUGAAAAUUGAUGCUCAAUGCCUAGAUUAUUGCAAAAACUCUCAAAUGCAUGAUUUUCAAAUUCUCCUCCAUGAUCACUCCUAAUGCAUACAAUACCAUGCCCUUUUUCAUUUUGUAAUUUCUUACAAAGCACUUUAAAAGCAUCAAGAGCAUCAUCCUUAUUGGCUAAGAAUAAUACCCAUGUAUAUAUAGAAUAAUCAUCCACUAUCACAAAUGCAUAAUAUUUGCCAUUUAGACUUGCAUAUCUAGAUGGCCCAAAAAGAUCUAUGUGAAGAAGUUCAAGUGGUUUUGAAGUAGAAAUAUGGUUUUUAUUCUUGAAAGAAGUUUUAAUUUGUUUUCCAAAUUGACAAGCUUCACAAAUCUUAUCCUUUUGAAAACCAAUUUUCGGAAGACCUUUAACUAAAUUAUCUUUCAAAAUUUUUGAAAUCAAAUCCAUACUUGCAUGUCCUAACCUUCUAUGCCAUAACCAACAAUCAUCAUGCAAUGCCGAAAAACAUUUAUCAAGAGUAGAUGCACAUUCUAUGUCAAUGAUAUAAACAUUACCACAUCUAUUUCCAACAAAUAAGGUUUUGCCAUCACAUGAGUUCUCAAUAACACAACUAAAUUUAUCAAAGAUAACUUUAUAACCUUUGUCACAUAAUUGACUAAUGCUAAUUAAGUUGUGUUUCAAGUUUUCAACCAAACAUACAUUCUCAAUUAGAGUUGAAGAAACUUUACCAACAUUUCCAAUUCCAAGGAUUUUUCCUUUUGAGUUGUCUCCAAAGGAUACGUCUCCACCAUUUUCAAUUUUGGUAAAGCUUGAGAACCAUGCAUAGUUUCCGGUCAUGUGCCUUGAACAACCGCUGUCCAAGUACCAUUUAUUCUUCUUCUUCUUCAAGCCCUACAAGAAAAAGUCUCAAGUUUUAGGUACCCAAAGCUUUUUGGGUCCUUGAGAGUUAGCAACUGUUCCUUUUGGAACCCAAAUGCACUUGACACCAUAAUAUGCAUUCCUUUUCACGGGACAUCUAAAUUUCAUGUGACCAUUUUGAUUACAAUAAUGACAUACAAUCUUAUGAUCAUUUGUGGAGGUAGCUUUAACAAAAUAAUUCUUAUAAUACUUUUGCUUCAAGUUUGGCUUAUAUCCAAGUCCUCCUUUAUCAAAAACACAUUUUUGUGAGUUAAGCAUAUUAUCCAACAUCUUUUGCCCAUUUGUAAAUUUCAAAACAAUUUCAUUUAAUUCAUUAUUCUUUUUCUUGAGCAAUUCGUUCUCAUUUUUCAACUCAUCUAUGUGUGAUUUCAAAUGCUCAUGUAAGAUGCUAGGUUUUUCAUUUGAUAAUGCAAUUUCAUCAUGCAAUGUUUUGUUUCCUACUUCUAGGCAUACAAUUCUUGCAUUUAGAGAUUCAUUUUCAUUUUUAAGCUUUGCCAUUUCCUUUUUAAGACAUACAUUCUUUUUACCAAUUUUCAUCAACUCAUUAUGCAAAUCUUGAAAAGCAUCAUAUAAUUCAUCAUAGGUAGGAUCACUUACCUCAUUGAGAUCAUCAUCCCCUCCUAUAGCCAUGAGUGCUAGGUUUGAUACUUCUUGCGAUCCUUCUUCAUCAUUUGUUCUUCCUCACUAUCAUCCCAAGUUGCAACCAUUGCUUUCUUCUUGAGUUUGUUGAUGAGUGGGCACUCCGAUCUUAUAUGUCCAGGCUUCUUGCAUUCAUAGCAAGUGAUUGCCUCCUUCUUCUCCCUAUAGUUCUUGAAGUUUCUGAAAUUUCUUCGCUCUCCGGUUUUCUUGAAGAAUUUUUUGAACCUCCUUGCUAGCAUGGCUAGUUCUUCAUCAUCCGGUUCACUCUCCUCAUCACUCUCAUAUUUUGAAGCUUUGAGAGCAAUGCUUUUCUUCUUCUCCUCAUGUCCUUUUUCUGCAGCUAAAUCCUCUUCAUACGAAAUAAGAGAACCAAUUAAAUCAUCAAGAGGUAAAGUAUUUAAAUCUUUGGCCUCUUCAAUAGCGGUUCUUUUAGGUCUCCAUUCUUUUGGAAGUGACCUAAUGAUUUUCUUAACUUUCUCACUAUUUGAGAAGGUUUUCCCUAAGGCACCUAGGGUGUUCACUAUGUCCGUGAAUCUAGUGUACAUAGAAUACACAUUUUCAUUUUGUUCCAUUUGGAACAACUCAUAUUGGCGAGUGUAUCUACUGAUUUUAGACUCUUUCACUUGAUUUGUCCCUUCAUAGACAACUUCAAGUUUGUGCCAUAUCUCUUGUGCACUUUCACAACUAGAUACUCUAUGGAAUUCUUUCUUAUCAAGGGCACAAAACAAAGCAUUCAUAGCCUUGGAGUUUAGAGACAUCUUUCUCUUUUCUAACUCACUCCAUUGACUCGAUGGUUUAGGAAUAUCAUCUCCUAUUUCAUCUUUGAACAUAGGCAUGAAUGGACCAUCACAAACAACUUCCCAAAUUUCAUAAUCUAAGGCUUGCAAAUAGAUUCUCAUUCUAGUUUUCCAAUAAGCAUAAUCAUUACCAUAAAAAAAUGGUGGUCUAGUUGUGGAUUGCCCUUCUCUAAAGGUUGAGUCAUUUAGGGUUGCCAUGGAUCUUUUACUCUAGACGAUUAAGUCUUAACAAGAGAACAAGGCUCUGAUACCAAUUGAAAUACAAGUAUGCAACCCAAGAGGGGGGGGGGUGAAUUGGGAUUCUAAAAAAUUAUUCAAUUUAUUAAAGAAAAUCUUAAUGCAAUUAUAAAUCAAAUUCAAAGCAAUAACAAUUAAGAUGAUCACAAUUUAAAAAGAUAAGGGAAGAGGGAUUCGAACACCGAGAUUUUUACGUGGUUCGGCCAACCUCGCCUACGUCCACGCCUCCAAGCUUUCCGGGCUUGAGGAUUCCACUAAGCAAGCCUCCAAGGCUUCAAAUGCUUACACUUGACUUCCAAGGUGUCAAUGGACCUUUACAACAAGAGAUUAUCCCCAAUCUCUUAACCCAAGUGUAUCCCAACACUUACAAUUACUCAAAGUAAAAGAUUACAAAUUGUUUUUCUCUCACACAAUAUUUAAGAUUACAAAUCAAUGCCCAAUUUGUGAAUAGAUGAAGAGAGAAUGUGUUUUAAGCUCUAUGAAGAUUGUAUUCUCAAAUAUUUGCUCAAUGGUCGUGUUGUGUUCAAUCUUUGUUUGAAUUUGAAUGAGCUUAUUUAUAGAUGCAGCUGAAAACUAGCCGUUAUUGACUUUCUGCACACUGUCGGAUCACUGUUAGCUAGCUGUCGGAUCGCCGUUUGACUGGUCAAUAUGACCGUUGGGCUGAUUUUUCAAAUUGUCGGAUCGCCGUUAUCUAGAUGUCGGAUCGCCGUUUAGGUCCAGAGGCUACUGGUUGAUAUCGGCGAGCCGUUUAUCACACAUGUCGGUUCGCCGUUAAUGUCCAGAGACUACCCUUCAGUUCUGGUUGAUAUCGGCGAGCCGUUUUAUCAACAUAUCGGAUCGCCGUUUAGGUCCAGAGGCUACUGGUUGAUAUCGGCGAGCCGUUUAUCACAAAUGUCGGUGUGCCGUUUUCGUCCAGAGGCUAAUCUCCAUUUCUGCUUGAAAUCGGCGAGCCGUUUACUACAGAUGUCGGAUCGCCGUUUUCCACAAAAACUGCUGCAGUGAACUAUUUUGCAAGAUGACUGUUUUGUCUCCAAAUCUUUAUAAAAAUACUUUAUGAAACUUGUCAAAAUAGAUGAAAAUUAUGUUGAGCUUUUAAAACAAUUAAUCAAUCUUAAUCAUGUUUGUUAUCAUCAAAAUCAAUAAGGAAUAAUUUAUGUCAACAAUUAGUGGACUAAAAAACGCGCAUACGGUACAUGCAACACAUGCGAUUAUUUUACUAGACCUGCGUUCACCAAAAACAGAUCAGAGACGCCGGUGGUUUUGCCGGCGUAAACCCUCCGAUGCCUAAGUUAGCACAAGGUGUUUACGGGAAAACAGUACAAUUUGGAUUCAAGAAGUUUGUUCGAAAUUUGUAAGAAAAUGGCCUGGUUGCAAUUUGGCAGCGUUUUCCCCUCUUUUCCUUUUCCCUUUCUUCAUCCAUUUCUUCUUCUUUUAUAGCCAUUGUCCCACGUUUUCGUUUACCUUUCAUCCCUCCUUUUUUGGGUAGUGGCGGCCCCUCAUGGGACUCUAACUGCUACAUUAUGGGCAAACGCAAGGCCCCGCGUUUCCCGUAACGGUUCUGGGAAAAGCGCAACUACCGUGAUUCUGUGGGAUCGUGUUCCCGCUUUUUUGGGAGAUGGGUGUUGGCUCGGCAUAUAACCCUGGUCGGUGUAUUUCUCCGGUUGGCACUCGUCUCUGGUCGGCUCGUGUUUGUCCCCGCAUUCUGUUCGUACCACUUGGCUGAGGUGAUUUUAUGAUUAAAAUAAAAAAUACAAACAUUUAAAUAAGAAUGUCCGACACUUGCACAACUAUUUACCAAAUUUUUUCUCUAUAAAAAUCGACCUGCAACUUUCAAUAGGUUUAAAUUUAUAAUAUUAAACUUGAUUGCAGCUCGCAAAAAUUAUCUGUUGCGGCCAAGACUUUGGAUUUGCGAUGAUUUUGCCACCCUAAGUGUAGUUAGUAUUGUAUAUCAUGUGGCUCUUAGAAAAAGCCUAGAAGUUGUUUGAAUAACGGGGGAGACACAUAUCUCCCAAAGAUUUUCUCUUUUUCAAAUUAUUAUUUUUUCUCUAUUAUUGUAACUUCGAAUCCUUAUAAAUUACAGAUUGGAGACAUGAACACAAUGUUUUGACAUAGUGGACUUUUGGCUUGUCCAGAGAAAUUUAGGAUAGAUUUUUACGCACUAAGGCUCUAUUUACUAUUGAGGUUUUAGAACUUUUAAGCCACACUAGAAAUUUGUAUUGUUUUGAUAGAGUUGUAGUCUUUGAUAUGUGAUUGGUAUUAAUCAAGUGUUAUGUUUACAAUAGUUAAAGGCAUAUUGAAUCAAAAUCCACUUCUAAGGGCUUGAUUGAGUGAUUGUAAAGUAGGUUUUUAGUUUGCUAGCCACUCAAGUUCAAAUAUUGGAACCACAGAGCUUUAUAGCCAAGUGAGAGAACUUGUGCCCUAAAAAUUGAGGGGUGCAUAUCGAGUUUUACCACCAAUAAAUGUUGGUGUUAAAACUUUAAUUUCUCUCCUAUCGAUGGAUAAGGGUGAUUAGGAGUUUACAUUCCCUCCUAUUAAUAGACAGGGGUUAUUAGGAAUAUUAAAAAAAAGUUCAAAUAUUGAAAAUAUAGGUAUGGGUUAUAAAAUUCAUAAUAUAAAGACACAAAAUCAAGAUAAAGAUUUAAAAAUUUAGAACCAUGAGAGCGUGACUUGUAAGUUUCAAAGAAGCAUGUGCAAAUAUAUGCAUUAUCGAUGCCUAAUUAAGGGUGGACAUUAAGAUCGGGUUAACCCGAACCGAACCGAACUUAAAAUGUAUUUUGGAUUCAAUUUGGUUAUGGUUGAAGCUUUCAACUGAGUUCAAAACUUAAAAAUGAUUGAGUUGUAUUUCUGUUCGAAUUUAACCCCAAAAGACAACUAACCCUAACUAAAAUGUUCGACCGCGGCCUCCUCGUUUUCUUUUCUUCUUCCUCCUCUCGCUCACCCCUAAUGCCCUUCAUGGAAAUCCAACAGCUCCAAACGCGUUUCGGCCGCUCGCACGUGUGAGAAAUUUUCGUUCUCAUAGGAUUAUUCGUUUCCUUCGCCUGCAUGCCAGCAGAAUAUUCAGGCCGAGGAUUUUUCCGGGCCUAGCCCAACUAUAAGCUCUCCCAAAACCCAAUCAUAAGUUCAUAACCGUUUAGCGUUUGCUAUUAUUAUAAUUUUUUUAACCAAUUUUCACAUUCAUCAACAUAGGCUGACAGAUUUUGUAGAAAAUAAAAUUAAAUAAAAAUACGAGCUCACGAAAUUCCUUUUCCGAUGUGGGAAUCUAUCUACACCUUUCACGUGCUUUUUUUUUGGUGUGUGUUGGGGGGGAGGGGGGGGGGGGGUGUAAUUCACUUGCUUUUGUUUGCAUUGCCUUAAUGGAUAAAAGUUUGUAGAACAUCGUCUGUUUGGUUAAAGCCGAGCAUGAGUGAAGAAAAAUUAGAAAUAAAUAAUUUCCCAUAAAUUUGCAACAAGUAUUAAUAAAGUGCAUGAAAAAAGACACCAAGAUAUGCCUUUUUUUAAAUGAAAAUAAAUGUGUUAAUUAGUCUAUUUAAAUGGUAUGAUAUUUUGAAAUGAUAGAAGUGAUCUAAAGUUUAAAUCUUUACUCACACUUAAUUUACGGUUGGCGAUUAAUUGACGUAAUAUAUAAUAACGAAUUCGAAAGACAAUUAAAAAUUAAAAGAGAAUAAAAAAGUGCUUUCUUUUUUAUGAUGGUAAUUUGUUUAGAUGAUGAAAACUCUUAGAGUUGUAUUAUCAAUACAUAGUUUCAAGGGUUGGCAAUGUGAAUAAUAUUUAAUUUCCUUUAUAUAGUUAUAUCUUAACUAUCAUUUAAACAGAAGUAAGUUGUAAAAAAAAUGAACCAUUGAGAUUUGAGAGAAUAAAAAACUAAAAAAAAAAAGUUAAAAAAUUAGAUUUCAAUAAAUUUACUUGAGAACUACUUUACUGAUUAAUGAAGAGAAAAUACAAAGAAUAAUGAUGUAUCUCAAUUAAUCAGAUAAAUUUUGUAUUUUUUGUUUAUUCCAGAAUCACGAAACUUCAUUUAAACUUGUUAUUUCAUUGAUAAUAUAUUAAUAUUAAACAAUUAAUGUAGGAGACAUUUUUUUCCAAUUAUGCCCAUAUAUUAAUUAAAGACCACCAAAAAGUUCAGGGAUACUAUAGUAAUUUAAGUCAAUAAUUUCUGUGCUUGAAAUCAGCCAAUCAAACUCAUUUUAGAAUAAACUGAGAAAUCAAAAUCACAUUCUCCGAUUCUACGAUUUCAAUUCAUCUUAUUUCUUCAACUGAAAAAUUGGUUGUAUUUCGUUUUAUUUUUUUUUUAUUUUUAUAUAAAGAUAAAUAUAAAAUAUAAAUGACGAGGAUACUGUAAAAAUAAAAUCAAAAGAAGAGCACAAAUUUUAUUGAAAAUGACUCUUUUCAUCAUUUUGCCGGAGUGAAUGUAUCUACAUAUAAACUAAAGAAGCACAUUUGUUUGUAUUAGUUUUUUUAUUAUAUUUUUAAUAAUAAGUCAUUUGUCACUGAACUUAUAUCAAUUUUUACGAAAAUAAUAGGUGUUAGUUAGUUUAUUCAAAUGGCUAAACCUCUUGGGAUAGAGCUUGUAAUUUAGUGGCUCAUGAAUUGUCUAAAAUAAUAUAGUAAUUUAAACUAACAGUUUCUGUGCUUCAAAUCAUCAAAUCAAACUCACACCUCAGAAAAGCAGAGAAAUCAAACUCAUGGUUUCCGACUCUACGCUUUAAAUUCAGCUUCAUUUCUUCAACUGAAGAAUCGGUCGUCUCUCAUUUUUUAUUUAUUAUAUAAAGAUAAAUAUAUAAAUUUAAAUGGCGAGAAGAGCGGACGAGGAAUACGAUUACUUGUUCAAAGUGGUAUUAAUCGGCGAUUCGGGAGUCGGCAAAUCGAACUUACUCUCCCGAUUUACUCGUAACGAGUUCUGUUUGGAGUCCAAAUCCACUAUUGGCGUCGAAUUCGCCACCCGCACUCUUCAAGUAACUAACUUUUCCUCUUUCACUUCUCUUCAUUUUUAUUAGUUAAUUAAGAUCCAGUUAAUGUAAUUAAUUUUAUUUAAUCUUUUAAAUAAAGUUCUAGAUUAGGCUAACUUAGAUUCAUGUGAAGUUGAAGUGAUUUACUUUCGAUCUCUUUUUGGUCCUAUGUUUAUUUGUACUUACUAUUACUUUUUUUUGGGUUUAAAUUUUCGUUUUUGAAGUGUUUACUGAAUAAAUUUCUGAGCUUUAUUUGUGUAUGCUGAUUGAUUUGUGAUUUUAAUUUUGUGACUUUUUUUUUGGAAUUUAAAUUUGAAUGCUUUUUAAGUUGAAUCUGAAUGUGUUGGGCUGCGAUUUAAUUAAGUCAUCUGUGAGUGCCAAAUUGUGAUAGCUAUAUAUUGGGGUGAAAAUUUGGGAUUUAAAGUUAUGUAUUUAAGAUGCAGUUAAUUCGCAAGUGAAAAUUAUGGGCCGGCAGGUUUUGUCAUUGGAAGACUGUUCUCCACAUGUUGAAGUUAGUGAUGCAAGUUGAAACCAAUCUGUUUAAGCUUGGGGUUUCAUGUCUUGAAUCAAGGCUGUGACUUGGGGUGGGUUGAAAGUAUUAUAGCUUUAGCUAUUCCUGAAGUAAUCUGUUUAGACUCACCGUGAUGAGACCGAGUGCUGUACAGCAAAAUGAAAGGAAGUUGGAAAAUAUUUACUUAGCAUUUCGUGUUACUAAUGUUGAACUAAUAAAACCUAGCCCCUAUUCUAGUGAAUUUAUGUUAAAAAGCUAUGCACGCAUUAAGUUAGUGCGAGAGUCUGCUGAAGCAUAUGUCAGCUGUGUGUUUGGCGCUGAGUAUUCUUCAUUCCACAUUUUGGGUUUUGGUUGACCUCCAGCAUGGCUCAACCCACUUGAGUUAAAAGCCCUAGAGUUACAUUCUACCCAUGAUAUUUGAGUUUAUCAGGUCACCUUAUUUUAAUACUUCUCUGGAAAACAAAUAUAUAUGUUAAAUCAGGUAGGAAAAAUAAAAAGUUAAUUAUUGAGUUGUAAUGGUGCAACUAAGGUUUUGAAACAUUAAGAUCUUUAGCCAUUAUGUUACUAUCCCGUAGUUAUUUAAGUUACAAGAGAUAGUAAAAACUAACAUCAUAUUUUAAUUACUUACACUAAUCCUACAAGUGCUGAUGGUCUAAAGUUGCUGCUGCUUGCACCGAAUCAGUGGUCAUGGGCCAGCCAAGGUUAGGUGAGCCAACUCAUUAGCUUGUGAAACUUAAAGAAGUCUUAGGUUUGGAAAAGAUGGGGCACAGGUUACAAAAAUUUUUUGAGUUUUGGAUUGAAGGAACAAAAUUGUUGAUGUCUAGCUCACAAUAUUUGAAGUCACUCUGUGCUUCAUCGUGUAAAAUGGAUUGAAUUGCUGUAAGAUCAGGUCAAAUUAAAAUGUUUAAACUCAUUUUUAAGAAACGAAUUCUCAAUUGGACCAGCCUUUCACAGAAGCUGAUAUCGCAGAAGCUUUGAGUCAGAUGCAUCCAACCAAAGCCCCUGGCCCAGAUGGUCUCCCAGCAGUAUUUUUCCAAAAUCUUUAGAAUUCAGUAAGCGAAGGAGUUAUAGCCACUUGUCUGCAUAUCCUCAAUGAUGGAGGUAAUAUUGCUCCUUUGAAUCAUACAUACAUUGCUUUAAUCCCCAAGAUAGCAAAACCUAGGACUCUGAUGGAGUAUAGACCAAUCAGCAUAUGUAAUGUAAUUUAUAGGAUCAUUGCAAAGACUAUAGCGAAUAGGCUGAAGCUAAUCUUAGAUCAUGUUAUUUUGCCAACUCAGAGUGCUUUUAUGCCAAAUAGGCUCAUAACUGAUAAUAUAAUUAUUGGGCAUGAGUGUCUUCAUAAGUGGACAAAGCUAAGUUCCAGAGGUGAGAUAGGAAAUUCUCCCGCACGACACAGCAGAAACAAACUUUCCCUUUCAUUUUCUUUUCUCUUUCUCGCUCUCCAAACAGAGCAAAAGGACCGUCGCAAGAUUCUUCACUUCCAUCCAAAAUCAUGAGCAACGAAUAGUGAGCCUCCCUGUUUCCUUCCUUUUUUUGAUAUUAACAUUGUUAACAUAUACUCAUUUUAUUUUGACAAUACUUCAACUUUUUUUAUUUUUUUGCCUUUUCAUUUUUUUUGUUGAAGCAAUUAUCUGUUCAAGCUGUUGCUAAUCGGAGACUCGUCCGUCGGAAAGUCCUGCCUGCUGCCCCGAUUUGCUGUCUGUUGACUUUUCCUUUCCCUUCUUAUUUUCUUUUUUUAUAUUAAUUACUUUCUAUUUUAGCUUUUUGUUCUCUGAAUUUGUGUUAUUAAAAUGAUAAUUUAGAUGAUAAAUAAUUGUUAUUCUUGUAAAUUUCGGUUUUCAUUACAUUAAUUGUUAGUUUUUAGGUUUAUUAAUGUAAUUUUUUUUUUCAAUUUUUCAGGAUGAUUCUUAUGUCACAGCUACAUCAGUACCAUUGGAGUUGAUUUUGUGAGCCUCUCUUCUAUAUAUAUGUAUAUAUGUGUAUAAGUUAUAAUAUGAGUCUAUGUACGUGUAUGUAUGUAUGUGUAUGUAUAUGUGGAAAGAAAUUUGGCAGACUUCAGCAUUUUACUCUCUUUUUUUUUUUUUUUGGCAGAAAAUAAGAACUGUGGAGCUGGAUGGGAAGACGAUCAAACUGCAGAUUGUGAGUCAAAAUUUCCUUUUAUCUUGUAUUGAGAGAAAUUCGAUUUGUCUUAUUUAGUGAAGGUUAUGCUCAAGAACCUUGUCUUAUUUUCUUUGUUUGAAGAGUGAUAUGUUGAAAUGAGUGUAUUUGUCUUAUAAACAUCAUUUAGGUAAUGUCUUAUGUUUGAUUGUUUUUCAUCUGUUUAGUGGGACACUGCUGGACAGGAGCGAUUCAGGACUAUAACUAGCAGUUAUUACCAAGGAGCCCAUGGAAUCAUAGUAAGGAGCCUUCCCGGUUCUUGGUUUAAAUCAGAAAGUUUGUGAUUUACAUGUGACAUCUUAACAGCAUUGUAUGUGUUUAUUAACUUAUUUUUCAUCUUUCAUUAAGCAGUACAUUUUCCAAUAAAUCUGUAUACAAGAUGAUGUAGUCCAAGAAUGGGAGCCAUAAUAUGAUGCAAAUUGUCUAAUAAAUUCUUAUGACAUAUGAUGUUGUCGGAAGUAAAAGUCUUGCAAUGCUGUAUUCUCUUUUAAGAAAGAAUAAGUGGUAAUUUUGUUUUUCCAAUUUUUUAAUUGAGCAACUGUAUGAGAUUUUAAUUAAAUGUGUUGGGAUUUCAACAGAUUGUCUAUGAUGUAACUGGGAUGGAGAGCUUCAAUAAUGUCAAGCAGUGGUUGAAUGAGAUUGACAGAUACGCAAAUGACAGUGUAUGCAAGCUUCUAGUUGGGAACAAAUGCGAUUUAGUUGUGAACAAGGUUGUGGACACACAGACAGCCAAGGUAUAUUCAUGACUUUUGUCGCCUGAACUUUGAAUAUAAUUUUAAACUCUUCUCAAGUGCAUUUGCUUGGUAAGUUUCUGCAUACCCAGGACACUCAAACUUUAGACAGUCUGUAUCUCGAGUUGGAAUCUUUUCUGUCAAUACGACUUGUUAAAAUAAGGGUUAUUAUCGUUUGAAUCAUUCAAGAAUUGCAAUAAAUCUAAAGUCCAUAAAAAAUAUGAUUCCAUCAUUUUACUAUUAUAUCUAGACAAAACCCAUUAUUUUACUACGUUUCAUUGGCACCGAUAGUUGACCUGUUGGCUGACUGAUAAAAUAUCAAUUUUGCACUUUAUAUUAAUUCUUUUUUGGUUAAAAAAUAACACACAAAGUAUUACAAUAUUAUAAAUUCAAAAUAUAAAGUAGUUACAAAUAAUUCCUACUAACCUAUGAAUAUAAUAUUUGAUACCUCUAUUUGUGUAAUAUUUUUCCAAUGGUGAAAUUGUUAUUUUUUUUGUACUAACGGAAAUGUAGUAAAAUCAUAAGUUUUGUAAAGAUAUAGUAGUAAAAUGAUAGACUAAAAUACUUGUUGUUGUUGUUUGAUAUACUGUAAUUCUUAAAGUAGUCAAUUGAUAAUAUCCCCUAAAAUAAAUGUUCGUAAUAUGUUCUCAUUUUAAUGCAACUGAUUGUUUAAUAAAAUUGUAUUUCUUUGUUAAUCUUUUAUCAUGUGCAUGCUCAGUGAGAAUUUGACUUACUAGAACGCAAGUUUGACUCUUCAUUUAAAUGUCUCUUGUAUCAUAUCCUUCAAUGUUGAGUGUGAUUCCAAUAAAAUUGAGUAGGGAGAUCCUUAAAUACCUUUUCCUUUUUUCCAAGGGCCUGCCAAAUUGCUCUAAGUGGUUCUACCCUUUAUCAAUGAAUAAUGAAAAAAAAAUUUUUAUUAAAGCAUUUUGUUCCUUAAAUGGUGACUAAUAGUACCCCUUUUUUUUGGAGAGGAAAGCCAAACAUGCCCAAAGAGAAUCAUUUACUUUCCUCUAAUGUAUUUUCUAAUUCGUUUUGAGCCUUGAAUGUCUGUUUUGGUGCGUAUUCUCAUUCCAUGUCGAAUCUUAUCCAUAUGGACAACCCCACUUACAAAAAAGUCUAAUGAAUCUAUUGAAGUUCAUAUGAGGUUUGUGCUUUAGAUUUAGACCUCUCUCUCUCUCUCUCUCCACUUACAUGUCUUUCACUUACCUGUUUGCAUGCAUGCCCAUGCACACACUUUCAAGAUAAUACACGGUCACUCGUACUUGUGUUUUGGUUGAAUUUCUGGCUGCUAACCUCUGUAAUUCAGUUUGAAACUUGCCACCCUUAGUGCUUCACUCAAAUGGUUGGUUAGGGUGAGAUCUGUAUCGUUUUCCUGGUCUCUUUCCAAGGUUAUCUAAAGGGAUUUGGCAGUCUGAUUCUUUAGGGAAUAUCAUUGCAUAAGAUAUCUAUUUUUUGUUAAUGAAUAAUUUCUAUUUAACUGGUUAUCUAUAUAAAUUGGUAAAUUUUAACUGCAUAAUUUGCAUGCAAUAAGAUUUUAUAAGAAUCUUGUUUUCAACUCAUGACUUAGACUAAUGUGAUAUGUUGAGCAUUAAGCUACAAGAUCUGCACAUCAAAGUGCUUCACAAUGUUAAGGAGAAAGCAUCUUUUUCUGCUUCUUCAUGUGAUUUAAAGUUUCCAAGGUACUUAUCCAAUAAAAUAUCUUUCAAGACUUUGGAAAUGCUUUUAUGUAUGACUGAGAGAAACUUGUUGGGAUGGUUUUUAGCAACAGACGGAGUUAUGGACUUUGUGUCGACUUGUUAUUGAUUAAGACAGUACAUCGGCUGAUCUAUUGGCAUCAAGCAGCAGAUGCAGAAAUUAUGGGUGGCAUACCAUUGUAUCCAAAUAACAUACUACAUUGAUUUUUCUGACUUUCUGUUGGUCUCCGAGUGAAAUGCAGGCAUUUGCAGAUGAACUGGGGAUUCCUUUCCUGGAGACGAGUGCCAAAGAUGCAAUCAAUGUGGAGCAGGCUUUCUUGACCAUGGCUGGCGAGAUUAAGAUAGAGUAAAAUCACUUAACUCUUUCCUUCUUGCCGACUGUUCUUAUUUAACAAUCACCAUUAUUGCUGGUUAUAUGCAUUGUGAUGAAAAUUCUUCAAUGAGUAACUUUUUACCUAAUGUUUUCUGUUGGAACAAAUUACUCUGGUAGAAAAGCCCUACAGGGUUUGGGAAAUCCCAUGAUGUGAUGAUUGUGAGCAUUUUAGACACCGUGUGUGGGUUUAUUUUGUGACUAUAAAAUGUUAAGAUUGUUUCUAGUUUUGGUUUGUAGUGCAUAAAAGGAUUCAAAAUUUGACAUCUGUCUAAAUCAGAUUAAUAACAUGAUAAUGUACAUAUGCAAGAUGUGAGGAAUUGUUUUAUCUCACCUCUAAACUUUAAGAAAUGGAAACAUUAUUAUUCAAAAUAUUUAACAUUUCCAGAAUUGAUAGUUGUCUAUUUGAGCAGUGACUGGUGGUUAUCAUGAACUGAUGUGCGGUUGUGGUUUCAAAUCUUGGUGAAACCUGUUGUCAUAUGCUGAUUAACAUAGAUAGUCUCUGAAACAAUUUGUUGAUUCACUAAUUAUGAGUUCAAAUUUGAUGCAGAAUGGGCAACCAGCCUACUGCAAACAAAUCUUCUGGAACAGUUCAGAUGAAGGGAUAGCCAAUCCAGCAAAACAGCAACUGCUGUGGUUAGCCGAGCAUCUUAUUUUACUUCUACAUGUUAGCUGACUGAUUGUAGACAGUUUUAACUAUGUUGACUGCAUUAUCUUAUGAAUCUUUUAAUCUGUCAAAUAUUUAUUUCCUGCUUUAAGUUCUUUCCCGUUUAUAACAAAUUUAAUUUCUUGCUCCAUUGCAUUCCAAAUUCCUGUCAAUUUACAAGGGAAAAAGAAAAGAGAGACGAAAUGGGAGAAAAUGGUCAAAUUUGUUAGGGGGAGAGAGCUGUUGAAGUAGUUUUUGUUCUUGUUUAUCGUCGUGACCCUCUUGUCGCUUAUCUACGACCUGGAAGUCCGGUCAUAUCGGAUGGGUAAAGUUACCGAAACGGCACCAUUUUGGGUGAAAUAUCAUAUUUAUGUAACACUUUUGAUAAUAUUUUUAUGCAACAAAAAAAUGUUUGCAGUACCCUUUUCACAUCGGAUGAGAGCAGUCUGGAUUCUGGCAUCACAAGCUAAUGCUUUGAUUUGCUUAGUUUGUUUUUUGUUUCUGAUAUUUUCUCGGCAUCGGGUGGGAUAUUGUUUCUCUU
Molecule: long non-coding RNA, 155980 nt
Filed under: Citrus x clementina
Lineage: Eukaryota; Viridiplantae; Streptophyta; Magnoliopsida; Sapindales; Rutaceae
Description: Citrus clementina (C. clementina) long non-coding RNA (CCLE_LNC002301)
Source: RNAcentral